UCACGCGGAAUGAAGCCAAAAAUGUUGGCCUCCCUUUCAAUUGAAGCUAAUCUCGCCUUAAUGGCCUUCAUUUUCCGACCCAUUUUGAGACCAUAAGCAAAUUGGUUUGAGGUUGAGAAGAAAAGGCGUACCUCUUUCGUCAGCUUGUUCCCACCCGAUACAUCUUUCCGCAAAGCUUCAGUAGAGAAAUCAUCGAGCAAGUCGUCGGCAUCAUAAAGUACAUCUUUCAGAUCUUCAAGCCAAACUUUGACGAGAUUAUCGGUCACCGAUUUCUCUUCUGCGUCAAGAAGCACAGCUUUGAUUUGACAGCCAGUGCGUCUGAGGUCGUGGAUGUCAUGUUUUAGAUUCCACCACAGCCCAACUUGAGAGAGAGCACGAGAGCUCAACUUAAUAAUGAGCUCUGCGGCAAUGUCGGAAGCAAUUGCUUCGGCCAUUGUUGGUUCAAACUGAAAUCAAGGCAAAAAGUGUUUGAUUUGUGAAAGAGGAGGACUAAAAUGAGAUUGAUUCCAACAAGAUGAAACACAGAUGUGGAUCCAUCCACCCAGCAAGUUAAAGUUAUGUUGAUUAGUGGGAAAUGGUCCCUCCAUGUUUAUUGUUUGACACAAAUUUCUGAAUGGAGACAAAGUUGGGAUGAUGACACUUUGGGUGCUGUGCACAAUGUGGAGCCGUACAAAUAAUUGAAAUUAAUGAAAAAGGUAUGAAAGAAAAGAGAAAAAGGAGACAAAUCCCAUGGAAUCCAAGGUGUUUUGAUUGAAGGCCCAUGCAUUCCAGUCUUUCUAAACCUUCUUCCCACCUACUUGUGUAAUUCAAGUUUUGAUUUUUUAUUCUCAUUUUAUCGGUAUAUUUACAUUUGAAUUCAAAUACAUAUCCUAUAAUUAACUUUAAUCUCGCUAUUACAAUACUUAACCUCACUAAAUUACUUGUUUAACAUGAUUAUGGUGAAUUUAUAGAAAGAAAAAUCACAAAGCAAAUGCAGAUGCACUUAUGUUAAAAGUGUUAUUAAUAGAAAUUUUAUUAUUUUGAAAAAUAAAAGUAUAAUAACUUUUUUAGCAUUCUAACUUUAUAAAAGAAUUAUUUUAGCUAUCUAUUUAUUUUCAUUCUCUCUUAGUCUUUGAACUUAUAUUUUUUUGUUAAACCAUCCAAAAUGGGUAAAAAAGUUAACGUUUGUUAACUUUUUUGAGAUGACAUAUAGGUAGAUUACCACAUGUAUGUUACGUUAGCAAUUAAUUAUUUUAAAAAAAUAUUAAAAAAUAUUUUCUUAUAAUUUUUUAAAAUUUUAAAAUAUUUUUUUGAAUUUUUUAAAAUUUUAAAAAUAAUUAAUUGCUUAUGUGGCAUGUACGUGGCAAUCCGCGUGUAUGUCACGUCAACAAAAUCAGCAGACGUUAAUUUUUCACUCAUUUUGUGGUGAUUUAAUAAAAAUUACAAGUUGAACUAAAAGAAACGAAAAAUUAAAUGAAAAGUUGAAAUAACUUUUUCUGUAAAGUUGGAGACCAAAAGAAUCAUUAUGGAAAGAAAUAGUUGUUUUUCUUCUCUCUCUUUUUUUUUGGUAUAUUUUAGCGCUAAAAUCACAAUUAUCGGAAACCAAACCAAAUUCUAUUCUUUAUUUAAUUUAUAAAUAUUUUUAUAAUAUAAAAAUAAAUCUUUUAUUUUUAAAAAUAGUGAAAAUAAAUAAAUAAAUUUUAAAAAUAUUAUAUAAAAGUAUUUGAUUAUUUUUAUUUACUUAAAAAAUUUUAAAUAAUAUCUAUGAAAAAACUUUGAAAAUUUGUCAAAUGAUAUUUAAAAACCGUAAAAUAAAGUUUAUUUUAUUAAAAUAAUUAUAAAAAUUUAUAAUAAAAAAUCAAACUAAACUAAAUUAUAAUGGAUGGAUAAAAAAAUACAAUUGAAUUAAACUAAUAUCACUUUAUUUUAUUGCACCAAACUGGACAUAAAAGAUUUUCUUAAAAAAUUUAGCCGUGAGACUGUUUUUCUCACUAUAACCUUCUAGAGCGUGCAAUGUCCUCCCCAAGUAAGUAAAUUCAAUAGAGGUUGGAGGCUAAAGGUUGAUACAUAAAAGAAGGGGAGGGGCAUAGUUCUGCUUGAAACAAACCCCCAAAUUUAGCAUCUUGAGUUGUUAAAAUAAGUAAAUCCACCGUACUUUUUUGUUAGAUUUUGGCUCUCUUCUUCAGCAGAAUGUAGCGUACAGUACAAGAAGCAGGGACCAUCCUUUCUACCAUGAUUUGUUUAUCCGCCCACAUAUUCCAACAAAACGAAUAUGGUAAUAAAUGUCUUCAAUUUCCUUCUAAUUUCCAAUUGAUCUGAUAUAAAUGGUGUAAUUCAAGAGUACUUGUAUAAUAUAUAUGCCCAACUGAGUACUAGCUUAGAUGGAAUCUAUGCUGUUGACGGACUCUUGGAGGCAUGUUCGAGAGAGCUUAAACACAUUUGUAUUUUUCAGUGUUCCAUAGAAUAUUCUAAUGAGCUGUGUCAAGUUCAUUAAAAAUGAUGUAAAAAGUAGUAUAAAAAUAAGCAAAAAGGAAAUUAAAUUAAAUAAACUAAUAUGAUGGAUUUCAAGCUUUAAGCUCAAUUUUGUUCUAGUUUCGAACCAAUGCACGAUAACAAGUCUUCUCCUUCAACCAAUAAGUUAGUUAUAGUGAUCAAGGAUGCCUCAGACCACCAACCCUUCUAUAUGUAAUUAAUUACGAGAACGCCCAAUAGUUAAUCUUUAUCGAACGAACAACCACAAAACACGCAUCCACGAUUUAGCUCUCCGGUAGCCUUGUGAGCUAAAAGGGUCCAUCUCAAACCAACAGCGUCAAUUACGCGAGCCGUUUAGAUCCGAUUGCUAACUUCUUAGUUGGACACGCCAAUGUGUUCUUCGUAAGAUCAAAUACAACAAAUGAUCAAUCCGGUACUUCCAAUUGUACGUCUAUCAAAACCGAAUUAAUGAGCUCUUUUUAACAUGGUGUCAGCACAAUUUUGUGAGCUGCCAGCAUCUAUCUCCUAAAUCAGAGAAACAACAAAUACCGAAAUAAAAUUUUUUAUGUAUAAAUUUAGAUCUCACAGCUCUCUGCCGGAUUAUUUAUUUAGCUACUAAUGAAAAUAUAUGAAAUAAAAUAUAAAUAAAAUUUUAAAAAUAUGGAAAUAGGAUUGCGCAUGGAACAGAGAAGUAAUAAACAAGUAUGAAUAAAAGAGUGGGGCAAAUUUUCCAAUAAUAAAGAAAUAAAAAUCAUCACCCUUUAAAAAAGAGUGGGCCAAUCUCACUUUUACCCUUUAUAAAAUAUAUACCGUAAUGUUGCAAUUGAUAAUUCUGCCCAACUUCUUGUUCUUUAUUCAUAGCAUCAUGUGGUGCUAUUCAAGAAAAAUACAUUGAAAGCUGCAGAAAAUUUAUAAAGAAAGGCCGUCCGUUAACUAAGUUUUUAAUAUAAAAUUAGCAACUUUUUAUUUAAUUAUUACUUGGUGGGUGGUGACAUCUUUAAAAUACAAUAUUGACUCUACGGGUGUAUGUAUGUAUUAACGCUUUUAUUUUCAUCUUGUUCGAAUCAUUUCACUCUUCCUCCUGCAAUAAUCAAACACUUUUUGCGUGCCAUCAAUGGCUGAAGCAAUUGCUUUGGAUAUUGCUGGAGAGCUCAUUACUAAGUUGAUCUCUCGAGCUCCCUCUCAGAUUGGAGUAUGGUGGAAUUUCAAAGAUGAACUCGAUGACUUCAAACAUUGUUGUUGCUAUCUCUGAAUGGGUUGAUCUAUGAAAAUUAAACUAGCCUUGAUAUCACCUAUUGGGAUCAACCCGGUUAAGUAGCAAGUAAAAAAAUAGCGAAAUAAAUUGAGAAAUUGAACACACAAAUUUAACAUAGAAAAACUCCCUCCAAAGAGGAUAAAAAGCCACGGGCAAAUAUAAUGGUAAAAGAACGAAGAGUACAAAAGAUUGAGAUAAAAACUAAAACCCGAAAAUAAAGAACCCUCAAAACGUAAACACAAAAUUCUCUAAAUGUAUUAUGAGUUCUAAUCUCUAAUGGGUAUAUUUUCCAAUAACGUUGUAAAAGAGCCUAUUUAUAGGCUAAAUUUAUAGGUCAAAUAAUAAUAAAAUAAUCUAGACUAAUCAGAGUUUGAUUGAAACAAAUAAACAGAGUUUAAUUGAAAGAUUAUUUCUCAAAUUUAACUGAAAUAGGAGUCAUACUCAACACGGACAAAUCCACCAUGAUCUCUCAUUUACUCUUAAUAUAUAUAGUUAAAAAAAAGAAGAAGACUAUUACUAUUUUAUACUGUACUCUUAUUAUUAAUUAUUGGUAUCGUUGAUGUAGCUGAGCGUGUUAAUUUUUGUUGUUAGUGGUAGUAACAUUUUAAUUAUUUUAUUAUACAUUUAUUUGUUUAUUGUAAGUGGGUUGAUGAUUUUUAUUUGUUUAUUUUUGGAAAUUUUGUCUCAUUCUUUUGUUCCAUGUCAUGUUGGAAAAAGAGUUUGAAUAAACAGGUUAAUUUGGAGUAUUUAAAAAUGGCACGUGUUAGGGUUAUAUGAUCUAAAUUUUAAGAUAUUGUUUGCAAGUUAAAUAAAAAAAUAUUUUUUUAGAAAAUUUAGUAUUUAUUAAUAUAAUAUGUUUAACAUUUAUUAGCAUAAUAUAUUUGACAUUGAUUAGAAUUAGGUUUUUUUAACCUAUAAAUAAAUGUAGUUGAAACUCUUAUUGUAUCAUUUGAAUUCAACAUUAGUGAAUUUUUUCUUCUCCUCUGCCUUUUAUUUUUUCCGAAAAAUUUUUACGUGAGAUCUGUGUGUUCUAUUUUUCUUUGUUUUUCUUUGCGAUCUUUCUACAUUACCAUUAUCGAUGUUUAGUUUUUUACUGCACAUAUGUGUUGUUGAUUGAGAUGAUGAGAUUGAGUACAUGUCACAUAUCGGCUUUGUCUCCACAAUCAGAUGAUGAGAUUGAGUACAUGUCACAUGUUCCAUACUCUAGUGCAGUGGGAUCUCUCAUGUAUGCCAUGGUUUGUUCACGUCCAGAUUUAUCAUAUGCAGUUAGUGCAGUUAGCAGAUACACGGCGAAUCCCGAUAAAGAACAUUGGAAAGCAGUUCAGUGGGUUUUAAGAUACUUACGAGGUACUACCGAUGUUUGCUUACAGUUUGGAAAAACUAGAGAUGGAGUCAUUAGGUAUGUUGAUGUUGAUUUUGCUGGAGACCUCGAUAGAAGAAGAUCUCUCACAGGUUAUAUCUAUACAAUCGGAGGUUGUGCAAUCAGUUGGAAAGCCACUUUGCAAACUACAGUCGCUUUGUCUACCACUGAAGCUGAGUACAUGGCGAUUACUAAGGCUUGUAAAGAAGCCAUUUGGUUGAAGGGACUCUUUAGUGAACUCAAUGAAGACCUUCAAAUCAAUACAGUAUUUUGUGACAGUCAGAGUGUCAUCUUCACUACACCAAAACAGGCUUUUAGCGGGGUUUAUAGCGGCGUUUAACCCAAAAACGCCGCAAAAGAUAAACUUUUAGCAGCGCAAAAAAACAAACGCCACAAUAGACCUGCAUUAGCGGCGCUCGAAAAACAAACGCCGCAAUAGGCCUGCCUUAGCGGCGAUUUCUUUGAAACGCCACAAAAUUUUUUUGCCAAACGGCUUCGUUUUUUUGUUAUUUUAUUACUUUAGUGGCGCUUAUUAAAAACACACCGCAAAAUAUUGGGAUAUAGCGGCGUUUUGAGAGAAACGCCGGUAGAGAUAAGUAAUUUGAGGAAAAAAUUUCAGCAAAACUGUACCGUUUUAAUUUUUCCUAUUAUUGCUUUAGAGGCACUCAGUAAAAAACGCCACAAAAGAUACAGAUUUCACGGCUGUUGUUAACGAAUUCCGCUAUAAGUAACUAAUUUGCGGCGUUUCCUUUAUAAACGCCAGAAAAAAAAAUAAGCAAAACGGCUUCGUUUUAUUUCAUUAUAUUGCUUUAGUAGCGUUUUAACUCAAAACGCCACAAUAGGUAGGCUUUAGUGGCGUUUCUUUUAAAAACGUCGCAAAUAAAUUUGCAAAACGACUUCGUUCUGCUUUCACUAUAUUCCUUUACUGGCGUUUUCCGGUAAAACGCCGCAAAUAUGUCUGCAAUACGACGAUAAAACGACGCCGCUUAUGAUUGGAUCUAGUGGUAUUAGCGGUAUUUUCCGAAAAAUGCCGCAAAAAAGAAAUAAUAGAUUACGAUUUACGGAUUAAUAUUUAUAAAUAAUUGUAUAUGGUUUGGGGUUUUAGGGUUCGUUACACAAUGUUUAUUAUUUUAGGAUUACAGUUUUGACGAUAUGGGUUUAGAGUUUAGGUUUACAGCUCAGGGAUUAGUGUUCAAGGUUUAGAGUUUACAUUUCAGUGUUAAUAUCAUGUUAGGGAAUUUACGGCUUAUAAGAUAAUGAAAUUUAAUGUUUUAGGGCUUCAUGUUUAUGGUUUAUGAUUUAGCGUUAAUUAUUUAUGCGUUACGAUGUUGAUUCUUGCGUUUCAGAUUUAGGGUUUGUACGAUUUAUAGUUUAGGGUUUAAUGUUGUGGCGGUUUUAGGGUUUUUUACUAUUUUGAUACAAAAGUCAAAAAAAAUUCGAAUACCAUGUUUUUUACUUCUUAUUAUGUCAUUAUUAGGUUCAGAACUGACAUGGCAAGAUAUCAUAUAUAUAUGUUAUGUAUGAUGAAACAGUUUAAUAUUGUGUACGAGGUAGCGUACGUUAUCAAGAUUUGCAUAACUUAGAGCAUAAAAUUAAAAUUGUAAGACAUUAUUGGAAUAGUGUCAAUAAUUUAUAAAUUGGAAUGUUGAUAGUGUUUAAAUAAUACAUAUAUACUUACAUAUAUAAAAUGGAAAUUUUUUUUAAAGAUUUGUACAAAAAAAAAGAAUAUGUUAAAUCUGUGUCAUAAUUUUAAACUAUUUUAAUUGAAAUGACAUUAAUAAUUUCAUAUUAAUGCAUCAAUUUAAAAUAAUGUCAUAACAUUUAUCCAAUUUUAAAAUCCAUUAAAAAAAGAAAUAGUUAUAAAUAUAGACAUAUAAAAUAUUAUUACAAUUGAAUAAUUAGUGGCGUUCUUUUAAAAAUGCCGCAAACAAAUUUGCAAAACGGCUUCGUUCUGCUUUCACUAUAUUCCUUUACUGGCGUUUUCCGAUAAAACGCCGCAAACUUAUUUAUCAAUUUUAAUAUUGAUAGUAUUUAAAUUGAGAGUAUUUAUAAAUUUGAAUAUUUAUUAAAUAUGUAUAAUUGAAAAAAAAUGUAUUAAAUCUGUGCCAUAUUUUAAAAUAAUAGUAUUGAAAAAAAUUAAUAAUUUCAUAUUAAUGUUUCAAUUUAAAAGAAUGUCCAAACAUUUAUCUAAUUUAAAAAUCAAUUAAAAUUCAAAAUGCUUAAAAAUAAGGUGAAUAUUUAGUGGCGUUUGUAACUAAAAUGCCGCAAACGCUAAUUAAAUAUUGAACUACACGUGGCCUUUUGACUGACGCGUUUAGGGUUUAGUGGCAUUUUCUCUCAACGCGCCGCAAAACCCGUAAGAUUAGUGGCGUUUUCUUUUAAGCGCCACAAAAAGUUUAAUUAAAACGGUGUCGUUUCGAGGGGAUAUCAGAUUUGGGGUAUAUCCCCGCAGCCAGCCGCAAAUCCCCCUUUUCAGCCAAAUCCCUAAGUGUUUCUGCACAGCAUCUCCGAUUUCCCCUCAUCCUUUCUUCAUCUCUUUCACACUUCUGUUUGGGUGUUUCGCUUCCUAGCAAAAAAAAACCAUUAAAAAGGGUCAUUACAUUGUAUUUGUUGAAGAUAAUAUCACGAGGGAACAAAACAUAUUGAUGUACGGUAUCAUUUUGUUCGUGAUACUAUUGCUCGUGGUGAUAUUGUUGUGAUCAAAAUUAGUACUCAUGAAAAUCCUGUAGAUAUGAUGACUAAGUCACUUCCUAUAACCAAGUUUGAGCAUUGCUUAGACUUGGUUGGUGUUCAUUGUUGAAGAUAAACCCUUAAGGAGUUUUAUGGAAGAGGUGGAGAAACUUGUUCGCUGAGAGUUCGCGAUGAAAAACUUGUUCAUUAAGAAUUCGUGUCAAGGUGGAGAUUGUUAGAAUUAAGUGACCCGAAUCCUUAUUUAAAUAAAAUACAAUGGUAAAAUAAAAUAAAAGUAAAAUCCCUAUAGAAUUAUACUUCUUUUAUUUUAUUUUAGAAUAAGGUUUUUUAAAUCUUAUUAAACUCCAUCUAUUUGAUAUUAAUUAGAAUAAGAAGUUUCACUCCUAUUAGAAUAAGGUUUACAAGCCUGUAAAUAGGCAUAGUCUACUCCUCUUGUAAUUAAAAUUUGAAUUCGACAUAGUGAAUUUUCUUCUCAUCUGCCCGUGGUUUUUUCCCGAAAGGGUUUCCACGUAAAAUCUGUGUGUUCUUUAUUUUUUCUAUUUCUAUUUUUCUUUGCGAUAUAUUGUCAUUACCGAUAUUAUAUUUUUCACAGAAUCAAAUAUUAUUAAAUUCAAAUUCGAUAAAUAAUAAUUUAAACAUAAAUUAAUGAUUAUUAAAUCAAAUUUAAAUCUUUUUCGAAUUCAAUUCAAUUAACUUACGAAUGAUUAUCAUCUCUCUCUUUCUCACCUACGUGCUUAGCUUUGAUUUUGUCUUUUAAAGUAGCUUGGUGUCUACAAUUAUAUAUUACGACAAUGGUUACUGUCCAUUACUACUUUAGUACACUCUUAUUAUUAAUUUUUUAUAGUAAUGGGUAUGUUAAUUAUACUUGCUAUUAAUUUUUUAUAUAAUAUUAAGAGUAGGGAUGGAGGUAAUAUUGUUUGAAUCCGUGUCAAAUAGGUAUUGACAAGAGUUUUAACUACUUUUCUUGCAAGGCAAGAUAUAUUUGUUAUUGACAAUAGUAGUAGCAUUUUAUUUUCUUUUAAAUAUACAUAUAUUUAUUAAGAAAGGAUUAAAGCAUUUGAUUUGUUUAUUAUUAGGGAAAAAAAUUAAAUUUAUACAUGACUUUUAGUUCAAUAAGUAAUUUGAUAUAUGAAUUUUGAUGUGGAAUAAUUUCCACAUGAAACUUGUAUUGUGGGUCAUAUAUAUAUACAUGAAAUUUUAAUUCUGAUUCAACUGUGCACAUGUAAAAAAAUGCAUACAUAUAUAUAUAUUUACAUUAGAUUAAUAUAAUUGUUUGUCUACACAAUAUACCAAAGUAAAUUGUAAGAGGUUGAUUUGGCAUAUCCCAAAACAUUUUGUUAUAGCUUGGAUGGUCAUUCUUGACAAGUUGCCUAUCACCGGUGAAGCCUAGUAGAGACUCCUAAAAUGGUAAAUUUUUAUUUUAGACUUUUUAUAAUUUAUAAAAUUUUAAAUUAAUAAUUAUAAAAUUAUAAUUUGAUCCUCUAAAAAAUUAUAAAAAUUUAAUUUAACUCUUUAAAGUUUAUAAAGAUAUACUACUAUAAAAAUAUACAAUUUAAUUUGGAUUAAAAUCUUUUUUAGCUCGGCUGCUAUUGCCUACAAAAGAAAAAUUAAUUUCGUUUUGGACACAACAUGCGGAGAGAUAUUUGGGUUUAUGUAAGCUCCAUGGUAAUGCAUUUUAUUGGAAUUGAAGGAAAAAUCAUUACUGAUACCAUCAUGAAGAUUGCUUCCAUUGCUCAUGUCUAUUUAAUUAUUUUAAUACACAUAAAUUUGUUUUUUGUGAGUUGGGUGAUUUCGGUUUGUUUAUUUAAGAUAUUUUAUUUUUAAAUAUAUUCUUAAUUAUUUAUUUUACAUAUUUUAACUUAAUAUAUUUAAUAGUACUUUUUUUAAUAAAAAAAAACUCAAAUGUCACUACAUCAUUUUAAGUUGCAUCAUAAAUUAUAAUGUUAUGGAUAUCGCUAAGAUAAUCCAUCUUAAAAGAUAAAUUACAACACUUAGAAAGGCCCAAUUAUAAAGAGAAUCGGCUGAUUUGUUACAACCACGUUUCACCCAUUUGACCUGUAACACCCCUAACCCGUAUCCAUCGCCAGAAUAGGGUUAUAGAGUAUUACCGGAGUUUACAAAUUAAUUUACAGACAAUUCAUUUCAUCAAGCGUUCAUAUUUAUAACCAAUCAAAAUCAAAACAUAAUGAAUUAACGUUGACCAAUUUAACUUAUACAUGUCAUUAUAACCAGAAUCAAAUCAUUCAAAAUUACCGAUAGAACCAAUGGAUAGUGUGAUAUAUCUCCGAUAAGUUUCCAACCCAAUCGAGCUUCCGAUAAUCAUUUCAAUGCAUCUAAUAAUUAUACAUAUUACCAAUAAUAAUUCAAUUCCAAUAAUAAAACACAUAUUUAUAUAAUAUUCAUCACCAAAUAACGUUCACUUUAAUUAAAAUUAUACUGAAUAUAGUUCAUACGAACUUACCAAGCUAAAUUGCAGAAAUACCAAAAAUCAAGGACAUUUUGGUAAUUUUUUAUUUUCCUCGAAUUUCCAUCCAAUCUUGAUCUAAAUUAAUAUUUCAUUCAAUUUAUUAAUUUAAAUAACAAAACAAUUUAUUUCAUGCAAUUUGGUCACUUUUUGACAUUUUUUACAAAAUUACCCUAAAAAUUUUACUUUUAUUCAAUUUAGUCCCUGAACCUAAAACAUGUAAAUUAGCUAUUUUAAAAAUAAACUCAUAUUAUCUGAUUAUUCACAUAUAUUUUUCCUCCUCCUCCACUCCAUUCCACAUCCUUGAUAUAUACAUAAUACCACUAUUUACUUGUUUACUCAUAACAAGCUGUUCACUUAAGUCAUAGUCACUAAAUAAAUUAUAUAUUAAGCUACAGAACUCCAAAUUGAGAUUUUUAAAUUUUAUAUGAAACUAGACUCGCAUAUCUUAUUACUAUAAAAUUUUCAUAAUUUUUGGUUUAUCCAAUAAGUACAGUUUAUUCUUUAAAUUUUCCCAUAUUUCACUGUUCGACAAUCCCGACCCCUCUUCACUAAAAAUUAAUUAUUUCUCUGUAAAAAAUUUGGAUGAUGUUCUCGUUUGUUUCUACUGAAAAUAGACUCAUUAAGGAUUUUAAAAAUAUAAAUUAUAAGCCAUAAUUAUUUUUAUACAAUUUUAAUGAUUUUUCCAAGUCAAAACAGGGGAACCUGAAUUCAUUCUGACCUUAUCUCACAAAAUUCAUUAUAUCUCAUGAUUUAAAAUUUCAUUACUUACACCCUUUCUUCUUUGAGAAACUAGACUGAAUAAGAUUUAAUUUCAUAUUUUUUUAAUCCUCUAAUUUGAUUUCCAUGAUUUAUGGCGAUUUUUCAAAUUUAACCUACUGCUGCUGUCCAAAACUGUUUUAGUGUAAAAUGUUGAUAACUAAAUUUAUAACACCGUCCUUUCCUUUCUCUUCAAUAUUUUCCAUCAUUUCCUUUUAUUUCCCUUUGCUAACAUAACAAGAAUAUAGAACCUUAUAUAAUGAAACUCUACAUUAACAUUAAUUUCCUACUUUUUCAAAAAUAUCAAACUCAAAAGUAUAUUGAAAUCUUGAUGUUCUUAACUUGUGCUAUUGAUUUCAAUCUUUAACUUGAUUUUCUCUCUCCUCCAGCUUCUAUUUCUUGAAUCGAACUUGAUAUUCUAGCUCCCCAUAGUCUCCUUAACAUUUUUCUCUCUUGGUAGCUAUGAAAAUUCUUUUGAUUUCUAGGUGAAAAUGGUAAACUUUUGGAGGAAGGACCAAAUUGUAAAAAAAAAAAGAAAACUUUCUUUCUUUCUUUCUUCCUUCUUCUCACGUUGGCGCAUAUAUAUACUAAAUAGAAUAAUAAUAAAAUAAUAAAAUAUCAUUUAAAAAUUAAAUUAAAAUAUUAAAAAAUUAAUAUUAUUUAAUUAAUUAAUCUAAAAUAUCACCAACAUCAUCAUUGCCUUCUAGAUUUCUCUCUCUUCUAAUUUACCAUUUUGCCCUUUAUAAUCUUUAAAAAUUCCAUCAUUGAGUCAUCACUUAAUUUGGUAAAAUUGUGAUUUAGUCCCUCAAAAUUCUUCACCUUUUUAAUUUGGUCCUAAUUCAUCCAUUUUCCUUAGUUUCUAGAUCAUUCCACCCUUAAAAUAUUUUCCCUAUUGGUCCUUCAACUUUUUCAUAUUUACACUUUACCCCUUCAAAUUUUGAGUAUUUACUCUUGAUCAACAGAACUUUUCUCACUUUUGCGAUUUAAUCCUUUCUUGAAUUAAUAUAUUAUAAUAUAAUUGCUAAUGUUGCCAUAACUCAAAAUUUCCCUUUUUGUCACUUUAUUUCCAUAUUUUACUAUAUCAAGGAUACCUACUUUCUUACUAUAGUAAUUUUCGGGGUAUUACAGUAGUAAUUUUCAGGAUAUUACAGGUGCUCAUACCUAUUUAAUUAAUUUAAUACACAUAAAAUUGUUUAUUGUGAGUUGGAUGAUUUUGGUUUGUUUAUUUAAGAUAUUUUAUUUUUAAAUAUAUUCUUAAUUAUUUAUUUUACAUAUACCUGCAUUUUAACUUAAUAUAUUUAAUAGUGAUUUUUUUAAUAAAAAAAGGACCCAAAGGUUACUAUCUCAUUUUAAGUUGCAUCAUAAAUUACAAUGUUAUGGAUAUCGCUAGGAUAAUCCAUCUCAAAAGACAAAUUACAACACUUAGAAAGAUCCCAAUUACAAAGAGAAUCGGCUAAUUUGUUACAACCACGUUUCACCCAUUUGACCUCGGCGGAAACAAAAGAAUCAAGCAUCUUGUGAACUCCUUGAUGCAGUGAUCAAUGAUCGUUAUGUCCUUGUCAAAACUAAAGCAGUGGACAAUGCUAGCACAAUCUGUUUCAAAAAUGACAUUAUCGGCUUUAAGAAAUUGAGCAAGCUGAAAACCAUUGAUGAGAGCAUCUAAUUCCGCUUUAAUAUUGAUUUUUUAUUCUCAUUUUAUCAGUAUAUUUACAUUUGAAUUCAAAUACAUAUUCUAUAAUUAACUUUAAUCUCACUGUUACAAUACUUAACCUCACUAAAUUACUUGUUUAACAUGAUUAUGGUGAAUUUAUAAAAAGAACAAUCACGAAGCAAAUGCAGAUGCACUUAUUUUAAAGUGUUAUUAAUGGAAAUUUUAUUAUUUUGAAAAAUAAAAGUAUAAUAAGUUUUUUGGCAUUCCAACUUUAUAAAAGAAUUAUUUUAGCUCUAUAUUUAUUUUCCUUCUCUUUUAGUCUUUAAACUUACAUUUUUCUGUCAAACCAUCCAAAAUGGGUGAAAAAGUUAACAUUUGUUAACUUUGUUGACAUGACAUAUAGGUGGAUUACCACGUGUAUGUCACAUUAGCAAUUAAUUAUUUAAAAAAAUAUUUAAAAAUAUUUUCUUAUAUUUUUUAAUUUUUAAAAUAUUUUUUAUUUUUUAAAAUUUUAAAAAAUAAUUACUGCUUAUGUGACAUAUACGUGGCAAUCCGUGUGUAUGUCACAUCAGUAAAAUUCAAGAUAGUGUGGAAUAGUUUCUAAUCUUAUUAUUAUAUAUGUUUUCGAUCUCAUUAGAGCUAAUCUCACUAUCUAUAUAAAGAGAGCCUAAAUAUAAUUUGUUCAUCUUCUUUUAAACAUGUUAGUGCUCCUUUGUAUGAUCAUUUACCUCCCGUGAGUAGGGUUGAGUAAAUAAAAUAAUUGAAAAUCGAUCCAAAUCAAGGUGUUUAGACGGUUUAUGGAAUACAAAUUAAAAAAUCAUAAUUAUCCGAAACCAAACCAAACCAAAUUCUAUUCUUUAUUUAAUUUAUAAAUAAAUUUAUUUUUUAUAAUAUAAAAAUAAAUCUUUUAUAUUUAAAAAUAGUGAAAAUAAAUAUAUUUUAAAAAUAUUAUAUAAAAGUAUUUGAUUAUUUUUAUUUACUUAAAAAAUUUUAAAAAAAUAUCUAUGAAAAAACUUUGAAAAUUUGUCAAAUGAUAUUUAAAAGCCAUAAAAUAAAGUUUAUUUUAUUAAAAUAAUUAUAAAAAUUUAUAAUAAAAAAUCUAACUAAACUAAAUUAUAAUGGAGGAAUAAAAAAAUACAAUCAAAUUAAACUAAUAUCACUUGAUUUUAUUGCACCAAACUGGACAUAAAAGAUUUUCUUAAAAAAUUUAACCUGCAAUGAGAUUGUUUUCCUCACUAGAGGUGUUAUAUAAGUACAUAUCAUAUGAUAAUUAUAAAUUUAAUUAUUUAAUUGUUAUAAAAAUUAAAUAUAUUACAAAUUAAUAUUUAUAUAAUGAUAUAUUAAAUACAUGUAAAUUUAUUAUUAUAAAUAUAUUAUUCGUUGAAUAUUAUUAUACGUGAUUUUAUAUAUUUAUUUAUUAUUCACUGAAUAAUAUAUUUUUAUUUUAUGUAAUUAAUACAAAAAUAAUAUUAUUCAAAUUGUGGUGCAUAAUUAAAAUAGUGCAACAAUAAAAAAUUCAAACAUAAAAGUUUGAAAGUAAAUAAUAAUGAAAUAAAUUUUUUAGUGAUUUUAACUACUAAUUUAAUAAAAAAACUAAAACAUACAAUUCUUAUGUAUAUUUUAUAAUUUAAUAUAAAAUAUAAUUUUAAUUAUUUUUUAAUAUAAACAUAGUUUUGAUAUUUUUAAUUAUUAUUUAAAAUAAUUUAUUUUUAAAUAUAUUAUUAAUUAUUUAUUUUACAUAUACAUACAUUUUAACUUAAUCACUGGAUCAAUCUUGUUGUUUGUAUGAAAUCGGUCCAUUGUAUAUUUGAGGUUGUGACCAAUGACAUCUAUAAAUAAUCAUAUGAUUAGAGGAACAUGAAUUUAGCUAACCCUCACUUUUGUGGAACCGUCUUACACUAGAUCAUCAUUUCUUAAUGGCGAAUGUCACGCCAAUUCGUUUCUUGGGCUCGACAACCACUGACGCUGUAAGUUAGCGAACCGACUGUGCAACGUUCCCAAAACAUACAAAGCGGUCGUUCCUUGCACAAGAUGAGAAGAUCACUUUUGGAAGUACAUGGACGGAAGCGUCAGUCCCGUAAUGUUGAGAAACAAUAAAUACUUGUUGAGAAGGCUAAGUGCGGGUUCUAAGCCUCAUGAACCUUUUUUGAGAAAUCUCUACAACCUUUGACUAUAUGAGUUCAAUAAAGGAACAAAAACCUAGAGCUUUAGGGAAACGAAAUUUUUAUAGAAAAGAUGAGUUAAUAUUUAUGUCAUUCUAUCCCCUAUUUAGAACUCUAUCCCCUAUUUAGAGUACAUAGAAAACCUAGUUUGUUCCUAUUUAAACUCUAAAAGAUAAAUAAAUAUAUAAUCUGAAAUUAAAUAUAAAUAAUAUAUAUCAUAAUAAUCCUAUCAAUAAUCCUAAAAAUAAAAUUUAAAUUUAAAUGGAGUCUUCUGUUCAUAAAUCUCUUCUUUAAAUUUUUGCCCCAAGUCUUUCACACUUUGUAUUUUCGGCACCACUUCUUUCCUAUUUCGCAUGCUGGCCCAUUUUGUCUUCAAAUUCACGCUUUUUGUCCCCAAAUUUUCUUUUGCCUUCAAUUUAAUCCCUACGAGAUAAAAAACCAUAAAUAACUCAAAUUAGUAGAAUCAUACUCAAAACAAAUAUGUAAUUAAUACAUAAAAAUAUGUUAUUUUAAAGUAUUAUCAGUUUCUUAGCGAGCUAUGGAAAUGUAGGUCUCCGAGGAGGAUUAUAGCCCAUCAAUUUUCUCUCUGUAGCAACAAUGAACCUGCAAAUUAUAAAUGCCAAUCCAGAAAAGUAUAAAAUAUUUCUUUUGUAGAAAAUUUUAUAUAUUUUUAAUUAAAAAGAAAAAAGCAAACCCAAUUACACAACAGUCAAAACUGAAGGAAAUUUCAGAAUUAAAAAUGAAUAAAACCCAUAGAUGUAAGCAAAUUUCAUGGGUAUCAUUAGCUUAUUAUAUAGUAUAUGUCAGAGCAAACGUAUUAUUGUCUUCUUGGGAAAAAAAAUUAGACAAGUAAUUUAGACACCUUUAAAUGUCUUUUAUUUGGUAAUUUAUCCUGUAAACUUUGACAACCAAUGCAAACUCUUUUUUGGUGUAAAUGCCCCUUAAGUCCCUCUACUUUUUGCAGGUCAACAAAUUAGUCCCUCUCUAAGGAAAACAGAUUAAAGGAGACCAUGUACUCUUUUCAAAGGUGAAUAAAUAAGGACAAUUAAGAUCAGAGUUAACAAUUUCUAUUAAUACAUGACACAUCUCUAAUUAUGAUUAGUUAAAUUUGAAAACAUUUUAAAUAAAUUAAUAUAUAUAAUAUAAAAAUCUAUAAAAGAAUUCAAAAUUUCAAUUAUUAUAACAUUAAUUUUAUAUCUAAAAAUCCUAAAUUAAAUUAAAUUAAUUCAAUUGAAUUGGACAAACAAAUUCGACCUGAAAUCAUUUGAUAUUGUUGGUUGGACAACCAAUCUGGUUUUAAAAACCUUGACUAGGACAACAUCAAUAUGUUAAUUUAAUUUCUUGUUUGUUUAAUAUUGUUUAUUUAAUAAAUCUAAAUUUUGAAGCAUCUAAAAUGUUAAUAAAAUCUUAUUUCUAAUUAUUUUCAUACAUUGAAUAUGUUAUUUUACUUUGUUAGAACUUGUUUAAAAGAAUAUUGUAUGCUUCAAUGAAAGUCACAAUUUAUCUUUGACCAUGAUUGUUCGCAACUGAGCUACUUAGUAAAUUAAAAAUCAGACCUCGACUAUGUACUGUAAGUGCAUUUUCCUACAAACUUUACCCUAUGAUUCAUUAGCCAAAGGUAUUCAUCCCAUCCCCCAAAGUCAUGAGAUAGAUUUGUAAGCUUUGCUUAUGUUAUAGUUAAGGUGGAUGUGUACGCUAGUGUGUGAGUUCUAAAUUAUAUUGUAUAAAAAAAAAACCAAAAUUAAAUGUGUGUAAACAUCUUAUCUCCAUGCAAAUUUAAGCUAUUGAGCUAAUUUAUUCUUAUAAAAUAUUAAUUUUAUCCAAAAUUUUCUUCUUCAAUAUAGAAAUUAAUGUACAAAGAAAAUAAAAUUUUCUUCUUCAAUAUAGACAUUGGAUAUAGGUGUAGCUGUUUUGUAACAACCUAAAAAGGGUCGUAAUUGCUGCAGGGCUUCCGCAUUCUUAUCUCCUCAAUAUUUGAUAAUCGAAUGGAGCUAAGCUAAGCAUUCAACCAAUCAUAAGAUGAAGAUAUGGGAUUCAUUACUCAAUCUAGCAAUGUCUUCAACUUUGUACAACUCAAUCUUCAAAUUGCUUAAUAGUUCUUGCGUGAAGCCCUUUCAUUAAAUGAUAGUCUACAUAAUGUACACAAAAUUGCUUGAUAAUUAGUUGUGCUUGUGUUGGAACCUUAUUUGAGACAUCAAAAGAGAAAAAUAUGUUUUGUCCUGAGUGGACACAUAUAUAAGUAAAACUAAAGAACACAACUAAGAUAUUUACGCAGCUUGAAACUUGUCCUACGUUUGCAGCGCCUUGUUCAGAGAUAAAUCCACUAUAUAUUUUAUAGUACAAAGAAAUGAUUUAUGCCCAACUCUCAAACAUUUGGUGUGACCUCACCUUUGUACAAUGAAAUAAACUCUCUCCCAAUUCAUUUUAGCUAUACAAUUAGAAAAUCAACACUCAAAAGGUGUAUAACAAUGACACUCAAUAAUAAUUCCUCGCUAUGAGCGCAUGUACUCCGUUAAAUCCACACAUCAUCCACAAAACAAAUCAUCUAUGUAUAAGCUCCAUGUAAAGUGAAAUAACAAAUUUUCAAAUGCAAUAUCACUGGACCUUUGUAGAAACACUUACCGUUACUAAAUGCUGCUUUAUAUCAUGUGCAUAAAUGGUGGCUAACCACAAACCUAUUGUCUAUGCUUUUUCGGUGCAUUCAAAGUUUACACAUUCUGCCAAUUUAGUUUUGAUUUAAUAAAUUUAGCCCACAACAUUUACACAUUUUGUCAAUUUGAUUCUAGUUUAACAAAGUUAGCUUGCAACAUUUACACAUUAUGUAUGGGCUCAAUUUGUUAUUUUAUCGAUCAAAAUUAUGUACGAGUGAAAAAAAAUAUUAACAUUGUGGUUAAUUGUCCUUAGUUCACUUCCGAAAUUGAUAGGGAUUAAAUUACUCCUUUUAUUUUUAGAGGGGCCAAUUUGCAUAAUAUUGAAUUUGAGAGGAACAGAAGAUGUGUUUUUACCCAUUUUUAUCCUUAUUAUAAUUUGCAUAAUAUUAACUUUAUUAUAAUUUGACCUUAUUUGAUUCUUUUUAAUAGUACAUGAACUAAAUUGAUCAUUUAAUAAUAGAGGGAUUAAUUUGAUGCAGUCCCUAUAAUACAGGUACUUUCACCAUUAUAUAUAUAUUUGAAUUGUAAUUUCGAGAUGAAAUUGAACAAUUGAAAAAUGUAAAAACAAAUGAAAUUAGCUCAUUAACUUGUAAUUAUAUACAAAAUGCUUCCCUCCACAUUUAUCCGGCGGCGCUCGAGGCUCUAAUGGUCCCAUGCUGCCGUAUCAACCUCCUCCUAGGCUUCAACAGCACCAGCUUCGACGGUUCCUCCAGUUGUUCCGCCAAUACGUGGUCACCUGGCCUUCGCUUCAACGAAGCCGCGGUUUGCUCAUCUCGAUGAUUAUCACAGAUUUUCAUCCAGUAAUAGUCGUGUCAAGAAGUUGAAGCAAUUGUUGUGAGAUCUCCAGUGAGCUCAAAAAUUCUCUUUUGAAAAUGAUGGCUAUCAUGUAAUUAGUAGUAUAUUAUUUCAAUUUUGAUGAGAAUUGUACUGUCACUUAACGCUUAAUGUCAUUUGCUUAACUUUUUUUGUGUGUGAUAUUUUGAUCUGUUCAUAAAUAGAAUGUUUCAUGGUGGCUAAGUUUCUUAGGGGAUAAUUAUGAGUAGCAUUAUUUGUUUGUGCAGUGAAAUUGUGAUGUCUGUAUUUUAAUAUGUGAGGUAUUUCCGUAUUUGAUGAUGUAGUGGAGUUUUGGUAGAUUAAAGUGCUUGUUUGCUGAACUAAGUUGAAAUUGAAGGAAUGCUGGCCUCACCCAAUGUCCAAAACUUGAUGACUUCAACAUUUUGAUGCCUUAAUUUGAGAAAGCUAAGUUUUAGUAUUAUAAAAUUUUCUCAGAAUGCAGAUGAGGCAAAGAUGUAGUGAUCAAAUAUAAUUGCAAUUGAUAGUAUGUUUGUUUUAUGUACUAUAAAUGCUAUAGUAAGAGAGUUUAAAGCCGAACAUUUAGUGUCGUGCUCUAUAUGAAGAAAGGUUGAUGGGUGUUAGCUCUUUUGAUGUUUUGCCUUUGAUGGAUGUUUGAAAAAUGAUUCAGCUCAUAUCCAUAAUGUCUAUCACUAUAGUUUCCCCCUUAUGUAGAGUAUGACUGCUAGUUUGUCAGGCAAAAUUAUGUUCGUAUAUUAUAUUCUUUUUCUUAUUGUCUUCAACACGAUAACAAGUGAAUUACUAGUUACUUUGCUUGAUUUUGUCAUGCCAUUUAUCUCUUUGAGUUUCGGCCUUUCUGAAUUAACUUUUGAAUCAAGUAGUGAAGCAUUUCUGAUGGUUCUUAUGACUAACAGUAGGUUUUCUUAUACAAGCUCUCCUACAUAUGCAUUUCUUAAACUUAUGCUCUUUUUUAUUUUAUUUUCUUCAUUUCAGUUGGUUGUUAAUCUUGAUAUAACCAUGCACAAAUACUAAUACUAAGGGACCCUGUAAUUUUGCCUGCCAUUGGAAGAGGAAGAGCGCAGCAGACAAAAAUGAAGUUAAGUCUAGCCAACAUAAUACAAGAUGUGUUAUUCAACUUGUAGUUUGAUGUGUGCCAACAUAAGCAUCAACACACAAGUCAUACGUAUAUACAGCCAGGAAAUCGACAUCUUUUGGAAGAGUCCUAAUCCAAGCAUCAUAAUUGAACACAGUCUUGGAAUACUGUCUAAAAAAAUGGUUGUCUCAUAAUCAAUUGUGCAUCCCUGCAUUUGAAUGCUGUUUUGAACACUAAAAAAACAUAAAUGUGUUUUUUCUGAGUUGACAUGUAUUAUGCAACAAGGAAAACAAAGAUCACAAUUAAGAUGUUUACACAGUUCGAAACUAGUCCUACAUCUGCGGGGCCUUACCCAAAGAUGAAUACACUAUGAACUUCAUAGUACAAAGAAAUGAUUUAAGCCUAACCCUCUAACAUUGAUGCAAUCUCAACUUCAACCUCACCACCAAAUAUUCUGAAGCAGCUUCCUUUUUUUUCCUGUUUGGACCUUCAAUAACAAAUUUGGCUGGAAUUCCAAACAGCUAAAAGAGUGCCCUGCAUCAAUGAAUAUCAUGAAUUUGAAUACCUCCAAAAGCCUGUCAAUAUCACAGGUACCAUCUAAGAUAGUAAUCAGUUGGCAUUUAUUAAGAGAAAACAUAAAUAUAUAUAAAGAUAGGAUAGGUAAGUGCUUAAAUGAAGAAAAGGCCUCUCUCCACAUCAAUGAUUUUUUAGACUAAAAUUAUUAGAAGCAAUUGUCAAGUUAUUAUUAUGAUUUAAAAGUAAAAAGCAAAUAGAUAAGUUAGCACCUCUUUUUAUGCAUAUAAAAUGAUUGAAGUUCACUAAUGCCUUUCUCCAAUGCCUUACUGCACAAAUCAGCAAAAAUAUUAUGAAAGAGGAUAAGUAAAAAGUAGGAUUAAAACAAAGGGACUUUAACAAGGAAAUUAACAGUAUCCAACUUCAAUGAAAAAUGGCAUCAGACCCCUGACUUGGAGAUUCAAUAUACCACUCUUAUUUUUCUUCAAAAAAAGAUAAGGUCAUCAAAAUAAAUAAAUAGCAAAGACCAACCUGACACAACCGAAUGUUGGGGAUGUGAGCAAUCUUUUGCCAAUCAGUGCCAAUGUCCUUCCGACAUCUUUCCUCCAACUGAGGAAGUCCUUCUAUUCCUAAAAUUUGCAAAUUGGUUAGGCAACGCAUCUCGUCCGGAAGAGAUGUUAAAUUAGGCAAAUGACAGAGAUAAAGCCCUUGCAGAUUUGUUAGAUGUUGAAGCCCAAUGGGGAGAGACACCAGCUUUGGAAUACUAACAAUCUCCAAACGAGAGAGAUUCUUAAGGGGUUCCCAUUGCAUGCCCUCUAAAUCAACCUCCUUCCAAUCUCUUAUUGUUAAUCUUUCGAGGCUGGUGAGAUGUUGCAGGCACUCAUCUAGCGUGUGAGUGUCCAACCCGUCAAUGUUGUGUACAUCAAAAGAUUUCAAUUUGGAGAGACGAAGAGAAGAGGUUGAAGUUGAUGGGGCCUUAGCAUUGAUGUUCAUCUUGAUAGUCUGCUUUAACGGCCUUGAACUGGUAUUCGACAACAUUAGAUAUUCAUCGAGUGAUGGAUACAGUGGCAUGAAAUUCAAAGGGCAAUUUCUAAUGUUUAACGAGGAAAGACAAGGAAAUGCCAUGGUUGAUGUUCCCAUAACUUCUUUGGCAAUUCUUGAAGCCGGUGACACUGAUCAAGUUUCAGCGCUAGCAAAUUCUGAAUCUUGCAAAUACUCUUUGGGAGAAUCUUAAGACAGAGAUUAUAAGAAAGAUCAAGGUACCUCAAAUGUUUCAACUUGUAAAUGGAGGGUGAAAUCAUCUGAAUACCUAAACAUUGCAAAUCCAAUACACGCAAGCAUCUACAAUUUGCAAUUACAAAAUCCCAAGUUUCUUCGCUCAAUUUUGGAAAAUCAUUGUUUGGAUACUGUAACAAGGUUCGCAACUUCUUUCCCUUAAACAAAGGAAUUAGUGAAGGUUUAAUUGAUAUGUGGCGACAUUUUUCACCAACAUCACUUGCAAUUUUAUUUGAAUCUACAAUACUACUCUCCAUCCCUGCUACUGAUUCAGCUAGAUCAUGCAUUAAAUCAUGCAUUUUACAUGUUAGCCCUUCCCAUGAAUAUCUUUCUCCUACUUCUUGGAAGAAACUUCUUUCAACUAAAUCUUUAAAAUACCCAAACCCGAUCUCCUCGACAGAUUGACUUUGAUUCAAUUGCUUUAUGAAACCUUGUGCAAUCCAAAACUGAACAAGCGCUUGUACUUCAAUUCUGUAAUCUUUUGGAUACAAUUGGCAAUAAGCAAAGCAAUGCUUCAAAUAAGAUGGGAGAUGAUCAUAACUCAAUUUCAGUAUAGGUAGAAGUUCUCCUUCAAUUUGUGAUAUUUUAGCAAGUUCAUUUUCUUUGAAAGAAUACCACUCAUUUGCAGUUUUCUUCAAAGAUAAUGUACCAGCUAUCGUCCUUAUGGCUAAGGGAACCCCACCACACCUUUCCGAAAUCUGUCUCCCUACUUCCACAAAGGCUGAAUUUGUUGAGUCUGCAUAUCCUUGCUCAAAUGCUAUCCUUUUGAACAAAGACCAAGCAUCAUCAUCAGACAAGCCUUUCAGUUUCAAAACAUGGGAUUGACAUUUAUUAGUUAUCUCCGCUACCCUUAGAGAUCGAGUCGUUACUAUUAUCCUACUCCCUUUAGCCCCACCCAUCAAUAACUUCUUUAGCCUAGACCACUUUUCUGGGUCCUCAUUCCAAAUGUCAUCCAAAACAAGCAAAUAUUUUUUCCCAUCAAUUUUAUCUCGAAGUUGUUUUUGCAAUUGAUCCAUUUCAAGAUUUUGAUCAGGUGCUUGAUGAGUCACAGAUUUGAUAAUGUUUGCUACAAUAACUUUCACAUCAAAAUCAUCUGAAACACACGCAAACAUCGUUAAGUCAAAAUGAUUUUUGACCAUUUCCUGGUUAUAGACAAGUUGGGCCAAAGCAGUCUUCCCUAACCCUCCAAACCCCACAAUUGGAAUGAUAUAAACAUUCUCUUCACUUUGAAACUCCAACACGAGUUUUAGAAGAGCUGCUUUAUCAUCAUCCCUCCCUAUUAUGUCAUCUUCACGCUCAAAAGAGUGCGUUUGCUGCCUCCUUUUAGUCAUGAAAGAGGUUUCCGCGGGGCGAUCACGCGGAAUGAAGCCAAAAGUGUUGGCCUCCCUUUCAAUUGAAGUUAAUCUCGCCUUAAUGGCCUUCAUUUUCCGACCCAUUUUGAGACCAUAAGCAAAUUGGUUUGAGGUUGAGAAGAAAAGGCGUACCUCUUUCGCCAGCUUGUUCCCACCCGAUACAUCUUUCCGCAAAGCUUCAGUAGAGAAAUCAUCGAGCAAGUCGUCGGCAUCAUAAAGUACAUAUUUCAGCUCUUCAAGCCAAACUUUGACGAGAUUGUCGGUCACCGAUUUCUCUUCAGCGUCAAGAAGCACAGCUUUGAUUUGACAGACAGUGCGUUUGAGGUCGUGGAUGUCAUGUUUUAGAUUCCACCACAGCCCAACUUGAGAGAGAGCACAAGAGCUCAACUUAGUAAUAAGCUCUAGGGCGAGGUCGAAUGCAAUUGCUUCGGCCAUUGCUGGUUCAAACAGAAAUCAAGCAAAGAAGGGUUAUUGCAAGAGGAGGAGUAAAAUGAGAAUGAUUGGAACAAGAUGAAACACAAAUGUGGAUCCAUACAUGCAGAGACUUGAGUAUAUUUAUAGAUAUUACCAUCCACCCACCAAGUAGCAUAAUUAAAUAAAAAGCAUUACAUUUUUUCCUUUUUAUCCUUCUUAUAAUUAAUUUAAUAAUUUUAUUUAAUGUCAUACAAUUAACAAUUAAUGAAUAAAACGAUAUUAUAUUAUAAUAUUUUUAAUGAAUAAAUAAUUUUACUUUCUAAUAAAAUAAUCUUAUUGGGUGUAUAAUAUAAUUAUAUCAUACAUUAAACAUAAAAAUCCAUUAAUUUAAUAUCUUAAAAGUGUGCAUCUUUUAUGAUUCUAAUGUAGAAUUUUCUUUUUUACCUAAAUAUUAUAUUUUCCUUUUUGUUAAAAAACAAAAUAAGAAAAUAUUAAUUUCAUAAUAAUGAAUAAAUAAAUGUAGCAUUCGAAAACUUGGCUCACUAAUUAGUGCAUGUUUUAUUUAUUCAAAAAGUGAGGCUCAAAAAUCCUUCUUUUUCGAGUUCAAAGAAAAUACAAAAAUUAAGGUUCACAAACAUCAAUUUUCUAAAUUUAUAUAGUGCAACAAAUUACAUGGGCUUAAUUGUAAUUUUUUUAAAACGUUUCACAUACAGCUUUUUUUUUUUUUUUCUAUUGUGAACAUUGAAAAAAAAAUUAGAACAAUAAUUUAAGUUGUAAAAUUGAUCAAUUGAAUUGUUUAGAUAUUUAGUUUUCAUUUAAAACUAUACAUACUUAAGGAUUGAAUUAUUCGUUCAAUAUUCAAAUCGAUUAUUAGAUAAAUUAUUUUUUAAUUCAAAUACACAAAUAUAGAAUCACAACUCAGCUCGAUCUAUAUAGUUUCAAAAAUUACUCAGGGCAGAAUUCCCCUCCCCUAAAUUUGGAAAAUUUUCAUUAAGCCUUCAAUUUUUUUGAAAUUUUUAAUUAGACUUUACCUUAGUUUAAUUGAAAACAGCUCACAAGGUACAAAUUGAACAUAUAUAGACAUCUCUUCUCCCCUUGCUUGAGUUGUUGAACUAAACUAACUUUCUUCAUAUAAUAUUAAUUUUACCCAAAAUUUUCCUGUUCAACGAAAACAAAAUUCCUAAAAUACAAAAGUUAAUGGAAGAUAAAGAAGACAUUGGAUCUAGGUUUAAUUGUUUUGUAAUAAGCUAAAAGGGAUGCAGUGGUUGCAGGGCAUCCAUAUUUGUAUCCUCAAAAUUUGGUAACUGAAGGGAGCUAUGCUAAGCAUUCAACCAAUCAUUAGGUACUGCAACGUUUUCAUUAAAUGAUAGUCUUACAUAAUGUACACAAGAUUGCCUGUUAAUUAGUUGUGUUUCCAUGUGUUGGAUUAUUAUUUGAAACCCCGAAAGAGAAAAAUGUAUAUAUUUUUUUUAAGUUGACACACAAAAAAGUAAAAAUAAAGGAGAAUAAAGAACACAACCAAGAUGUUUCCGCAGUUCAAAACUCAUCCUACAUUUGUGAGCUUUGUCUAGAGAUAAAAUCGCUAUAAACUUCACAGUACAAUGAAAUUAUUUAUGCCCAACCCUCCAAACUUGGUGCAACCUCACCUUUGUACAAUUAACUAAAUACUCUUCCAACUUACAUUAGCUAUGCAAGAGAAAAUCAACACUCAUAAGGUGGCACUCAAAUAAUAGUUACUAAGUGUGCCUCUAAGUCCACAAAUCAUCUAUAUAUACAAGCUCCAAGAUCAGCUGAUGAAGAAUGCAUACAGAUUGACUCGUCAACAAAGAAAAACAGAAAAAGGAAGAACAAAUGUGCAUAGAGAGGAGGAUUUCAUGGGAGCACAAUGCCAUGGACAGAUCAGCUGAUGAAGAAUGCAUGUCCUGCUUUUUGGCUCUUCCAUUGAACUCGUGCUGAAAAAGAAGCAGCUUAGUCACGAGGUUAUAUUAGAUCAUUUGAAAUUAUGAGAUUAUUAUGAUUUUAAAAUGUAAAGCAAUUAAGUAAUUACCACCUAUUUUUCUGCAUCUAAAUUCUUGAAGUUGUCAAAUGCCUUUCAGAAAAAUACAUGCCAAUCGAAUAUGUGGGCAGAUAAACAAAUGAGGGUAGCAAGUAUGAUCUCUGCUUUUUGUAUUGCAUGCUAUGCUCUGCCGAAGAAUAGAGCCAAAAGCUAACAAAAAUGAAGGGUAAAAAGAUUAAUGGAAACCUUGUAGUUUUCAAAGGUGAAUAAAUAAGGACAAUUAAGAUCGGUGUUAACAAAUUUUAACUAAUAUUUUGAAAACAUUUGAAAACAUUUUAAAUAAGUUAAAAUAUAUAAUAUAAAAAAUCUAUAAAAAAAUUUCAAAAUUCAAUUAUUGUAAUAUAAAACUUUCAUAUCUAAAAACCCUAAAUUAAAUUAAACUAUUUCAAUUGAAUUCAACAAACAAAUUGGACCGAAAACCAAUUAAUUGAUUGGUUCGGCCACCGUAUGUGAAUUUAAUUUCGUAUUUAUUUAAUUUGGUUAGCACAUAUUAAUAGUUUUCAUAUUCUCUUUAGUUUUUGUAUUUUCGGAUUGUGUAAAAUUUAAAAUUUAAAUAUUUUUAUGUUCAUAUUUUUUUUUAUAAAUAUAUAGGGGUAAGCUCUCACUAACUUUUUGAAGCUUUUAGGAGUUCCUUCUAUUGAAGCAAUAUCAUGAGCGAAUCUAUAAUCAAUAUAUAUGAGAAAGAAAAAAUAUAUAAAAAAGUAAAAUAAAAAAUAAAAAUAGACUUGAACACUUAUGGAUGUUAAAUUUAUAAUAAGCUUAAGUAAAAGGGUUAAAAUAAUCAAACUAUUGUCUAACUCAUGCUAUGAAAAAGAAAUCACAGUUAAAAGAAUAUUGUAUGCUUCAAUGAAAGUCACAAUUUAUCUUUGAUCAUGCUUGUUCGCAACUAAGUAGCUAUAAUGUAACUACAUGUUCCUACAAACCUCGCACUAGUCGACUUUGCCCUAUGAUCCAUUAGUCGAAUUUGUGAUGUCUAUAUUUUAAUAUGCGAGGUAUUUAAAGAAAUAGAUACAUCAAUUUAUUUUUGUAGUGGAUAAAUAUAAUUAUUUAUUUACACAAUAUAUAAACAUAAAAUGAUGCCCUAUUAAUAAUUUAUGAAAAUUAGAUCAAAUUAAAAUUUCAUGUAUAAAAUUAUAUGUUAUGCCAAAGUUUAUAUGUAGUUUUGAGAUUUAUCCCAUUUUCCUAUUAACUUAGCCAUUAGCCUGAGCAUUAAAUGUUCGCUCAAAUAUGAUAGGGGACAUACUUAAAACACAUGUGUCCAUGCUAUAUAGGCAACUUGAAUCUAAUUUGUUAAAAGAAGAAGAAGAAGUAAUCCUCUUAAAUUUUAUAAUCUCAGCGUGUUUUUAAUAUGUUAGAAUCAAGUUAUCAAUAUGAUGAGUACACAAGUAUUUACAAUUUAAUCCAUGUCAAAUGAGAACAGAAAUUUAAAAUCUAAAUUGAUAGCUACAAAAAUGAAAUGAUUUUAUUGUUAUAAUAUUAAUACUUUCAAAACUUAAUUAAAAUAUUUUAAAAUUUACAAAUUAAUUCUAAAACAAUAUUUAAUAAAUUGAGAAUAUUUAAUACAAAUAACUUCUUAUUUGAAUAUAAAUAAUUAUAACACAUUUAUUAUUAAACAAAAUAAUAUUGUUUGGUUGGAAAUGGUCCCACCGUAUUUUACGUUUGGGGAACAAAGCGAUGGCGUUUUGGUUGGAGAAGAAGGGAGUAACGUUGUUAAGUACAUCAUUUUGUUUAUUUUCGUUUUAAAUUUGUUUUCUCGUUUUCUAUUUGAUGCCGUUAAUAUUCUUUUUUGAGUAAACUAUAUUAAAAGUCAUUCAACUAUUUUAAAAAGUACAAAAUGAUCACCAAAUUAUUAGUAAUUUCUUUUAUCUAAUUAUGAAAAGUUACAAAAUAAUCAAUAAACUGUUAUUUUUUUCCUUUUCUUUCACCCAACUAUCUUGGAUUUUUUGGUGUUUUCUAUUUUUUCAUUAGCCAACUAAUGAUAAAAAUGAUAAAAUUGAAUUGUUGGGAGACUAUUUUGUAACUUUUCAUAAUUGAGUAACCAAAAAGGAAAAAAAAAACUUAGUUGGGUGACUACUAAAGUAGGUUACCCUUUUUUAGGUUAAAAUAUGCCAUAUGUCCUUGUACUCGCCAUAAAUUUGAAAUUUAGUCUCUAUACUUGUAUUUAUAGGAAUUUAAUUCUUUUACUUUUUAAAGUUCAAAUUUCAGGUCCAAUUAUUAAUACUGUUAAAUUAACCAUUUAAUGAUAGAGGGACUAAUUUGUAUGCAGUCCCUACAGUACCGGUACUUUAACCCUUAUAUAUAUUUGAAUUUUAUUUUAGGAUUAAAUUGAAAAUUUGAAAAAAGUAAGAGUUCAAAAAGGUAAAAACAAAUGAAAUUAGCACAUUAACUUACAAUUAUAUACCCUUUCUUUUCCCUCCUUUUCUACUCUAUAUCUCUCUAAUGUCUGAACUAAAACCCUCACUUUCUCUCCCUUCCUAUUUCCCUAUUGCAAUUAUACCCACCUCGUUUCCCCUCAAUAUCAUAAACCUCCAUGUUCGGGAUGGUCUUACGCUGCCGUAUUAACCUCCUCCUACGGCUUCAACAGUACCAGCUUCGACGGUUCCUCCGGUUGUUCCGCCGAUACGUCGUCACCUGGCCUUCGAUUCGACGAAGCCGCCGUUUGUUCAUCCCGAUGAUUAUCACAGAUUUUCAUCUAGUAAUAGUCGUGGAAUCGUCACCGAUCAGGAAGUUGAAGCUGAACAUUUAAUGCUGUGCUCUAUAUGAAGAAAGCUUGAUGGGUGUUAGUUCUUUUGAUGUUUGUAGAAUAAUAAAAGAAAACUUCUCAAGUUUAUUGGAUGCUAACAUAUUGUUAUAUACAAGCAAGGAAAGGAAGUAACAGAAAGUAACAGAAAAAUAACUACUAACUGACUAACAAGAAAUUAAUUUAAAACUAUAUGACUAAUAGCCCCCCUCAAGUUGGAGAGUGAAUGGGAAACAGUCCCAGCUUGGACAAAAUAAGCUGGAAGGGAACAGCAGGCAGAGCUUUGGUGAAGAUGUCAGCAAGCUGGUCUUUGGAAGAAUAAGGAAGCAAUUUGACAACACCGGACAACACUUUUUCACGAACAAGAUGACAGUCGAUCUCAAUAUGUUUAGUACGUUCAUGAAACGUAGGGUUUGCAGCAAUUUAGAGAGCAGAAUUGUUGUCGCAAAAAAAAGCAGUAGGCCUAGAAAUAGACAGAUGCAAAUCAGACAGAAGAAAUCGAAGCCACUGAAUUUCACAAACAGUAGAUGCAAGAGCCCUAUAUUCUGCUUCUGAGGAAGAGCGAGACACGGUGCUUUGCUUCUUGGCUUUCCAACUAAUAAGGGAAUCUCCAUAAAAUAGGUAGUAACCAGUCACGGAGCGACGUGUGAGAGGACAACCAGCCCAAUCAGAGUCACUAAAUGCCUUCAGUGUAGGCGAAGAAGAAGCAGAAAAGAAAAUACCAAAGUCAAUGCAUCCUUUCAGGUAGCGAAGAAUGCGAUGGGCAGCUUUUGAAGGUGAGUGACUAUAGGUCGGUCCAAGAAUUGACUUAACUGUUGAACAACAAAAGCAAGAUCAGGUCUAGUAGAAACCAAAUAUAAUAGGCGUCCAAUAAGUUUUCUGAAAAUAGUGUUAUCAGGAAGUAAUUCGUCAGAAGCAUCGCGAGGGAUUUUAGUAACCAUAGGAGUUGUAACAGGCCUGCAAUCUGAGAAACCAAAAUCAGCCAGUAGAUCGAGAGCAUAUUUUUGCUGGCAAAGAUGAAUACCAGCAAAACUACGAGCAACUUCAAGGCCAAGAAAAUACUUGAGAUCCCCCAAGUCUUUGAUGCUAAAGGCAGAAUGCAAGAAGGCUUUUACCCGUGUGAUUUCUUCCAAAGAAUCACCAGCUAGAAUAACAUCAUCAACAUAAACCAAUAAGGCAGUAAAGGAAAUUUCAUCCUUUUUAACAAACAGAGAAAAAUCUGAAGUAGAUUGAACGUAACCAAUUGUAGUGAGAGCUGCAGUGAGUUUGGCAAACCACUGUCGACUAGCCUGCUUGAGACCAUAUAAUGAUUUUUGCAACUUACAAACCUUAUGGGAAGUGGAGGAAGCAAAACUAAGAGGCAAAAGCAUAUAAACUUCUUCAGUCAAAUCUCCAUGCAGAAAUGCAUUGUUAACAUCAAGCUGGUGCAAAAACCAGUCUUUGGAAGCAGCAAUAGCAAGCAAUAAUCGAACAGUAGUAAUCUUGGCCACAGGGGAAAAAGUAUCAAAAUAAUCAACACCCUCAGUUUGUGUGAAACCUUUAGCAACCAAACGAGUCUUGUAACGCUCAAUAGAACCAUCGGCUCGAUAUUUCACACGAUAGACCCAUUUGCAACCGAUUGCAAUUUUGCCUGAAGGUAAGUCCAUAAUGAUCCAGGUGUUAUUUUGUUCAAGAGCAGAAAUUUCAGCUUGCAUUGCUUCUUGCCAAUGGGGAAUUUUGCUAGCUUGUAAAUAGGUUGUAGGUAUGGGAGAAGCAUUGAUAGCAAGAGUAAUAGGUGUGGCGCAUCGAAGAUGAUUGGCAACAGCUUUGCUGGAAAAGCAGUGAUACUGGUCUAAAUAUGAAGGAGGUUUCCUAAGACGAGGUGGCCUAGAGGGUUGUAAAGGAACGGGAGGUGAGGGUUGUGAUUGAAUUGGCAAGUCAUAGGUAAUGGUGGGGUCAAAGGUUAACUGUGGGAUGGAAGAGGAAGAAGAUGGUUGUUGAGAAAAAGGGAAAACGGACUCAUGGAAAUGGACAUUUUUGGAUAUAAAAAUGGCAUGGGUUGAUAGAUCAAAAAGAAUAUAGCCUUUGACAUGAGGUGGAAAACCAAGAAAGACACACUCACGUGCUCGAGGAUCCAACUUAUGACGAUGAGCAGUAAGAGUGGUUGCAAAACAAAGACAGCCAAAGACACGGAGGUGCUGAAAAGAUGGCUUAGUUUGGUAUAACUUGUCAAAAGGGGUAAGGUUAGCCAAAAUGGGAGUAGGGGUACGAUUAAUAAGAAAAACAACAUGAAGAAUAGCAUGUCCCCAAAAAUGCUUAGGCAAAUGAGAAUGAAAUAAGAGAGCCCGUGCAACAUUAAAAAUGUGUUGGUGCUUGCGUUCUACAAGACCGUUUUGUUGUGGGGUUUCAACACAUGUAGUUUGAUGAAUUGUGCCUUUGGAAGCAUAAAAGGCUAGAAUGACAAACUCACAACCAUUGUCAGAUCGAAUGACUUUAAUUUUAGAUGAAAAUUGAGUUUCAACAAGUGUGAAAAAAUUCUGAAUGUGAGUACGAACUUCAGAUUUUGCUUUCAAUAAAAUAAUCCAAGUAAAGCGACUAAAAUCAUCAACAAUGGUUAAAAAAUAACGAUGACCAGUAAUGGAAAUAACAUCAGUUGGACCCCAAAUAUCAACAUGAACAAGUUCAAAAAUUUUAUUGGAAAUGGAAGUGCUUACAGGAAAAGAUAAUUUCUUUUGUUUGGCCAAAUGGCAGGCUGUACAAGGUGCAUUAUUUGACAAAGACAAAGAAGGAAUGUAAGGGAAAAGUAGUUUUAGUCGAGAAUCAGAAAGAUGACCGAGACGAUGAUGCCAAAGGGAACAUGAAGAUGUGUUGGCUGACAAGGCAAUGGGAGCAGAAAUGGAAAAAGUUUGAGCUGGGAAAUCCAAAAUAUAAAGACCAUGGAGCACUCUAGCUGUACCAAUCAUAUUCGAAGAAGGAAGAGCCUGUAUAGAACAAUGAUUUUUAUGAAAAGUAAAGGAACAAGGUAAUAUAGCAGUGAGUUUAGUAACAGAUAAAAGAUUAAAGGUAAAUUGAGGAACAUAGAGAACAUUAGUAAUGUAAAGACUAUUAUUGAAAAUGACUGUACCAGAAAUUCGAGCACAAACUUUAGUGCCAUUUGGAAGGUUGAUGUAUAUAGGUUUAAUGGAAUGAAAAGAAGCAAAAAACGAUAAAGAGUGAGCAAUGUGAUCAGUGGCACCUGUGUCAAUGAUCCAAUGAUGGGAUUGAAGAGAAAAGAGGUUACCUGAGGAUGGGAAAGGGUUCGGUUGUGAGGAAGAAUCAGUAUUGGUAACAUGAGGUGGGGAGGUAGAUGCUGGAAGUAAUGCAAGUAGCUGUUGCAACUGAUCUUGUGUCAAAGUAACAGAAGGAUCAGAUGGCAAAAUAUCAACAUGCUGCGAAGAGUCCAAAGGUUGUGAAGCACAAUCAUUAAGCGCUGUAUGUGCACGAGAGGCCCGACCUCGAGACUUGUAACCAGGUGGAUAUCCAUGCUUUUCAUAACAAGUAUCAACAGUAUGCCUGGAUUUGCCACAGAAGGUACAUUACCGUGAAUCAGUAAAUGAUUUAGCCUGAGGUUUCUUUGAAGAACUGUGGUGGCGCAGUGUGUUGCUAACAAACAACUGAGAUGAGCCAGUAGGAAGGUGACGUUCUUGUUGAAUAACCAGGGAAAAUACUUUGUUGAUUGGAGGCAAGGGAUCAAUAAGCAUGAUUUGAGAACGAACAGCAGCAAAUCGAUCAUGAAGACCCUUAAGAAAACGAAUAACGUAGUCGUUAUCAUGAUAUUUCUGGAGAGUGACAAAAACACCGCAAGAGCAAGAUGGUGAACAAGAACAAACUGGAAUUGGUCGAAAAUUCAUCAACUCAUCCUAGAGAAUUUUUAACUCAGUAAAGUAAUCAGUAACGGAACGAUCAUCUUGCUUGAAAGCAUUGAUCUCUUCUUGGAGAGCAGAAAUGCGGAAAACAUCACUUUGAGAAAAGCGUUCACGAAGAUCGCGCCAAACAUCAUAAGCAAAGUCGAGCCAAAGAACACUGUUCAUGAUCGAGGGCGAGAUGGAAUGGUGCAACCAAGAAAGCACCAUAGUGUUACAUCGUUCCCAGGCAGAAUAAAGAGGAUCCGUUCGAGGUGGAACCGUGAUGGUGCCGUCAACAAACUGAAGCUUGUUCUUGGAUAGAAAUGCCAUUGUCAUAGCUCGAGACCAAGAGUGAUAGUUUGAGCUUGAUAAGACAGGAGAAACAAGAACCAAAGCUGGAUUUUCAUUUGGAUGCAGAUAGUAUGGGCUAGAAGGCAGCAUAGUAUCAUGAAAUGCCAUUGGAAGAAAAGGGAAUCAAGAAUGCAGAUUAUGGAGAAAGCAAAAUAUAACGUCUGAUACCAUGUAGAAUAAUAAAAGAAAACUUCUCAAGUUUUUUGGAUGCUAACGUAUUGUUAUAUACAAGCAAGGAAAGGAAGUAACAGAAAGUAACAGAAAAAUAACUACUAACUGACUAACAAGAAAUUAAUUUAAAACUAUAUGACUAAUAAUGUUUUGUCUUUGAUGGAUGUUUGAAAAAUGAUUCAGUUGAUAUCCAUAAUGUCUAUCACUAUAGUUUCCCCCUUAUGCAUAAUUCGACUGCUCUGCUAGUUUUGUCGGACAAAAUUAUAUUCGCAUAUUAUAUUCUUUUUCUUUAUUGUCUUCAACGCGAUAACAAGUGAAUUACUAGUUACUUUACUUGAUUUUUUCAUGGCAUUUAUCUCUUUGAGUUUUGGCCUUUGUGAAUUAACUUUUGAAUCAAGUAGCGAAGCAUUUCUGAUGGUUCUUAUGGCUAACAGUAAGUUUUCUUGUACAAGCUGUCGCACUUAUGCAUUUGUUAAACUUAUGCUCUUUUUUAUUUUAUUUUCUUCAAUUCAAUUGGUUGUUAACGUUGACAUAACCGUGCACAAAUACUAAGGGACCUUGUAAUUUUGCCUGCCAUUGGCGGUACUUUGAAAUAUUGCUGAUUUUUCUCAGCAAUUAAAAAGGAAGAGCGCAGCAGACAAAAAUGAUGUUGAGUCUAGCCAAUGGACAAGCAGUCCGGGGGUUACCUGUAUAUGCUAAAGGAGGAAGGAUAAAUAAUAGAUCAAAGACAUCAAAAGCCAAUAAAUCAAUGCCUCACACACCUGUGUCAAAUGCUGGUGCGAUACUAUUUCCUACUGGCUUUGUCCAUAGAAGGAAACUUAUGAUUCACCCCACGGCUCUAUCAUCAAUGCCUCAUUGCUCCAAUUAAGAGAGAUGGAUUUUGUAGAAGAGGAAUCACUGACAUUAUAAAUGAUAAUUGGCAGGUUGUCCAUCUCCUCUUACACCUGUGGCAGCUGCUGUUUAGAUAGUCCUUUAGUUAAUCUUUACUGCCCAUUCUUUUUUCUUUUACUAUAGUCUGUUUUAGCUCCUUAACCUGCUAUGGAUGGUGAGAACGACAAUAAUGCAGUCCCCAUUUUUAGGUCUGUUGACGAAAAAGUUUGUCAAUCUGAUGAAGCAUGCUGAUUUGUCAAUCUGAUGAAGCAUGCUGAAGAUGGUAUCCUUGACCUAAAUAAGGCUGCAGAAACAUUGGAGGUAAUGAAAUACUAGCGAGCUUAUGUAUCAUUGGGUGUUUGUUGAGUAUUUUUUUCAUGUUACUUAAAGGGUUCUUUUGUCCUUUAUUUUUCCCUGUAAAUGUUGUAACAGGUGCAGAAGAGGAGGAUAUAUGAUAUAACAAAUGUCUUGGAGGGCAUCCCUUCAUUUGAAUACUGUUUGGAACCCUAAAAAAACAUAAAUGUGUUUUUUCCUGAGAUGGCACGUAUUUUGCAAUAAGAAAAAUAAAGAGUACAAUUAAAAUGUUUAUGCAGUUCGGAACUUGUCCUAUGUCUGCGGAGCUUUGCCCAAAGAUGAAUCCACUAUGAACUUUAUAGUACAAAGAAAUGAUUUAAGCUUAACCCCUCAAACACUUUAUGCAAAUUCUCACUUUUGUACAAUUAAGUAAAUUCUCUCCCAACUCAUUUUAGCUAUGCAAGUGAAAAUUCACAUUCAACACUCACAUGAUUUUCCUACUAUGAAUAAGUUCUUAAUAAGCUCCAUGUAAAGUGGAAUAAUAAAUUUUCAAAUGCAAUAUGUCUGGGAAUUGUCAUGCUUGAACAACGACUCUUCCAAAAGCAUCAAUGAAUCUGAAAAUUAUAAAUGCCAACAUAGAAUAUGUUACAAAUCCCGUUAUUAUCAGCCUUAUAUUUACACAUAUGUCUGUUUAGUAUAAUGCUGUUGAUAUAUAAAUAAUGAAACAUUUUAUCAACUUCAACCUCACCACCGAAUAUUCUGAAGCAUUUUCCUUUUUUUCCUGUUUGGACCUUCAAUAACAAAUUUGGCUGGAAUUCCAAACAGCUAAAAGAGUGCCCUGCAUCAAUGAAUAUUAAGAUGGUAAGCAAAAACAUAAAUAUAUAUAAAGAUAUGAUAGGUAAGUGCUUAAAUGAAGAAAGCAGAGCAUAUAGUACAACCAUUUUGAAGGCUUCAUGGGCCUCUCUCUCCACAUCAAUCAUUUUUUAGAAUCAAAAUAUUAGAAGCAAAUAGAUGAAUUAUCACCUCUUUUUAUGCAUAUAGAAUGAUUGAAGUUGACUAAUGCCUUUCUCCAAUGCCUUACUGCACAAAUCAGCAAAUAUAUUAUGAAAGAUGAUAAGUAAAAAGUAGGAUGAAAACAAAGGGAUUUUAACAAGGAAAUUAACAGUAUCCAACUUCAAUGAAAAAUGGCAUCAGACCCCUGACUUGGAGAUUCAAUAUACCACUCUUAUUUUUCUUCAAAAAAAGAUAAGGUCAUCAAAAUAAAUAAAUAACAAAGACAGACCAACCUGAUAUGACCCAAUGUUGGGGAUGUGAGCAAUCUUUUGCCAAUCAGCGCCAAUGUCCUUCCGACAUCUUUCCUCCAACUGAGGAAUUCCUUUUAUGUGUAAAUACUCCAAACUGGUUAGGCAACGCAUCCCGUCCGGAAGAGAUGUUAAAUUUGGCAAAUUAACAAGAUGAAGCCGUUGCAGAUUUGUUAGAUGUUGAAGCCACUCCGGAAGAUGCCGACACUUUGGAAUAUAUUCCAGCCGUAGAGAGCGUAGUCUUGUAUGAUCUUGGAAUAUUUGGAUGCCAGCUCCAGAUAACUCCAGCUCCUCGCAGUUCCUUACUUCAAACUCUUCAAGGAAAGUGAGAUGUUGGAACACAGGAAGCAGUGACCUCAAUCCAUUCCAGUUAUGAAUUUUUAAUGUUUUCAAUUGAACAAGAUGUUGAAGCCCAAUGGGGAGAGACACCAGCUUUGGAAUAUUAUCAAUCUCCAAAUGAGAGAGAUUCUUAAGGGGUUCCCAUUGCAUGCCCUCUAAAUCAACCUCCUUGCAAUCUCGUAUUGUUAAUCUUUUGAGGCUGGUGAGAUGUUGCAGGCACUCAUCUAGCGUGUAAGUGUCCAACCCCUCAAUGUUGUGUACAUCGAAAGAUUUCAUUUUGGAGAGUGGAAGAGAAGAGGUUGAAGUUGAUGGGGCCUUAGCAUUGAUGUUCAUCUUGAUAGUCUGCUUUAACGGCCUUGAACUGGUAUUCGACAACAUUAGAUCUUCACCGAGUGAUGGAUACAGUGGCAUUAAAGUCAAAGGGCAAUUUUGAAUUGUUAAAGAGGAAAGACAAGGAAAUGCCAUGGUUGAUGUUCCCAUAACUGUUGUGUCGUCCUCGUUGGAAUCAUCAUCGAUUGGUUUUGUCGUCCUCCACCAACUCUUCAUAUUUGGGCAAUCCUCGAGGUUAAGAAGCUUAAGCGAUGGGAAGAAUGAUUGUGGUUCUCCUUGACUUCCUUUUGGGCUAUUAUCAUCCAUGUACUCCAGCUUAGUACAAAACAUAAUAUCCAGCAGUUCAAGACAGGGCAAUUGAGCAAAGGACGGGAAAUAUUUGAAAUUACCACCACUUAUGAAAAUUUUGACGAGAUUUGUGAGCAAAGGAAGCCAACUUGGAAACUUGGCAUCACCCCUCCAUCCUCGAAUACAGAGCUCCUUUAGAUUAGGAUGGGGUUGGAGGUCUUCAAGUGAUUUAUCAUCAUCAUAUUCAUCAUCGUUAAAAUCAAAAUAAAAGCUCCAUUGUAAAACCAACGAUCUCAAAUGUUGCUUCUCAUUCAAAUUAGCAGCCUUAAACUUCUCUUUUGCAUUUUUUACGAAUCCCAAAUUUGCUAUUUCUAGAUGUCCCCUUAAGUUGUUAAGCAGUCUCAAUUCACUUAGAUCUGCACCGCCAUGGGACCCAUCUUUAUCCACUACAAACAUGCUUAACGUCUCAAGUGAAGUCAGCUUCCCUAUUCCACGUGGCAUAUGAGUUAAACUAAAACAAGCGUCACACCCAAUAUGGGUAAGCUUCACCAAUUUUUCAACCUUCUUUGGCAAUUCUUGAAGCCCACAACACCAGUCAAGUUUCAGCGCUAGCAAAUUCUGAAUCUUGCAAAUACUCUUUGGGAGAAUCUUGAUAUUGUAAUUGGAAGAAAGAUCAAGGUGCCUCAAAUGUUUCAACUUGUAAAUGGAGGGUGAAAUCAUCUGAAUACCUAACGAAUGCAAAUCCAAUACACGCAAGCAUCUACAAUUUGCAAUUAUCAAAUCCCAAGUUUCAUAGCUGAAAUCAUCACUCAAUUUUUGAUCUAUGUUGUCUUGAAAAUGUAACAAGGUUCGCAACUUCUUUCCCUUAAACGAAGGAAUUAAUGAAGGUUUAAUUGAUAUGUGGCGACAUUUUUCACCAACAUCACUUGCAAUUCUAUUUGAAUCUACAAUACCACUCUCCAUCCCUGCUACUGAUUCAGCUAGAUCAUGCAUUAAAUCAUGCAUUUUACAUGUUAGCCCUUCCCAUGAAUAUCUUUCUCCUACUUCUUGGAAGAAACUUCUUUCAACUAAAUCUUUAAAAUACCCAAACCCAAUCUCCUCCAGAGAUUGACUUUGAUUCAAUUGCUUUAUGAAACCCUCUGCAAUCCAAAAUUGAACAAGCGCUUGUACUUCAAUUCUGUAAUCUUUUGGAUACAAUCGGCAAUAAGCAAAGCAAUGCUUCAAAUGAGACGGGAGAUGAUCAUAACUCAAUUUCAGCAUAGGUAGAAGUUCUCCUUCAAUUUGUGAUAUUUUAGGAAGUUCAUUUUCAUUGAAAGAAUGCCACUCAUUUGCAGUUUUCUUCAAAGAUAAUGUACCAGCUAUCGUCCUUAUGGCUAAGGGAACCCCACCACACCUUUCCGAAAUCUGUCUCCCUACUUCCACAAAGGCUGAAUUUGUUGAGUCUGCAUAUCCUUGCUCAAAUGCUAUCUUUUUGAACAAAGACCAAGCAUCAUCAUCAGACAAGCCUUUCAAUUUCAAAACAUGGGAUUGACAUUUAUUAGUUAUCUCCGCUACCCUUAGAGAUCUAGUCGUUACUAUUAUCCUACUCCCUUUAGCCCCACCCAUCAAUAACUUCUUUAGCCUAGACCACCUUUCUGGGUCCUCAUUCCAAAUGUCAUCCAAAACAAGCAAAUAUUUUUUCCCAUCAAUUUUAUCUCGAAGUUGUUUUUGCAGUUGAUCCAUUUCAAGAUUUUGAUCAGGUGCUUGAUGAGUCACAGAUUUGAUAAUGUUUGCUACAAUAACUUUCACAUCAAAAUCAUCUGAAACACACGCAAACAUCGUUAAGUCAAAAUGAUUUUUGACCAUUUCAUGGUUAUAGACAAGUUGGGCCAAAGCAGUCUUCCCUAACCCUCCAAACCCCAAAAUUGGAAUGAUAAAAACAUUCUCUUCACUUUGAAACUCCAACACGAGUUUUAGAAGAGCUGCUUUAUCCUCGUCCCUCCCUAUUAUGUCAUCUUCACGCUCAAAAGAGUGCGUUUGCUGCCUCCUUUUAGUCAUGAAAGAGGUUUCCGCGGGGCGAUCACGCGGAAUGAAGCGAAAAGUGUUGGCCUCACUUUCAAUUGAAGCUAAUCUCGCCUUAAUGGCCUUCAUUUUCCGACCCAUUUUGAGACCAUAAGCAAAUUGGUUUGAGGUUGAGAAGAAAAGGCGUACCUCUUUCGUCAGCUUGUUCCCACCCGAUACAUCUUUCCGCAAAGCUUCAGUAGAGAAAUCAUCGAGCAAGUCGUCGGCAUCAUAAAGUACAUCUUUCAGAUCUAAUCAAGCCAACUUUGACGAGAUUGUCGGUCACCGAUUUCUCUUCUGCGUCAAGAAGCACAGCUUUGAUUUGACAGACAGUGCGUCUGAGGUCGUGGAUGUCAUGUUUUAGAUUCCACCACGGCCCAAGUUGAGAGAGAGCACGAGAGCUCAACUUAAUAAUGAGCUCUGCGGCAAUGUCGAAAGCAAUUGCUUCGGCCAUUGUUGGCUCAAACUGAAAUCAAGGCGAGAAGUGUUUGAUUAGUGAAAGAGGAGGACUAAAAUGAGAAUGAUUCCAACAAGAUGAAACACAGAUGUGGAUCCAUCCACCCAGCAAGUAGUAUAAUGAAAAAAAAAGUAAUGUUCAUUGGUGGGAAAUGGUCCCUCCAUGUGACACAAAUUUCUGAAGGGAGACAAAGUUGGGAUGAUGACACUUGGGGUGCUCUGCACAAUGUGGAGCCGUACAAAUAAUUGAAAUUAAUGAAAAAGCUAUGAAAGAAAAGAGAAAAAAGGAGACAAAUCCCAUGGAAUCCAGGGUGUUUUGAUUGAGGCACAUGCAUUCAAGUCUUUCUAAACCUUCUUCCCACUUACUUUGUGUAAUUGAGUGGGUCUGAAUACUCGGUUCUAACUUAAAUUUAAUAUUUUAUUUUUGAGGGUGAUUGCAGACUGUGAGAUACAACAUGAAGAUUGGGUUUAUGUCAGCUCCAUGGGAAUGUAUUUUAUUAUACCAUCAUGAAGAUUGCUUCCAGUGCUCAUAUCUAUUUAAUUAUUUUAAUACACAUAAAAUUGUUUAUUGUGAGUUGGAUGAUUUUGGUUUGUUUAUUUAAGAUAUUUUAUUUUUAAAUAUAUUCUUAAUUAUUUAUUUUACAUAUUUUAACUUAAUAUAUUUAAUAGUGAUUUUUUUUAAUAAAAAAAAGGACCCAAAGGUUACUACCUCAUUUUAAGUUGCAUCAUAAAUUACAAUGUUAUGGAUAUCGCUAUGAUAAUCAAUCUCAAAAGACAAAUUACAACACUUAGAAAGAGCCCAAUUACAAAGAGAAUCGGCUAAUUUGUUACAACCACGUUUCACCCAUUUGACCUUGGCGGAAACAAAAGAAUCAAGCAUAUUGUGAACUCCUUGAUGCAGUGAUCAAGGAUCGUUAUGUCCUUCUUGUCAAAACUGAAGCAGUUGACAAUACUAGCACAAUCUGUUUCAAAAAUGACGUUAUCGGCUUUAAGAAAUUGAGCAAGCUGAAAACCAUUUAUGAGGGCAUCUACUUCCGCUUUAAUAUUGAUUUUUUAUUCUCAUUUUAUCAGUAUAUUUACAUUUGAAUUCAAAUACAUAUUCUAUAAUUAACUUUAAUCUCACUGUUACAAUACUUAACCUCACUAAAUUACUUGUUUAACAUGAUUAUGGUGAAUUUAUAGAAAGAACAAUCACGAAGCAAAUGCAGAUGCACUUAUCUUUAAAGUGUUAUUAAUGGAAAUUUUAUUAUUUUGAAAAAUAAAAGUAUAAUAACUUUUUUGGCAUUCCAACUUUAUAAAAGAAUUAUUUUAUUAUUUUGAACUUACAUUUUUUUGUCAAACCAUCCAAAAUGGGUGAAAAAGUUAAUGUUUGUUAACUUUGUUGACAUGACAUAUAGGUGGAUUACCACGUGUAUGUCACGUUAGCAAUUAAUUAUUUUUAAAAAAUAUUAAAAAAUAUUUUCUUAUAAAUUUUUUAAUUUUUAAAAUAUUUUUUUGAAUUUUUUAAAAUUUAAAAAAUGAGUAAUUGCUUAUGUGACAUACACAUGGCAAUCAGCGUGUAUGUCACAUUAGCAAAAUUAAUAGACAUUAAUUUUUCACUCAUUUUGGGGUGAUUUGACAAAAAUUACAAGUCUAUGGACUAAAAGAAACGAAAAAUUAAAUGGAGAGAUGAAAUUACUUUUUCUCUAAAGUUGGAGACCAAAAUAAUCAUUAUGGCAAAAAAUAGUUGUUUUUCUUCUCUCUCUUUCUUUUUGGUAUUUUUUAGUGCUAAAAUUUAAGAUGGUGUGGAAUGUUUAUAAUCUUAUUAUUGUUAUAUAUGUUUUCGAUCUCAUUAGAGCUAAUCUCACUAUCUAUAUAAAGAGAGCCUAAAUAUAAUUUGUUUAGCUUCUUUUAAACAUGUUAGUGUUCCCUUGUAUGAUCAUUUACCUCCCGUGAGUAGGGUUGAGUAAAUUAAAUAAAAUAAAAUAAUUGAAAAUCGAUCCAAAUCAAGGUCUUUAGAUGGUUUUUGGAAUACUAAUUAACAAAUCACAAUUAUCCGAAACCAAACCAAAUUAUAUUCUUUAUUUAAUUUAUAAAUAAAUUUAUUUUUUAUAAUUUAAAAAUAAAUCUUUUAUAUUUAAAAAUAGUGAAAAUAAAUAAAUAAAUAUUUUUAUUUACUUAAAAAAAAUUUAAAAAAUAUCUAUGAAAUAAAUUUUGAAAAUUUGUCAAAUGAUAUUUAAAAGCCGUAAAAUAAAGUUUAUUUUAUUAAAAUAAUUAUAAAAAUUUAUAAUAAAAAUCAAACUAAACUAAAUUAUAAUGGAAAGACAAAAAAAUACAAUCGAAUUAAGCUAAGAUUUUCUUAAAAAAAUUAACUUGCAAUGAGAUUGUUUUCCUCACUAUAACCUUGUAGAGGUGUUAUAUAAGUACAUAUCAUAUGAUAAUUAUAAAUUUAAUAAUUUAAUUUUUUAAAAUUAAAUAUAUUACAAAUUAAUAUUUAUAUAAUGAUAUAUUAAAUACAUGUAAAUUUAUUAUCAUAAAUAUAUUUUUAAUUAUUAUUUAAUAUAAAUAAUUUUAUUAUAUUUUAUUAUUUUCAUUUAUAUAAAAUAUAGAAUUUUGAGUUUAUAAUAAUUUCAAAAAAUAUAUAAUUUUCAUAUUCAAAUUUUAUAUAAAUUAAAUCUAAAUAAGUAGAUAUGUAAUAAUAAAUAAAAAUUAAUAAAAAAUAUAUUUAUUAAUAAAUUUAUUAUUUACCAUGAUUGCAAAUUUAGUAUAUGUUAUAUUAUUUAAUGUUAAAUAUAAUCUUUCAUUUUACAAAUAUAAUUUAACAUCCUUAAUAAUCAAUUUAAGGUGAAAACACCUCUCUAGUCCCUUUCAAUUUUGAUAUCAUACAAAUUGGUCCUUCUAAAAAAUUUAGAGCAAUUUUAUCGUUAUUAAUUUUGAAAUUGAGCAACUAAGGAUAAUUAAUCACAACAUUAAUAUUUUUUGUCAUCUGUACACAUUUUUAUUGGUAUAAUAACAGCUUCAGCCCUAAAAGUUUACACAUUCUGUCAAUUUAGUUCUAGUUUAACAAAAUCAAUUUGCAACAUUUACACAUUAUGUAUGAACUGAAUUUGUUAUUAUACUAAUCAAAAUUAUAUACGAGUGACAAAAAAUAUUAACAUUAUUUUUAAUUGUCCUUAGUUCACCUUUGAAAUUGAUAAGGAUUAACUUGUUCCAUUUUUUAGAAAGGGCCCAUUUGCAAAAUAUUGAAUUUAAGAGGGAUCGAAGAGGUGUUUUUAUCCAUUUUUAGCCUCACCUCACUACUACAAUUGUUAUUGAAUCCAAAUAUAUAUCCAACACUGAUUAUUAUCACAUCACUACGGUAUUCAAUCUCACUAUUAUAACAACUAAUAUUACCACCAACGUUAUUUUUCAUUUCACUAGACUUGAUCCAAGUAUACAUCCAAAGAAAACCAUAAACUUAUCUAAAUACAAAUAAAACUAUAAAAAAACUUAUUUAGACAUAAAUUGAAAAUAUAAUUACUUGCUUGAGUUACACAUUUGUCCAAUUAUUCAAUUUGGUCAGAUUGAAGGUUAUUCUUUGAUAAGAUAUUAUUAUUAUUAUUAUUAUUAUUUGCUCUGGGCAAACUUAAUACAACUUGAUUUACUCUUUAUUAAUUAAAAUCAUUUUAUUUAUAUUUAAUUAUAAAAAUGUGUAAAUAUUAUUAAAACAUUAAUUUUUAAUAUUCAAUGAAUAGUGAAAUAGGGUCAACUUAUAAAGCUUAAAGUAUUUAGGAAGUCCCUAUAUUAUAGACUGUAUCAAAAUAGUCUAUUGAUUAUUAAACAGAUCAAAUUUAUUCUUGUAUUAUUAAAAAAGAAUCAAAUUAUAUCAAAUUGUAACAGAAUUAACAUUUAUUGUAACAGAAUUAAUAUUAACAGAGUUAACAAUUUUCAAUACAUUUUUAUGCAAUAAAUGUUAAUUUUGUUGUAAUUUGGUUUUAUUUGAUCAUUUUUAAUAAUACAGAGACUAAUUGACCAUUUAAUAAUAGAGGGACUAAUUUGAUGUAGUCCCUAUAAUACAGGUACUUUCACCCUUAUAUAUGUAUUUGAAUCUUAUUUUGGAUGAAAUUGAACAAUUGAAAAAGAUAAGAGUUCAAAAAGGUAAAAAUAAAUUGUAAUUACAUACAAAAUAAAUCUCCUAUUGUUUAUCUUUUGAGGCUGGUGAGAUGUUGCAGGCACUCAUCUAGCGUGUGAGUGUCCAACCCCUCUAUGUUGUGUACAUGGAAAGAUUUCAAUUUGGAGAGUGGAAGAGAAGAGGUUGAAGUUGAUGGGGCCUUAGCAUUGAUGUUCAUCUUGAUAGUCUGCUUUAACGGCCUUGAACUGGUAUUCCUCAACUCUAGCUUAUCAUCGAGUGAUGGAUACAGUGGCAUCAAAGUCAAAGGGCAAUUUACAAUCCAUAAAGAGGAAAGACAAGGAAAUGCCAUGGUUGAUGAUGUUCCCAUAACGGUUGUGUCGUCCUCGUUGGAAUCAUCAUCGAUUGGUUUUGUCGUCCUCCACCAACUCUUCAUAUUUGGGCAAUCCCGUAAGCAAAGAUACUUAAGCGAUGGGAAGAAUGAUUGUGGUUCUCCUUGACUUCCUUUUGGGCUAUUAUCAUCCAUGUACUCCAGCUUAGUACAAAAGCCAAUCUCCAGCAGUUCAAGACAGGGCAAUUGAGCAAAGGACGGGGGAUAUUUGAAAUUACCACCACUUAUGAAAAUUUUGACGAGAUUUGUGAGCAAAGAAAUCCAACUUGGAAACUCAGCAUCACCCCUCCAUCCUCCAAUAAAGAGCUCCUUGAGAUUAGAAUGGGGCUGGAGGUCUUCAAGUGACUUCUCAUUAUCAUGGUUACCACGGACCCAUAUUAAAACCAACGAUCUCAAAUGUUGCCUCUCUUUCAAAUUAGCAGCCUUAAACUUCUCUUUUGCAUUUUUUACGAAUCCACUUAAGUUGUCAAGCAGCCUCAAUUCACUUACAUCUGCACCGCCAUGGGACCCAUCUUUAUCCACUACAAACAUGCUUAACGUCUCAAGUGAAGUCAGCUUCCCUAUUCCACGUGGCAUAUGAGUUAAGCGAUUACAAUAACGACAAGAAAGAUGGGUAAGAUUCACCAAUUUUUCAAUCUUCUUUGGCAAUUCUUUAAGCCCAGUACACCAGUCAAGUUUCAGCGCUAGCAAAUUCUGAAUCUUGCAAAAACUCUUUGGGAGAAUCUUAAUAUUGUAAUUGGAAGAAAGAUCAAGGUAUCUCAAAUGUUUCAACUUACAAAUGGAGGGUGAAAUCUUUUGAAUACCUAUAGAAUUCAAUUUCAAUACACGCAAGCAUCUGCAAUUUGAAAUUAUAAAAUCCCAAGUUUCAUCACUCAAAUUUUGAUCUAUCUUGUUUGGAAAGUGUAACAAGGUUCGCAACUUCUUUCCCUUAAACAAAGGAAUUAAUGAAGGAGCAAUUGAUAUGUGGCGACAUUUUUCACCAACCUUGCUUGCAAUUUCAUUUGAGUCUACAAUACUACUCUCCGUCCCUGCUACUGAUUCAGCUAGAUCAUGCAUUAAAUCAUGCAUUUUACAUCUCAUAUUCCCAAUUCCAUAUUCUUCUACCUCUUGGAAGAAACUUCUUUCAACUAAAUCUUUAAAAUACCCAAACCCAAUCUCCUCGAGAGAUUGACUUUGAUUCAAUUGCUUUAUGAAACCCUGUGCAAUCCAAAAUUGAACAAGCGCUUGUACUUUAAUUUUGUAAUCUUUUGGAUACAAUCGGCAAUAAGCAAAGCAAUGCUUCAAAUGAGACGGAAGAUGAUCAUAACUCAAUUUCAGUAUAGGUAGAAGUUCUCCUUCAAUUUGUGAUAUUUUAGCAAGUUCAUUUUCUUUGAAAGAAUGCCACUCAUUUGCAGUUUUCUUCAAAGAUAAUAUACCAGCUAUCGUCCUUAUGGCUAAGGGAACCCCACCACACCUUUCCGAAAUCUGUCUCCCUACUUCCACAAAGGCUGAAUUUGUUGAGUCUGCAUAUCCUUGCUCAAAUGCUAUCUUUUUGAACAAAGACCAAGCAUCAUCAUCAGACAAGCCUUUCAAUUUCAAAACAUGGGAUUGACAUUUAUUAGUUAUCUCCGCUACCCUUAGAGAUCGAGUAGUUACUAUUAUCCUACUCCCUUUAGCCCCACCCAUCAAUAACUUCUUUAGCCUAGACCACCUUUCUGGGUCAUCAUUCCAAAUGUCAUCCAAAACAAGCAAAUAUUUUUUCCCAUCAAUUUUAUCUCGAAGUUGUUUUUGCAAUUGAUCCAUUUCAAGAUUUUGAUCAGGUGCUUGAUGAGUCACAGAUUUGAUAAUGUUUGCUACAAUAACUUUCACAUCAAAAUCAUCUGAAACACACGCAAACAUCGUUAAGUCAAAAUGAUUUUUGACCAUUUCAUGGUUAUAAACAAGUUGGGCCAAAGCAGUCUUCCAUAACCCUCCAAACCCCACAAUUGGAAUGAUAUAAACAUUCUCUUCACUUUGAAACUCCAACACGAGUUUUAGAAGAGCUGCUUUAUCAUCAUCCCUCCCUAUUAUGUCAUCUUCACGCUCAAAAGAGUGCGUUUGCUGCCUCACUUUCAAUUGAAGCUAAUCUCGCCUUAAUGGCCUUCAUUUUCCAACCCAUUUUGAGACCACAAACAAAUUGGUUUGAGGUUGAGAAGAAAAGGCGUACCUCUUUCGUCAACUUGUUCCCACCCGAUACAUCUUUCCGCAAAGCUUCAGUAGAGAAAUCAUCGAGCAAGUCGUCGGUAUCAUAAAGUACAUGUUUCAGCUCUUCAAGCCAAACUUUGACGAGAUUGUCGGUCACCGAUUUCUCUUCUGCGUCAAGAAGCACAGCUUUGAUUUGACAGACAGUGUGUUUGAGGUCGUGGAUGUCAUGUUUUAGAUUCCACCACAGCGCAACUUGAGAGAGAGCACGAGAGCUCAACUUAAUAAUGAGCUCUGUGGCAAUGUCGGAAGCAAUUGCUUCGGCCAUUGUUGGUUCAAACUUCAAACUGAAAUCAAGGCAAAAAGUGUUUGAUUCGUGAAAGAGGAGGACUAAAAUGAGAAUGAUUGGAACAAGAUAAAACACAGAUUCGAAGGCUUUGUUUUGAAAGUAAGAUUACACUGCACCUGUUCAUAGACUCGAAGGCUCCUUCGAAAUUCGGAAAGGUUUGGGCAAAAAAUAUUAAGCCCAAAAAUAGACUUGGGUAAAAAAAAAUAUGCUUCCUUAAAAUAUGGGUCGGGCUUGAGCUUGAACAUUUAAGGCAAAAGCUUGACCCAAUCCGAUCCGUUUUAAGUUUAUGUUAUUUUUAUAAAUUAUGUAAUUCAUAACACAUUAAAAAAAUAAAUAUAUAAUACUACUCUAAUGUAAACUUUUAAAAAAAUAUUAAGAUGACUAUAUAAAAAAUUUCAAUAAAUAAAAAAGUAUAAAAUUAUUAAAUAUUAAAAUAAUAUAAUAUAAAUAUUUUUAAAAAUUUUUAAAAAAACAAUAUGGGUGGGCCUAAAAUAGGCUUAGGUUAGUAUUUUACAAAUAUGUACGAGUUUGGACAAAAUUUUAAGUUUAGAUUUCGAGUUGGAUCGGGCCUGGACAAGCAUAAAGUAUAUUAAUAUCAUACUUAGACUUAACCCGAACCCAAUCAACCUAGCCCAUAAACACCUCUAAAAUACACUUUAAAAGAUAAUAUUUGGAUAAGGAUAAAAAUGUUUAAUGAUCUCAAAUUUCUCUACUUCUUCUCUAAAUCAUUCAUAAAAAGGAUGACAAUCAUUUCAUAAUUUUGGUACAAAAUUCCUCUUCAUUUAAAAUUAAACCAACAACAACCAAGUAAAAAAUUGCCAAUAUAAAAUCUUUCACUGCUCCAAACCUAUUAUUCAAACUCUUUUUUCCAACAUGACAUAAAAAUGUGUAACAUGUUAGAAUAAUUAGGUGUUAUUGUAUUAAUCUAAAACGAAAUCUGAUUAAGAGGUCUAAUUUGAAAAUAGUAUGUUUUAAUUAACGUUAGUUUUAAAUUCACAAAAUUAAGAUAGCCAUUUGUGUAAAACGAGUUUAGUAUUGAUAAUUGAUAUUUUAAAAAGAUCAAGCCACCUAUACGGUUAAUGUGAUCUCUUCAGCUCGGUUCUACUGUCUAGGCCGGGUUGAGAAGGUUACAGAAUAAGGUAAAAUUUCCAAUAAUAAAAUGAUGUUAUAGAAAGUGGUUGUUCUAUGAAUAGUAUGUGUCGGUAAUGUUGCCUAAUGCAUUAUUAUCUCUUUCUUCUUCUUUUUAGAUCCUUACAAUUUCCAUGGUAGUAAUGGAAGCAUAAGCAUGUAGAAGCAAUGGUGGCCAACAACAGGUGCAACACAAGGCAUUUCAUCAAAAGAUCGUAAAUGCUUAUAUUCCCAUUCACACUAUUCUAUUUAUCAUCAAAAGAUUCUUAAGGGUGAGUAGGAAUAUGGAUGCUUAACCAUUAAGCCAAACAUAUCGUAAGAUGAAGCUUCAAUUUUGGUUUGCUAACAAUCUUCUUUUUUGGAGGUCGUAGCAAUUACGACAAUUUUCAAUUUAUCCAUUUUGUGAUGAUUUUACAAAUAGUUCAAGUUUAUGAACUAAAUUGAUUUUUCAUAAAGUUGGAAGGUCAAAUAAAUAAUUAUGCUAAAAUAUAAUAGAUGAUUUAAAACCAAAUGAAAAUAUUUAUUUAUUAGAAUUUGAAGUUGCAAUUUCUUGAAAGUUUUUUUAAAAAUAAAGAUGUCUAUUUAUUUGUUUUCUUCACCAAAACUAUUCACAGCUUUAUCUUAAAAGAGAAAGAAAAAAGAAAUCUGAAGUAAAAAAAAAAAUGAGAAAAUAGUAAUCUUAAAGCUUGAUUCAAUCACUUUUUCCUUUUCUUUUUUUUUAAUUGAAAUGUUUUUUCCUCUACUGCAUCCUUAAAAAAAUAGAUCAAUAAAUAAUAAUUAAAAGGGUAAACUAUCAAAAUAGUCAUAUUUAUUUGCCUCAGGUUACAUUUUAGUCAGUGAGUCAUUAAUUGUUAUUAACGGUGUACCAGUAAGCUGAUGUGGCAAGUUAAAUCAUCAUUUCAAAUGAAAAUUUUAGGUUAAAUUCUAUAAUUGGUCCCUAUAUUUUUUCAUUUGAGCAACUUAAUUUUCUUUUAUGUUUAUUUAACUUCUUUUUUUUUCUUUAUUUUACUUUCUCUUCUGCUUCUCUCUCUGUUUUCCUCCCUUAUUCAUUUUUUUAACGUAAUUUUUCUAUGAUUUUCAUUUGUUAAAACUAGUCCCUAUACUUUAAUAAAUCAAUAAAUCAUAAUUAAAACACUAACUUUGAGUAAUAUAAUUUUUUUAACUUAAUAAAUUUUCAUUCCGGAACAAAUAUGAUUUCAAUUAAUAUAUAUAAUCAUUUAGGUGGAGCAAGGAAAUAAUUUUGAUUGGACUAAUAAUAUUAUACGAGUCAAUAAAACUCAUUGAAAUAUUAUUUCAAAUUGCAGAGUUGUAAGAUUAAAUUAGAUGUGAUCAUGGGUCGGGUUUAGACAUAAUAUUAACUCAUUUUAUAUUUCGUCCGUCAAAAUUUGAAUGUUCAUGCUUGGAAACCGUAACAAGAAGGAAAUAAUGAAGGAUUAAUUGGUAAGUGGAGAUAUUUUUCACCAUCCUUAAAUUUAAAGUUGUCAAAGAAAAUCUGUAGCGAAGAGUAGUAAUGGGAGCAUAAGCAUGUAGAAGCAAUAUUGGUGGGAUUUCAUCUUAUUAGCUGCUUUGGAAGAGGUUCUUAAGGAUGAGUAGGAAUAUGGAUGCUUAACCAUUCAGCUUAAUUCUCAUUAAGCUGUUUAAAAUUUUUGAAAAUUUUAAUUCCAAAUUUGACUUCAUUUAUUCUCUUAUAGUUAUAGUUUAUUUGAAUGCUUGGAACUAAGCUUUCACGUUGUUACAUUAUUGAAAAUUACUUGUAUUUUGAUAAGGAAAAUAAAGAGAAAAAUAACAAUUGAUUUUUUUAUCUAUUUUAUCUAUUUUAGAGUGAUUUGAAAAAUAAUACAAGUUUAAGGACUAAAUUAAUUUUAUAAGGAUGAUUAUAUAUUAAAGUUUGACAAUGAUUGUACAAAGCUAUUUUAUUCAUAACCAAGUCAAGAAAUUGUCACUCCACACAGUUGUCUACUUUUUCAAAAUCUACUUUAAAAGAUAGCACCUCCCCUUCUUCACAUCUUUGAAUAUAGUUCACAGUUUCGUUUUUACUGGAGCACGAUCCAGGAUUUAUCAAUCUGAAAUAAAAGUAAAAUUGAAUUUUAUCGAUUGUUCUGAGCCGAGCUUUGAAUCUAUAAAGUCAAAAUUUUUCAAUGGGGUUAGUGGACUUUACUUUAGUUUAAUUGAAAAUAGCUUUGAACAUAUAUAGACAUCUUUUCUCCCCUUGCUUGAGCUGUUGAACUAAACUAACUUUAUUCAUAUAAUAUUAAUUUUACCCAAAAUUUUCCGUUUCAACGAAAACAAAAUUCCUAAAAUACAAAAGUUAAUGGAAGAUAAAGAAGACAUUGGAUCUAGGUUUAGUUGUUUUGUAAUAAGCUAAAAGGGAUGCAGUUGUUGCAGGGCAUCCAUAUUUGUAUCCUCAACAUUUGGUAACUGAUGGGAGCUAUGCUAAACAUUCAACCAAUCAUUAGGUACUGAAACGUUUUCAUUAAAUGAUAGUCUUACAUAAUGUACACAAGAUUGCCUGAUAGUUAGUUGUGUUUCCAUGUGUUGGAUUAUUAUUUGAAACCCCAAAAGAGAAAAAUGUAUUUUUUUUUUUAAGAUGGCACACACAAAAGUAAAAAUAAAGGAGAAUAAAGAACACAACCAAGAUGUUUACGUAGUUCAGAACUCAUCCUACAUUUGUGAGCUUUGUCUAGAGAUAAAAUCGCUAUAAACUUUACAGUACAAUGAAAUUAUUUAUGCCCAACUCUCCAAACUUGGUGCAACCUCACCUUUGUACAAUUAAGUAAACACUCUUCCAACUUAGUGAAAAUCAACACUCAUAAGGUGGCACUCAACUAAUAGUUACUAACUAAAUGUUCCUUUUAAGUCCACAAAUCAUCAAUUUAUACAAGCUCCAAGAUCAGAUGAUGAAGAAUGCAUACAGAUUGAGUCUUCAACAAAGAAAAAAAGAAAAAGAAAGAACAAAUGUGCAUAGAGAGGAGGAUUUCAUGGGAGCACAAUGCCAUGGACAGAUCAGCUGAUGAAGAAUGCAUGUCCUGGUUUUUGGCUCUUCCAUUGAACUCAUGCUGAAAAAGAAGCAGCUUAGUUACGAGGUUAUAUUAGAUCAUUUGAAAUUAUGAGAUUAUUAUGAUUUUAAAAAUGUAAAGCAAUUAAGUAAUUACCACCUAUUUUUCUGCAUCUAAAUUCUUGAAGUUGUCAAAUGCCUUUCAGAAAAAUACAUGCCAAUCGAAUAUGUGGGCAGAUAAACAAAUGAGGGUAGAAAGUAUGAUCUCUGCUUUUUGUAUUGCAUGCUAUGCUCCGCCGAAGAAUAAAGCCAAAAGCUAACAAAAAUGAAGGGUAAAAAGAUUAAAAAUUUCAAGAUAAAACAUAAAAUUGUAUGUACAUAUGAUUAAGAUUUAAAUUAGGAAAAUGAACAAAGCAGAGCAUGAAGUAGAAGCAUAUUGAAGGCUGGCAUGCAAGCAUUUUGGAAAAUGCCCAUUGGGUACCAAUAAAGAUUUUUUAGAAUUAAAGUAUUAGAAGCUAUGAAAUGAUAGAUAUGAACCACCAAAAUGCUUCACACUACAUCUAAAUUAUUCAAUUUUGUUUUAUGGAAUCAAAUAGAAAAUAAAUGAGUGGCAUGAAUUACCUGUCAUUCCUUGUUGGUAUUUGGUGUAAGCUGCAAUUUCAAAUGUGUAUACACAUAUGGAUUUCAUCAGAUCAUUGCGAUGGUGAGAUUAAUAUAAUUUAAAAGCGUAAAGCAAUUAGCUAGAUUACCACUUUUUUUUUCUGCGUUUGAAUUCUUGAAAUUGCCAAAUUCGUUUCACUAAAAGUCUUCGAUGCUUACUGCACAAACUAGCCAAAUAAAAUGAUAAAUAAAGAAAUUGCACCAAAAGCUUGUUCUAUUUUGGCAAAAGAGGCUGUAGUUGGAGAGUCAAUAUACCAACCUGUAGCGAUCUGAGCAAUAUUAUGCCAAUCGGCACCAAUCCCCUUUCGAUAUCUUUCCUCCAACUGAGGAAUUCGUUUCAUAAAGAACUCUUCCAAACUGGUUCUCGUCCGGAAGCGAUGUUAAAUUAGGCAAAUAAGAGAGAAUAAGCCUUGGAAGAUUUGUUCGAUGUUGAAGCCACUCCGGAAGAUGGCGACACUUUAGAAUCUUUGCCAGCGUUAGAGAGCGCAGGCUUAUAUGAUCUUGGAAUAUUUGGAAGUUAGGUGCAGAUAACUCCAGCUCCUUGCAGUUACUUAUUGCAUGCCCUCUAAAUCAACCUCCUUGCAAUCUCCUAUUGUCAAUUUUUUGAGGCCGGUGAAAACAGAUUAAUGGAAACCAUGUAGUUUUCAAAGGUGAAUAAAUAAGGAAAAUUAAGAUCGGUGUUAACAAUUUUUACUAAUAUUUUGAAAACAUUUUAAAACAUUUUAAAUAAUAUUUUAGCUAACCAAAUUAAAAAUUGUACCCUAACCAAAUUAUAGACAAGUGUAUUUGAUUAAUUUAAAAAAAAAUUAUUUUAGCUUAUAUAAGGGUUAAAAUAUUUGGAAAGUUUAAAAUUAGUCCCUCUAUUAUUAAAUGGACCAAUUUUAUCCCAAUACUACUAAAAAGAACUAAAUAAGGUUAAAUUGUAACAGAUUUAACAUUAAUAGAAUUAACAAAUUUCAAUAUAUUUUUUAUAAAAUAAACCUUGAAUUUGUUAUAAUUUAACUUUAUUUGAUCAAUUUUAAUAGUACAGGUAAUAAAUUAAUAGCAUUAACAAAUUUCAAUAUAUUUUUUAUAAAAUAAAUGUUUUGCCUUUGAUGGAUGUUUGAAAAAUGAUUCAGUUGACAUCCAUAAUGUCUAUCACUAUAGUUUCCCCCUUAUGUAGAAUAUGACUGCUAGUUUGUCAGGCAAAAUUAUGUUCGUAUAUUAUGUUCUUUUUCUUAUUGUCUUCAACACGAUAACAAGUGAAUUACUAGUUACUUUACUUGAUUUUGUCAUGCCAUUUAUCUCUUUGAGUUUUGGCCUUUCUGAAUUAACUUUUGAAUCACGUAGUGAAGCAUUUCUGAUGGUUCUUAUGACUAACAGUAGGCUUUCUUAUCCAAGCUCUCCUACAUAUGCAUUUCUUAAACUUAUGCUCUUUUCUUCAUUUCAGUUGGUUGUUAAUCUUGAUAUAACCAUGCACAAAUACUAAUACUAAGGGACCUUGUAAUUUUGCCUGCCAUUGGAACUAUUCUGAAAUAUUGCUGAUUUUUCUCAGCAAUUAAAGAGGAAGAGCGCAGCAGACAAAAAUGAAGUUGAGUCUAGCCAACAUAAUACAAGAUGUGUUAUUCAACUUGUAGUUUGAUGUGUGCCAACAUAAGCAUCAACACACAAGUCAUACAUAUAAACAGCCAGGAAACCGACAUCUUUUGGAAGAGUCCUAAUCCAAGCAUCAUAAUUGAACAUAGUCUUGGAAUACUGUCUAAAAAAAUGGUUGUCUCAUCAUCAAUUGUGCAUCCCUGCAUUUGAAUGCUGUUUCGAACACUAAAAAAACAUAAAUGUGUUUUUUCUGAGUUGACACGUAUUAUGCAACAAGGAAAACAAAGAGCACAAUUAAGAUGUUUACACAGUUCAAAACUAGUCCUACAUCUGCGGCGCCUUACCCAAAGAUGAAUACACUAUGAACUUCAUAGUACAAAGAAAUGAUUUAAGCCCAACCCCUCUAACACUUGAUGCAAUCUCAACUUCAACCUCACCACCAAAUAUUCUGAAGCAUCUUCCUUUUUUUCCUGUUUGGACCUUCAAAAUAACAAACUUGGCUGGAACUCCAAACAGCUAAAAGAGUACCCUACAUCAAUAAAUAUUAUGAAUUUGAAUACCUCCAAAAGCCUGUCAAUAUCACAGGUACCAUCUAAGAUAGUAAUCAGCUGGCAUAUAUUAAGAGAAAAUAUAAAUAUAUAUAAAGAUGUGAUAGGUAAGUACUUAAAUGAAGAAAGCAGAGCAUAUAGUACAACCAUUUUGAAGGCUUCAUAGGCCUCUCUCUCCACAUCAAUGAUUUUUUAGAAUUAAAUUAUUAGAAGCAAUUGUCAAGUUAUUAUUAUGAUUUAAAAGUAAAAAGCAAAUAGAUAAAUUAGUACCUCUUUUUAUGCAUAUAAAAUGAUUGAAGUUGACUAAUGCCUUUCUCCAAUGCCUUACUGCACAAAUCACCAAAAAUACUAUGAAAGAUGAUAAGUAAAAAGUAGGAUUAAAACAAAGGGAUUUUAACAAGGAAGUUAACAGUAUCCAACUUCAAUGAAAAAUGGCAUCCAGACCCCUGACUUGGAGAUUCAAUAUACCACUCUUAUUUUUCUUCAAAAAAAAGAUAAGGUCAUCAAAAUAAAUAAAUAACAAAGAUAGACCAACCUGAUACAACCGAAUGUCGGGGAUGUGAGCAAUCUUUUGCCAAUCAGCGCCAAUGUCCUUCCGACAUCUUUCCUUCAACUGAGGAAUUUCUUGUACUUGUAAAUACUCCAAACUGGUUAGGCAACGCAUCUCGUCCGGAAGAGAUGUUAAAUUGGGCAAAUUAACGAGAUAAAGCCGUUGCAGAUUUGUUAGAUGUUGAAGCCACUCCGGAAGAUGCCGACACUUUGGAAUAUAUUCCAGCCGUAGAGAGCGUAGGCUUGUAUGAUCUUGGAAUAUUUGGAUGCCAGCUCCAGAUAACUCCAGCUCCUCGCAGUUCCUUACUUCAAACUCUUCAAGGAAAGUGAGAUGUUGGAACACAGGAAGCAGUGACCUCAAUCCAUUCCAGUUAUGAAUUUUUAAUGUUUUCAAUUGAACAAGAUGUUGAAGCCAAAUGGGGAGAGACACCAGCUUUGGAAUAUUAUAAAUCUCCAAAUGAGAGAGAUUCUUAAGGGGUUCCCAUUGCAUGCCCUCUAAAUCAACCACCUUGCAAUCUCCUAUUGUUAAUCUUUUGAGGCUGGUGAGAUGUUGCAGGCACUCAUCUAGCGUGUGAGUGUCCAACCCCUCAAUGUUGUGUACAUGGAAAGAUUUCAGUUUGGAGAGUGGAAGAGAAGAGGUUGAAGUUGAUGGGGCCUUAGCAUUGAUGUUCAUCUUGAUAGUCUGCUUUAACGGCCUUGAACUGGUAUUCCUCAACUCUAGCUUAUCAUCGAGUGAUGGAUACAGUGGCAUCAAAGUCAAAGGGCAAUUUACAAUCCGUAAAGAGGAAAGACAAGGAAAUGCCAUGAUUGAUGUUCCAAUAACUGUUGUGUCGUCCUCGUUGGAAUCAUCAUCGAUUGGUUUUGUCAUCCUCCACCAACUCUUCAUAUUCGGACAGUCCCAGAGCGAAAGAUGCUUAAGUGAUGGGAAGAAUGAUUGUGGUUCUCCUUGACUUCCUUUUAGGCUAUUAUCAUCCAUGUACUCCAGCUUAGUACAACGCUCAAUCUUCAGCAGUUCAAGACAGGGCAAUUGAGCAAAGGACGGCAAAUAUUUGAAAUUAUCACCGCUUAUGAAAAUUUUGACGAGAUUUGUGAGCAAAGGAAGCCAACUUGGAAACUUGGCCUUGCCCCUCCAUCCUGCAAUACAGAGCUCCUUGAGAUUAGGAUGGGGCUGGAGGUCUUCAAGCGACUUCUCAUCGUCAUCAUCAAAACGAAGGCUCCAUUCUAAAAGCAACGAUCUCAAAUGUUGCUUCUCUUUCAAAUUAGCAGCCUUAAACUUCUCUUUUGCAUUUUUUACGAAUCCCAAAUUUCUUAUUCUUAACUCUCCCCUUAAGUUGCUAAGCAGUCUCAAUUCACUUAGAUCUGCACCGCCAUGGGACCCAUCUUCAUCCACUACAAGCAUGCUUAACGUCUCAAGUGAAGUCAGCUUCCCUAUUCCACGUGGCAUAUGAGUUAAUUCCCAACAAUCUUUACACCUAAGAUGGGUAAGAUUCACCAAUUUUUCAAUCUUCUUCGGCAAUUCUUUAAGCCCAGUACACCAGUCAAGUUUCAGCGCUAGCAAAUUCUGAAUCUUGCAAAUACUCUUUGGGAGAAUCCUAACGGGAUUCUCAGAAAGAUCAAGGUACCUCAAAUGUUUCAACUUACAAAUGGAGGGUGAAAUCUUAUGAAUACCUAUAGAAUUCAAUUUCAAUACACGCAAGCAUCUGCAAUUUGCAAUUAUCAAAUCCCAAGUUUCAUAGCUGAAAUCUUGACUUAAUCCGUAUUGAAAAUGUAACAAGGUUCGCAACUUCUUUCCCUUAAACAAAGGAAUUAACGAAGGAUUAAUUGAUAUGUGGCGACAUUUUUCACCAACAUCACUUGCAAUUUUAUUUGAAUCUACAAUACUACUCUCCAUCCCUGCUACUGAUUCAGCUAGAUCAUGCAUUAAAUCAUGCAUUUUACAUGUCAUAUUCCCAAUUCCAUAUUCUUCUACCUCUUGAAAGAAACUUCUUUCAACUAAAUCUUUAAAAUACCCAAACCCGAUCUCCUCCAGAGAUUGACUUUGAUUCAAUUGCUUUAUGAAACCCUGUGCAAUCCAAAAUUGAACAAGCGCUUGUACUUGAAUUGUGUAAUCUGUUGGAUACAAUCGGCAAUAAGCAAAGCAAUGCUUCAAAUGAGACGGGAGAUGAUCAUAACUCAAUUUCAGUAUAGGUAGAAUUUCUCCUUCAAUUUGUGAAAUUUUAGCAAGUUCAUUUUCUUUGAAAGAAUGCCACUCAUUUGCAGUUUUCUUCAAAGAUAAUGUACCAGCUAUCGUCCUUAUGGCUAAGGGAACCCCACCACACCUUUCCGAAAUCUGUCUCCCCACUUCCACAAAGGCUGAAUUUGUUGAGUCUGCAUAUCCUUGCUCAAAUGCUAUCUUUUUGAACAAAGACCAAGCAUCAUCACCAGACAAGCCUUUCAAUUUCAAAACAUGGGAUUGACAUUUAUUAGUUAUCUCCGCUACCCUUAGAGAUCGAGUAGUUACUAUUAUCCUACUCCCUUUAGCCCCACCCAUCAAUAACUUCUUUAGCCUAGACCACCUUUCUGGGUCCUCAUUCCAAAUGUCAUCCAAAACAAGCAAAUAUUUUUUCCCAUCAAUUUUAUCUCGAAGUUGUUUUUGCAAUUGAUCCAUUUCAAGAUUUUGAUCAGGUGCUUGAUGAGUCACAGAUUUGAUAAUGUUUGCAACAAUAACUUUCACAUCAAAUUCAUCUGAAACACACGCAAACAUCGUUAAGUCAAAAUGAUUUUUGACCAUUUCAUGGUUAUAGACAAGUUGGGCCAAAGCAGUCUUCCCUAACCCUCCAAACCCCACAAUUGGAAUGAUAUAAACAUUCUCUUCACUUUGAAACUCCAACACGAGUUUUAGAAGAGCUGCUUUAUCAUCAUCCCUCCCUAUUAUGUCAUCUUCACGCUCAAAAGAGUGCGUUUGCUGCCUCCUUUUAGUCAUGAAAGAGGUUUCCGCGGGGCGAUCACGUGGAAUGAAGCCAAAAGUGUUGGCCCCACUUUCAAUUGAAGCUAAUCUCGCCUUAAUGGCCUUCAUUUUCCGACCCAUUUUGAGACCAUAAGCAAAUUGGUUUGAGGUUGAGAAGAAAAGGCGUACCUCUUUCGUCAGCUUGUUCCCACCCGACAGAUUUUUCCGCAAAGCUUCAGUAGAGAAAUCAUCGAGCAAGUCGUCGGCAUCAUAAAGUACAUGUUUCAGCUCUUCAAGCCAAACUUUGACGAGAUUGUCGGUCACCGAUUUCUCUUCAGCAUCAAGAAGCAAAGCUUUGAUUUGACAGACAGUGCGUCUGAGGUCGUGGAUGUCAUGUUUGAGAUUCCACCACAGCCCAACUUGAGAGAGAGCACGAGAGCUCAACUUAAUAAUGAGCUCUGCGGCAAUGUCGGAAGCAAUUGCUUCGGCCAUUGUUGGUUCGAACUGAAAUCAAGGCAAAAAGUGUUUGAUUCGUGAGAGAGGAGGACUAAAAUGAGAACAAUCCCAGCAAGAUGAAACACAGAUGUGGAUCCAUCCACCCAGCAAGUAGUAUAAUUAAAUAAAAAGUAAUGUUGAUUGGUGGGAAAUGGUCCCUCCAUGUUUACUGUUUGACACAAAUUUCUGAAUGGAGACAAAGUUGAGAUGAUGACACUAGGGGUGCUCUGCACAACGUACAAAUAAUUGAAAUUAAUGAAAAAGCUAUGAAAGAAAAGAGAAAAAGGAGACAAAUCCCAUGGAAUCCAAGGUGUUUUGAUUGACGCCAAUGCAUUCUGGUCUUUCUAAGGAUGGGUUUGGAUGGGCGAUUGGGUGCGGUGCGGUGCGUUUAACUUACUUUUGGUGUCACGCUACAGUAUCGCUACAGUAUUUAAUCUCACCACCACCUCUGUUUUUACACUAUCCACAGAUAAACGCACCGCCAAUCCAAACUCAUCCUAAACCUUCUUCCCACUUACUUUUGUGUAAUUGAGUGAGUCUCAAUACUCGGUUCUAACUUAAAUUUAAUAUUUUAUUUUUGAGUUUAACUUCGGUUAAAUAUAUAAAAUUAAAAUUAAAAUUCAUUGGCCAUUAGAAUCAAAUAUUAUUAAAUUCGAAUAUGAUUAAAUCAAUAAUUUAAACAUAACUUAUUGACUACUAAAUCAAAUUUAAAUCUUUUUCGAAUCGAAUUUAAUUAACUUACAAAUAUGAUUAUCAUGUCCUCCUUGUGAAAACUAAAGCAGUUGACAGUGCUAGUACAAUCUGCUUCAAAAAUGACAUUAUCGACUUUAAGAAAUUGAGCAAGCCGAAAACCAUCGAUGAGGGCAUCUAAUUCUGCUUUAAUAGUGAUUUUUUAUUCUCAUUUUAUCGGUAUAUUUACAUUUGAAUUCAAAUACAUAUUCUAUAAUUAACUUUAAUCUCACUGUUACAAUACUUAACCUCACUAAAUUACUUGUUUAACAUAAUUAUGGUGAAUUUAUAGAAAGAACAAUCACGAAGCAAAUGUAGAUGCACUUAUGUUUAAAAUGUUAUUAAUGAAAAUUUUAUUAUUUUAAAAAAUAAAAGUAUAAUAACUUUUUUGGCAUUCUAACUUUAUAAAAGAAUUAUUUUAGCUCUCUAUUUAUUUUCCUUCUUUUUUAGUCUUUCAUUUUACAUUUUUUUGUCAAACCAUCCAAAAUGGGUGAAAAAGUUGACGUUAAUUAACUUUGUUGACAUGACAUAUAGGUAGAUUACCACGUGUAUGUCACUUUAGCAAUUAAUUAUUUAAAAAAUAUUAAAAAAAUAUUUUCUUAUAAAUUUUAAAAUAUUUUUUAAAUUUUUUUAAAAUUUUAAAAAAUAUUUUAUUGCUUAUGUGGCAUAUACGUGGCAAUCUGCGUGUAUGUCACAUCAGUAAAAUCAAUGGACGUUAAUUUUUCACUCAUUUUGAAGUGAUUUGACAAAAUUUACAAGUUUAAGAACUAAAAGAAACGAAAAAUUAAAUGGAGAGUUAAAAUGACUUUUUCUAUAAAGUUGGAGACCAAAAGAAUCAUUAUGGCAAAAAAUAGUUGUCUUUCAUCUCUCUCUCUCUCUCUUUUUUGGUUAUUUUUUAGUGUUAAAAUUCAAGAUGGUAUGGAAUAGUUUUUAAUCUUAUUAUUGUUAUAUAUAUAUAUAUAUAUAUAUAUAUAUAUAUAUUUUCGAUCUCAUUAGAGUUAAUCUCACUGUCAAUAUAAAGAGAGCCUAAAUAUAAUUUGUUCAUCUUCUUUUAAACAUGUUAGUGCUCCUUUGUAUGAUCAUUUACCUCCUGUAAGUAGGAUUGAGUAAAUAAAAUAAUUAAAAAUCGAUUCAAAUCAAGGUGUUUAGACGGUUUACAGAAUACAAAUUAAAAAAUCACAAUUAUCCGAAACUAAAUCAAAUUCUAUUUUUUAUUUAAUUUAUAAAUAAAUUUAUUUUUUAUAAUAUAAAAAUAAAUCUUUUAUAUUUAAAAAUAGUGAAAAUAAAUAUAUUUUAAAAAUAUUAUAUAAAAGUAUUUGAUUAUUUUUAUUUACUUAGAAAAAAUUUAAAAAUAUCUUUGAUAUAAACUUUCAAAAUUUUUCAAAUGAUAUUUAAAAACUGUAAAAAAAAAGUUUAUUUCAUGAAAAUAAUUAUAAAAAUUUAUAAUAAAACUUUGAACUAAACUAAAUUAUAAUGGACGGAUUAAAAAAUAGAAUCGAAUUAAACAAAUAUCACUUGAUUUUAUUGCACUAAACUGGACAUAAAAGAUUUUCUUAAAAAAUUUAACCUGCAAUGAGAUUGUUUUUCUCACUAUAACCUUCUAGAGGUGUUAUAUAAGUACAUACCAUUGAUAAUUAUAAAUUUAAUUAUUUAAUUGUUAUAAAAAUUAAAUAUAUUACAAAUUAAUAUUUAUAUAAUGAUAUAUUGAAUACAUGUAAAUUUAUUAUCAUAAAUAUAUUUUUAAUUAUUAUUUAAUAUAAAUAAUUUUAUUAUAUUUUAUUAUUUUCAUUUAUAUAAAAUAUAGAAUUUUAAGUUUAUAAUAAUUUCAAAAAAUAUAUAAUUUUCAUAAUCAAAUUUUAUAUGAAUUAAAUCUAAAUAAGUAGAUAUGUAAUAAUCAAUAAAAAAUUAAUAAAAAUAUAUUUAUUAAUAAAUUUAUUAUUUACCAUGAUUGCAAAUUUAGUAUAUAUUAUAUUAUUUAGUGUUAAAUAUAAUCUUUCAUUUUACAAAUAUAAUUUAACAUCCUUAAUAAUCAAUUUAAGGUGAAAACACCUCUCUAGUCCCUUUCAAUUUUGAUAUCAAGCAAAUUGGUCCUUUUAAAAAAUUUAGAACAAUUUUAUCAUUGUUAAUUUUGAAAUUGAGCAACUAAGGAUAAUUAAUCACAACGUUAAUAUUUUUGUCAUCUAUACAUAAUUUUAUAGGUAUAAUAACAACUUUAGCCCUAAAAUUUUACACAUUUUGUCAAUUUAGUUCUAGUUUAACAAAAUCAAAUUGCAACAUUUACACAUUAUGUACGAACUGAAUUUGUUAUUAUACUAAUCAAAAUUAUAUACGAGAGACAAAAAAAUAUUAACAUUAUUGUUAAUUGUCCUUAGUUCACUUUUGAAAUUGAUAGGGAUUAAAUUGCUCCAUUUUUUUAGAGGGGCCAAUUUGCAAAAUAUUGAAUUUAAGAGGGAUUGAAGAGGUGUUUUUAUCCAUUUUUAACCUCACCUCACUACUACAAUUGUUAUUGAAUCCAAAUAUAUAUCCAACACUGAUUAUUGUCACAUCACUAACGUAUUCAAUCUCACUAUUACAACAACUAAUUUUACCACCAACGUUAUUUUUAAUUUCUUUAGAAUUCAUCCAAUUAUACAUCCAAAGAAAACCAUAAACUUAUCUAAAUAAUUGUUAUAAAAAUUAAAUAUAUUACAAAUUAAUAUUUAUAUAAUGAAUACAUGUAAAUUUAUUAUCAUAAAUAUAUUAUUCAUUGAAUAUUAUUAUACGUGAUUUUAUAUAUUUAUUUUUUAUUCACUGAAUAAUAUAUUUUUAUUUUAUGUAAUUAAUACAAAUAUAAUAUUAUUCAAAUUGUGGUACAUAAUUAAAAUAGUGUAACAAUAAAAAAUUCAAACAUAAAAGUUUGGAAGUAAAUAAUAAUGAAAUAAAAUUUUUAGUGAUUUUAACUACUAAUUUAAUAAAAAAUUAAAACAUACUAUUCUUAUGUAUAAUUUAUAAUUUAAUAUAAAAUAUAAUUUUAAUUAUUUUUAAUAUAAACAUAGUUUUGAUAUUUUUAAUUAUUAUUUAAAAUAUUUUAUUAUAAUAUAUAAAUUAAUAUAUAUAUAAUAUAAAAAUCUAUAAAAGAAUUCCAAAUUUCAAUUAUUAUAAUAUAAAUUUUAUAUCUAAAAAUCCUGAAUUAAAUUAAAUUAAUUCAAUUGAAUUGGACAAACAAAUUCGACCGAAAAUCAUUUGAUAUGAUUGGUUGGAUUACCAAUCUAAUUUUAAAAACCUUGACCAGGACAACAUCAAUAUGUGAAUUUGUUUAAUAUUGUUUAUUUAAUAAGUCUAAAUUUUGAGCAUCUAAAAUGUUAAUAAAAUCUUAUUUCUAAUUAUUUUCAUACAUUGAAUAUGUCAUUUCACUUUGUUAGAACUUGUUUAAAAGAAUAUUGUAUGCUUCAAUGGAAGUCACAAUUUUACGGAAAAAUUUCGUAAAAAUUUCGUUCGAAAAUUUCGACGUUUGGGCACUCAAUUUAGUCAAAAGGACUAAAUUGUAAAAAGUGCCAAAGUUGAGUUCUACAUGUUAGAAGUGUCUAAUUGUUAUGAGAUUAUAAGUUGGGGGUCCUUAUGUGGUAAUUAGACCAUUAGUUAAUUUAUGGACAAAAAUAGACAUAAGAAAUGGGUGAAAUAUAUAUUUUUUAAGUAGGGGCAUUUUAGUCAUUUGGUAAUAAAAAGAAUAAAAUGGGAAAAAGAUGACAAAAAUCAUCAUCUUCUCCAUAAGUUGCUGUCAAAUUUGAAGAGUCACCAUAGCUAGGGUUUCUUCACUUUCUCAAGCUCAUAGUAAGUGCAUCCUAGCCCUGUUUUUAAUGUUCUUCGCAUUUUUGGAAUCCUCGUAGCUCGGUUUAGCUUAUUCUAUCAAUAAUUCAUGUUAGGGUUCAUAUUUGGAAAAAUAUCCAUAGGUGAAAUGUGUUUAUUUUUCUGUUUUAUGGUAGAAUAUGAAGCUAGAAAUUAUGUUAAACAACUUUUGCUAAGUGAUUUUAAGCAAAAACGAGUAAAUCGACAUAAUCGGUAAAAAUAUUUAUUGUUCAUAAGUGUAUGUUAGAGUGAGAAUUUGAUGUUGCCAUAGAAGGGAAAAGUGUUCAGCAUGUUGUAAAACAUAAGAAUAAGGUGUGAAAUUUAAUUUUCGAGCUUGGGGACAAAAAUGUAAUUAUGCAAAAGUUUAGGGGCAAAAUUGUAAUUUUAUAAAAGUUGAGUCGAAGCUUGUUUUAAUAAAUGUGAAUAUUAAACAAGCUCAAUUUUCUGUUAUAGAUCAAGAAAGAUGAGAAAUCAACCUUAAUCGGGGAAAAGAGAAGAUUGAGGAUUAAAUUGCAAAAUCUUUACAUUUUGUAUCGAGGUAAGUUGUAUGUAAUUAAUAUUGUUAUAAUUGUUUUCGUUAUAUUUUGUGACAAUAUACGUGAAAGGGUUGAUAUUAUAAUGUGUUUUGAAUGAGUUGUAAAUAUAUUUGGAAAGUAAGAAUCUUUGUGGAAAUGUCGUAAUGCUAAAGAUUUGAGUAAGGUAUCGAUGAACACGUGUGUAGUAUUGUGUGAAGGCUACUACGUGUAUCGAUAAGUAAUGUUCACAUGGGUAGUACUAAGUGAAGGCUACUAUGUGUACCAAGAAGCUUUGAGCACGUGUGUAGUACUGUGUGAAUGCUACCACGUGUCUCGGUAAACUACGGUCACAUGUGUAGUACUAAGUGAAGGCUACUAUGUGUACCAAGAAGCUUUGAGCACGUGUGUAGUACUGAGUGAAGGCUACUACGUGAGCCGUAAAACUUGAUCACGUGUGUAGUACUAUGUGAAGGCUACUACGUGAAUUGUAAAACUGAUCACGUGUGUAGUACUAUGUGAAGACUACUACGUGUAUCGAAUGAUAAAAAUAAUAUGAGUAGUACUAUGUGAAAAGCUCCGAAUAUUAUUUUAUAUAUACCGUCAUGAUGAUGAAAUUUGAGUAUGUGAUCGGAAUGUAAUAAGUUGUGAAAAUCGAUUGAAGUGAUGAAAUUUGCGUUGUGUUAUAAAAUAAGUGGUUAUAGUGCUAUGUGAAUAAGGAAUGUUGGAAUAGAACAGAUUUGGACAGUGACAGUGAUGUUAGUUUGAAAAAUCACCAAAAACUAUAAAAAUUGAGUUAGAGGUUGAAUAAUAUAUGAGAUUGAAGCUGAAUGAAUCUAUUUUCAUAUGGAAGAAACAAAGCAAGCAAAGGAGUUGUAUGUUUGGAGAUAUUUAAACUUUAUUGAGACAGGGUUGGAUUGAUUUCGAAAUCCCAUGUUUCAACUUUGGAAAAUCACCAAAAAUUGUAAAAAAAUAAUUAUGGCUUGAAAUUUAUAUUCUUGAAUUCCUUAAUGAGUCUAUUUUUAAUAGAAAGAAACAAGAACAUUGUUUAAAUUUUGUACAAAGAGUUAAAUAAAUUUUAGUGAAGAGAGGUCAGAAGUGUCAAAGAGUGAAACAGGGGAACAUUUAGAGAAUAAACUGUACUAAUUGGCUAAAAAAAAAUUCUGAAAAUUUUAUGGUAAGAAUAUAUGUGAGUCUAGUUUCAGAGAAAAUUUACGGAUCUCAAUUCGGAGUUCUGUAUCUCCGGAUAAAAAUAAUUUACCGACUGUGAUGUAGAAAAACAGUUUGUUGGAAGUUGACUAAAUGAUAGAUUUAUGUGUGAUAGAAAUGAUAUAAUAUAUGAUACUAUCUUAGAAAUUUAUUUAUCGAUUACAUACAUACUUACUAAGCUGUAAGCUUACCCCUCUUUAUUUUUCCUUUGUUUUAUAGUGAUAUUAAUCAACUCGGGAAUUGGACGGAGUUAGAACAUCAUCCUCACUAUCAUCACCAACUUUUGGGUAUUUUGCAAUCAAUACUUUUGAAAAAUGGCAUGUAUAGAUGACUUAAUGCAAUGUAGUUUAAACUUAUAUAUAUAUAUAUAUAUAUAUAUAUGUAUAAAAUAUCGUUUGGUUUAAAAUGUCGGUAUCUAUAAUUGAUGAAUUAUUUCCUUAAAUCUUUUGUUCAUAUAGUUUAGGAUGUUAUGGAUGAAUUAAUCAUGUCAGAACAUAUGAUUGUGUUUGGUUGAAAUAUCGAUGUUGCUUGAGAUUGUGUUUCGAAAAUUUGCAGGAGGAAUUGAAUAUUUAUGAAAAGAAACUAUGUCAAAAUUUUUGUAAAAGAAAAAAAAAAUUUGAUCGCUUGAUAACACUUCUCGCCUUGUUUCGACGAUGAAUACGGGUAAGAGGUGUUGCAAUAAACUUAUCUAAAUAAUUGUUAUAAAAAUUAAAUAUAUUACAAAUUAAUAUUUAUAUAAUGAAUACAUGUAAAUUUAUUAUCAUAAAUAUAUUAUUCAUUGAAUAUUAUUAUACGUGAUUUUAUAUAUUUAUUUUUUAUUCACUGAAUAAUAUAUUUUUAUUUUAUGUAAUUAAUACAAAUAUAAUAUAUUCAAAUUGUGGUACAUAAUUAAAAUAGUGUAACAAUAAAAAAUUCAAACAUAAAAGUUUGAAAGUAAAUAAUAAUGAAAUAAAUUUUUUAGUGAUUUUAACUACUAAUUUAAUAAAAAAAUUAAAACAUACUAUUCUUAUGUAUAAUUUAUAAUUUAAUAUAAAAUAUAAUUUUAAUUAUUUUUAAUAUAAACAUAGUUUUGACAUUUUUAAUUAUUAAUUAAAAUAUUUUAUCAUAAUAUAUAAAUUAAUAUAUAUAAUAUAAAAAUCUAUAAAAGAAUUCCAAAUUUCAAUCAUUAUAUUAUAAAUUUUAUAUCUAAAAAUCCUGAAUUAAAUUAAAUUAAUUCAAUUGAAUUGGACAAACAAACUCGACCCAAAAUCAUUUGAUAUGAUUGGUUGGAUUACCAAUCGAUUUUAAAAACCUUGACCAGGACAACAUCAAUAUGUGAAUUUGUUUAAUAUUGUUUAUUUAAUAAGUCUAAAUUUUGAAGCAUCUAAAAUGUUAAUAAAAUCUUAUUUCUAAUUAUUUUCAUACAUUGAAUAUGUCAUUUCACUUUGUUAGAACUUGUUGAAAAGAAUAUUGUAUGCUUCAAUAGAAGUCACAAUUUAUCUUUGAUCAUGAUUGUUCGCAACUGAGCUACUUAGUAAAUUAAAAAUCAGACCUCGACUAUGUACUGUAAGUGCAUUUUCCUACAAACUUUACCCUAUGAUUCAUUAGCCAAAGGUAUUCAUCCCAUCCCCCAAAGUCAUGAGAUAGAUUUGUAAGCUUUGUUUAUGUUAUAGUUAAGGUGGAUGUGUACGCUAGUGUGUGAGUUCUAAAUUAUAUUGUACAAAAAACAACCUAAAAAGAAGACAAAAGAAGACAUUGGAUAUAGGUAUAGCUGUUUUGUAACAACCUAAAAAGGGUCGUAAUUGCUGCAGGGCUCCCGCAUUCUCGUAUCCUCAAUAUUUGAUAAUCGAAUGGAGCUCAGCUAAGCAUUCAACCAAUCAUAAGAUGAAGAUGUGGGAUUCAUUACUCAAUCUAGCAAUGUCUUCAAUUUUGUACAACUCAAUCUUCAAAUUGCUUAAUGGUUCUUGCGUGAAACCCUUCCAUUAAAUGAUAGUAGAUCUACAUAAUGUACUCAAAAUUGCUUGAUAAUUAGUUGUGCUUGUGUUGGAACCUUAUUUGAAACAUCAAAAGAGAAAAAUAUGUUUUGUCUUGAGUGGACACAUAUAUAAAUAAAACUAAAGAACACAACUAAGAUAUUUACGCAGCUUGAAACUUGUCCUACGUUUGCAGCGCCUUGUUCAGAGAUAAAUCCACUAUAUAUUUUCUAGUACAAAGAAAUGAUUUAUGCCCAACUCUCAAACAUUUGGUGUCACCUCACCUUUGUACAAUGAAGUAAACUCUCGCCCAAUUCACUUUAGCUAUACAAUUGAAAAUCAACACUCAAAAGGUGUAUAACAAUGACACUCAAUAAUAAUUCCUCGCUAUGAGCGCAUGUACUCCUUUAAAUCCACACAUCAUCCACUAAACAAAUCAUCUAUAUAUAAGCUCCAAAAUGCACCAAGCUUUACAUAAGCUCCAUGUAAAGUGGAAUAACAAAUUUUCAAAUGCAAUAUCACUGGACCUAUGUAGAAACACUUACUGUUACUAAACGCUACUGUAUAUCAUGUGCAUAAAUGGUGGCUCACAGCAAACCCAUUGUCCAUGCUUUUUCAGUGCGUUCAAAGUUUAUACAUUCUGUCAAUUUAGUUUUGAUUUAAUAAAUUUAGCCUACAAUAUUUACACAUUUUGUCAAUUUGAUUCUAGUUUAACAAAAUUAGAUUGCAACAUUUACACAUUAUGUAUGAGCUCGAUUUGUUAUUAUACCAAUCAAAAUUAUAUACGAGUGAUAAAAAAUAUUAACAUUGUGGUUAAUUGUCCUUAGUUCACUUCCGAAAUUGAUAGGGAUUAACUUACUUAUUUUAUUUUUAGGGGGGCCAAUUUGCAUAAUAAUGAAUUUGAGAGGAACAAAAGGUGUGUUUUUGCCCAUUUUUAUCCUCACCUCACUACUACAAUUGUUAUUGAAUCCAAACAGGUAUCCAACAAUAAUUUCAAUCACAUCACUAUGGUAUUCAAGCUCACUAUUACAACAAUUAAUCUCACCACCGCUGUUAUUUUUAAUUUCACUAGAGUUGAUGGAAUUGUCCAUCCAAUGAAAGUCAUAGACCUAUCUAAACACAAAUACAAAGAUAAAAACUUAUUUAGAUAUAAAUUGAAAAAUAAUUUUUAUUAUUUGACACAAUUAAAAUGUAAUUACUUGCUUGAUUGAUACAUUUGCUCAAAGGUAAUGUAGCCCCUUCCAUUUUAUUAUUUGCUUAAUUUUUUUUGUAUGUGAUAUUUUGAUCUGUUCAUAAAUGGAAUGUUUCAUGGUGGCUAAGUUUCUUAGGGGAUAAAUUAUGAGUAGCAUUAUUUGUUUGUGCAGUGAAAUUGUGAUGUCUAUAUUUUAAUCUAUUUCUGUAUUUGAUGAUGUAGUGGAGUUUUAAUAUAAUUGUAAUUGAUGGUUUGUUAGUUUUAUGUACCAUAAAUGCUAUAGUAAGAGAGUUUAAAGCCGAACAUUUAAUGUCGUGCUCUAUAUGAAGAAAGGUUGAUGAGUGUUAGUUCUUUUGAUGUUUUGCCUUUGAUGGAUGUUUGAAAAAUGAUUCAGUUGAUAUCCAUAAUGUCUACCACUAUAGUUUCCCCCUUAUGUAGAAUAUGACUGCUAGUAUGUCAGGCAAUAUUAUGUUCGUAUAUUAUGUUCUUUUUCUUAUUGUCUUCAACACGAUAACAAGUGAAUUACUAGUUACUUUACUUGAUUUUGUCAUGCCAUUUUUCUCUUUGAGUUUUGGCCUUUCUGAAUUAACUUUUGAAUCACGUAGUGAAGCAUUUCUGAUGGUUCUUAUGACUAACAGUAAGUUCUCUUAUACAAGCUCCCCUACAUAUGCAUUUCUUAAACUUAUGCUCUUUUCUUCAUUUCAGUUGGUUGUUAAUCUUGAUAUAACCAUGCACAAAUACUAAUACUAAGGGACCUUGUAAUUUUGCCUGCCAUUGGAACUACUCUGAAAUAUUGCUGAUUUUUCUCAGCAAUUAAAGAGGAAGAGCGCAGCAGACAAAAAUGAAGUUUUGUCUAGCCAACAUAAUACAAGAUGUGCUAUUCAACUUGUAGUUUGAUGUGUGCCAACAUAAGCAUCAACACACAAGUCAUACGUAUAUACAGCCAGGAAACCAACAUCUUUUGGAAGAGUCCUAAUCCAAGCAUCAUAAUUGAACAUAGUCUUGGAAUACUGUCUAAAAAAAUGGUUGUCUCAUAAUCAAUUGUGCAUCCCUGCAUUUGAAUGCUGUUUCAAACACUAAAAAAACAUAAAUGUGUUUUUUUCUGAGUUGACACUUAUUAUGCAACAAGGAAAACAAAGAGCACAAUUAAGAUGUUUACACAGUUCAAAACUAGUCCUACAUCUGCGGGGCCUUACCCAAAGAUGAAAACACUAUGAACUUCAUAGUACAAAGAAAUGAUUUAAGCCUAACCUCUCUAACACUUGAUGCAAUCUCAACUUCAACCUCACCACCAAAUAUUCCGAAGCAUCUUCCUUUUUUUCCUGUUUGGACCUUCAAUAACAAAUUUGGCUGGAACUCCAAACAGCUAAAAGAGUGCCCUGCAUCAAUAAAUAUUAUGAAUUUGAAUACCUCCAAAAGCCAGUUACCAUCUAAGAUAGUAAUCAGUUGGCAUAUAUUAAGAGAAAACAUAAAUACAUAUAAAGAUAUGAUAUGUAAGUACUUAAAUGAAGAAAGCAGAGCAUAUAGUACAACCAUUUUGCAGGCUUCAUAGGCCUCUCUCUCCACAUCAAUGAUUUUUUAGAAUUAAAUUAUUAGAAGCAAUCGUCAAGUUAUUAUUAUGAUUUAAAAGUAAAAAGAAAGUAGAUAAAUUAGCACCUCUUUUUAUGCAUAUAAAAUGAUUGAAGUUCACUAAUGCCUUUCUCCAAUGCCUUACUGCACAAAUCAGCAAAAAAUAUUAUGAAAGAUGAUAAGUAAAAAGUAGGAUGAAAACAAAGGGAUUUUAACAAGGAAAUUAACAGUAUCCAACUUCAAUGAAAAAUGGCAUCAGACCCCUCACUUGGAGAUUCAAUAUACCACUCUUAUUUUUCUUCAAAAAAAGAUAAGGUCAUCAUAAUAAAUAAAUAACAAAGACAGACCAACCUGAUACAUCCGAAUGUUGGGGAUGUGAGCAAUCUUUUGCCAAUCAGCGCCAAUGUCCUUCCGAUAUCUUUCCUCCAACUGAGGAAUUUCUCGUAUUUGUAAAUACUCCAAACCGGUUAGGCAACGCAUCUCGUCCGGAAGAGAUGUUAAAUUGGGCAAAUUGACGAGAUAAAGCUCUUGCAGAUUUGUUAGAUGUUGAAGCCACUCCGGAAGAUGCCGACACUUUGGAAUAUUUAGCAGCCGUAGAGAGCGUAGACUUGUAUGAUCUUGGAAUAUUUGGAUGCCAGCUCCAGAUAACUCCAGCUCCUUGCAGUCCUUUACUUCAAACUCUUCAAGGAAAGUGAGAUGUUGGAACACAGGAAAGAGUGACCUCAAUCCAUGGCAUUCACGAAUUUCUAAUGUUUUCAAUUGAACAAGAUGUUGAAGAGAAAUGAGGAGAGACACCAGCUUUGGAAUAUUAUCAAUCUUCAAUUGAGAGAGAUUCUUAAGGGGUUCCCAUUGCAUGCCCUCUAAAUCAACCUCCUUGCAAUCUCUUAUUGUUAAUCUUUUGAGGCUGGUGAGAUGUUCAAACACAGGAAGCAGUGACCUCAAUCGAUUGCAGUUCUGAAUUUUUAAUGUUUCCAAUUGAACAAGAUGUUGAAGAGAAAUGGGGAGAGACACCAGCUUUGGAAUAUUAUCAAUCUUCAAAUGAGAGAGAUUCUUAAGUGGUUCCCAUUGCAUGCCCUCUAAAUCAACCUCCUUGCAAUCUCUUAUUGUUAAUCUUUUGAGGCUGGUGAGAUGUUGCAGGCACUCAUCUAGCAUGUGAGUGUCCAGCCCCUCAAUGUUGUGUACAUGGAAAGAUUUCAAUUUGGAGAGUGGAAGAGAAGAGGUUGAAGUUGAUGGGGCCUUAGCAUUGAUGUUCAUCUUGAUAGUCUGCUUUAACGACCUUGAACUGGUAUUCGACAACAUUAGAUCUUCAUCGAGUGAUGGAUACAGUGGCAUCAAAGUCAAAGGGCAAUUUACAAUCCAUAAAGAGGAAAGACAAGGAAAUGCCAUGGUUGAUGUUCCCAUAACUGUUGUGUCGUCCUCGUUGGAAUCAUCAUCGAUUGGUUUUGUUGUCCUCCACCAACUCUUCAUAUUUGGGCAAUUCUCGAGGUGAAGACGCUUAAGCGAUGGGAAGAAUGAGUUAAUCUCACCACCAACAUUAUUUUUAAUUUUACUAGAAUUGAUCCAAUUAUACAUCCAAAGAAAACCAUAAACUUAUCUAAAUACAAAUAAAACUAUUAAAAAAACUUAUUUAGACAUAAAUUGAAAAAUAAAUUUUAUUAUUUCACACAGUAAAAAUAUAAUUACUUGCUUGAUUUAACCCAUUCAAUUUGGUCAGAUUGAAGGUUAUUCUUUGAUAAGAUAUUAUUAUUAUUAUUUGCUUUGGGCAAACUUAAUACAACUUGAUUUACUCUUUAUUAAUUAAAAGCAUUUUAUUUAUAUUUAAUUAUAAAAAUGUGUAUAUAUUAUUAAAAUAUUAUUUUUUAAUAUUAAAUGAAUAGUGAAAUAAGGUCAACUUAUAAGGGUUAAAGUAUUUAGGAAGUCCCUAUAUUAUAGACUGUAUCAAGUUAGUCUCUCAAUUUAAAAAGAAUCAAAUUAUAUCAAAUUGUAACAGAGUUAACAAUUUUCAAUACAUUUUUUAUGCAAUAAAUGUUAACUUUGUUGUAAUUUGGUUUUAUUUGAUUCUUUUUAAUAGUAUAGAGACUAAAUUGACCAUUUAAUAAUAAAGGGACUAAUUUGAUGUAGUCCCUAUAAUAGAGGUACUUUCACCCUUAUAUAUGUGCUUGAAUCUUAUUUUGGAUGAAAUUGAACAAAUGAAAAAGAUAAGAGUUGAAAAAGGUAAAAAUAAAUGAAAUUAGCACAUUAAAUUGUAAUUAUAUACAAAAGAUUCUUAGGUAUGAGUAGGAAAAUGGAUGCCAAACAUAUCGUAAGAUAAGAUGAAGCUUCAAUUUUGGUUUGCUGACAAUCUUCUUUUUUGGAAGUCAUAUCAAUUACGACUGUUUGAAUUUUUAACAUCUAGAGAUGAUUGUCAAAAUAUUAUACUAACAAAUUAGCCAUAAUCACUUAUUUAGCUCUCCAACUUUACAAUAAAAAUCAUUUUAGCUCUUCAAUUAAAUUUUUGUCUCUUUUAGUCCUUAACCUUGCAUUAAUGUUUAUCUAUUUUAGAGUGAUCUGAUAAAUAAUGCAAGUUUAAGGACUAAAUCGAUUUUUCAUAAAGUUAAAUAUAAUAGAGAAUUUAAAAACAAAUGAAAAUAUUUAUAUUUUAUUUUAUAUUUGUUUAAGUUCGGCCUGGUCCAAAAUAUAAACUUAAAAAAUCUGUUUAAAUUUGUAAACAGCUAACUCAAACUCAUUUUAAAUCCACUCGUUCUAUUUUUUUAAAAAAAUUAAAAUGUAUUUAUAUUAUUUUUAACUUAAUAUUUAAUAAUUUUAUAUUUUUAUUAAAAUUUUAUAUAUAGUCAUCUUAAUAUUAAUAAUUUUAUUUUUAAUAGUUUUAUUAAAAUUAAAACCUUGACCAGGACAACAUCAGUAUGUGAAUUUAGUUUCGUAUUUAUUUAAUUUGGUUAGCACAUAUUAAUAGUUUUCAUAGUCUCUUUAGUUUUUGUUUUUUUGGGAUUGUGUAAAAUUUAAAAUUUUAGAUAUUUUUAUGUUCAUAUUUUCUUUUAUAAAUAUAUAUAUUGUAAGCUCUCACUAAUUUUUUCAAGCUUUUAGGAGUUCCUUCUAUUGAAGCAAUAUCAUGAUCAAAUCUAUAAUCAGUAUAUAUGAGAAAGAAAAAAAAUAUAAAAUAAAAUAAAUUAAAAAUUAAAAAUAGACUUGGACACUUAUGGAUGUUAAAUUUAUAAUAAGUUCAAGUAAAAUGGCUAAAAUAAUCAAACUACCGUCUAACUCAUGCUAUGAAAACAUAUAAUCACAGUUAAAAAAAUAUUGUAUAUUUUGAUGAAAGUCACAAUUUAUCUUUGGUCAUGCUUGUUCGCAACUAAACCGCUAUAAUGUAACUACAUGUUCUUACAAAUCUCGCGCUAGUCGACUUUGCCCUAUGAUCCAUUAGUCAAAGGUAUUUAUCCGAUUGAUUUGUCAGUUUUACCUUUUUUAUACUUUUAAGUAAAUGUGUACGAAGUGUGUGAGUUCCAAGUUAUACUGUAACAAAAAUUGAAAAUACCUGACAAGACCAAAAUGAAACAAUUAAUACCCAAAAUUUUAUUCUUCAAUAUAGAAACUAAUGCACAACGAAAAUAAAGUUAGUAAAUUAGUAGGAGAUAAAAGAAGGGUAUAGAUGUUUUGUAAGAAGCUAAAAAGGGUUGUAAUUGUUGCAGGGCAUCCAUAUUGUCAUAUCCUCAACACUUGGUAAUUGAAUGGAGCUAAGCUAAGCAUUCAUUACUCUUGGAAUUGCUCAAUGGGUGUUGCGUGAGGCCCUUUCAUUAAAUCAUAGUCCACAUAAUGUACACAAAAUGGCUUGAUGGAGGGGCGAGAUACAACUAAAAAUAUGUCAGGGGAUAAAGCUAAUAAUUUAAGAAUUUUAUUUAACAAUUAAUGAAUCAAACGAUAUCAUAUUAUUAUAUUUUUAAUGAAUAAAUAAUUUAUUGUUUUAAUAAAGUGAUAUUAUGUGUGUAUAAUAUAAUUAUAUGAUACAUCAAAUAUAAAUCAUUAAUUUAUAUACUUAAAAGUGUGUUUUGUUAAUCUAAUGUGUUUAAAAAAGAAAGAAGAAAUAAUCCUCUUAAAUUUUAUAAUCUCGUCGUGUUUUUAAUAUGUUAGAAUCAAGUUACCAAUAUGAUGAGUACACAAGUAUUUACAAUUUAAUCAUGUCAAAUGAGAACAAAAUUUAAAACUUAAAUUGACAGCUACAAAUGAAAUAAUUUUAUUGAUAUAAUAUAAUACUUUCAAAUUUUAAUUAAAAUAUUUUAGAAUUAUAAAUUAAUUUUUAAAAAUUAAUAAUAAAUUGAGAAUAUUUAAUACAAAUAACUUCGUAUAUGAAUAUAAAUAGUUAUAACACAUUUAUUAUUAAAUGAAAAUAAUGUUGAGAAUCAAGUUACCAAUAUGAUGAGUACACAAGUAUUUACAAUUUAAUCCAUGUCAAAUGAGAACAAAAAUUAAAACUUAAAUUGACAGCUACAAAAAUGAAAUAAUUUUAUUGAUAUAAUAUUAAUACUUUCAAAUUUUAAUUAAAAUAUUUUAGAAUUUAUAAAUUAAUUUUUAAAAAAUUAAUUAAUAAAUUGAGAAUAUUUAAUACAAAUAACUUCGUAUAUGAAUAUAAAUAGUUAUAACACAUUUAUUAUUAAAUGAAAAUAAUGUUGUUUGGAGUUUUCUAUUUUUUCAUUAGCCAACUGAUGAUAAAAAUGAUAAAAUUGAAUCGUUGGGGUGACUACUAAGUAGGUUACCUUUUUUUAGGUUAAAAUAUGCCAUAUGUCCUUGUACUCACCAUAAAUUUGAAAUUUAAUCUCUAUACUUGUAUUUAUAGGAAUUUAAUUCUUUUACUUUUCAGAGUUCAAAUUUUAGGUCCAAUUGUUAAUACUGUUAAUUUUUUUUGUUGAAUUUGUUAGUGUGACUGUUUGAAAUAAAAAAAAACUUACUUGGUAGCCAUGUAACUAAGAAUAUGACAUUUUAAUGAACCUGAAUUUAAUAAAAUAAUUUUAACAGUAUUAACAGUUGGACUUGAAUUUUAAAAUUUAAAAAGUAUAGGGACUAAAUUCUUUAAAAUAAAAAUAUACAAACUAAAUUCUAAACUUACAAAUAUAUAUAUAUAGGACUUGGGGGAUUUUAAUUUUGUUAUGGUAAAUAAGGGGAAAUAGAGAAAAAAAAAAAGGCAAUUAAUAUGUGAACAAAAUCUACAUGUUUGCAAUUUCUAGAUAAUUUUGUGAUUAAUAGAAAUUAUUUUUCGAUUCAUUAAGGUUAAAAUUUUUUCAGAAUUUUUAUAGCAGAAUUUAAACCUUAUUUCUUCAAUUCUUGCAUCUUCGAUUAAGGUCCACUUAGCAAUACAAUUUUAGAGAUUAAAAAAGUUACAUUUCCAUAUAAUGUUUCUUGAGAAAUUUUUUUUCUUUUUCAAAGUUUCAUUAAUAUACAUGCAUUGUACGUGAUUUAUAUAUUUAUUUUUAUUCACUAAAUAAUAUAUUUUUAUUUGAUGUAAUUAAUGCAAAAAUAAUAUUAUUCAAAUUGUGGUACAUAAUUAAAAUAGUGCAACAAUAACAAAUUCAAACAUAAAAGUUUGAAAGUAAAUAAUAAUGAAAUAAAUUUUUUAGUUAUUUUAACUACUAAUUUAAUAAAAAAAUUUAAAACAUACAAUUCUUCUGUAUAUUUUAUAAUUUUAUAAUUUUAAUUUUUUUAAUAUAAACGUAGUUUUGAUAUUUUUAAUUAUUAUUUAAAAUUUUUUAUUUUAAAUAUAUUCUUAAUUAUUUAUUUUACACAUACAUACAUUUUAACUUAAUGUUCUUAAUAGUAAUUUUCUAUUUUUAUUCCAUUGCUACAUUUGCAUUUGAAUUUAAAUACAUAUUUCACAAUUAACAUUAAUCUCACCGCUACAAUAUUCAAACUCACUAAAUUACUUAUUUAACACUAUUAUAAAAAUAUAUAUAAAUAUUACUAAAUUAUCAAUUUUUAAUAUUAAAAGAACAAUGAAAUAGGGUCAGCGUGAAGAAAACUUAAAAAAAAAUUUGUACCCUAACCAAAUUAUAGACAAGUCUAUUGAUUAAUUUUUAAAAAAUAAUAUUUUAGCUUAUAUAAGAGUUAAAAUAUUUGGAAAGUUUAAAAUUAGUCUCUCUAUUAUUAAAUGGACCAAUUUUAUCACAGUACUAUUAAAAAGAACUAAAUAAGGUUAAAUUGUAACAGAUUUAACAUUAAUAGAAUUAACAAAUUUCAAUAUAUUUUUUAUAAAAUAAAUGUUGACUUUGUUAUAAUUUAACUUUAUUUGUAUGCAGUCCCUAUAGUACCGGUACUUUAACCCUUAUAUAUAUGUUUGAAGUUUAUUUUAGGAUGAAAUUGGAAAAUUGAAAAAAGUAAGAGUUCAAAAAGUAAAAACAAACGAAAUUAGCACAUUAACUUACAAAAUAUAUUUUUUAUAAAAUAAAUGUGUUUGGAACAUUAAAAAUGUGUUUUUUUUCCUGAGUUGGUACAUAUUAUUUCAAUUUUGAUGAGAAUUGUACUCUCACUUAACGCUUCAUGUCAUUCGCUUUUUCUUUUCUUUCCCUUUUUUUUUUUUUGUGUGAGAUCUUUUGAUCUGUUCUCAAAUAGAGCUUUUCAUGGUGGCUAAGUUUCUUACGGGAUAAAUUAUGAGUAGCAUUAUUUGUUUCUGCAUUGAAAUUGUGAUGUCUGUAUUUUAAUCUGUGAGGUAUUUCCGUUUGUGAUGAUGUAUUUGAUGAUAUAGUGGAAUUUUGGUAGAUUAAAGUGCUCGUUUGCUGUACUAAGUUGAAAUUGAAUGAAUGCUGGCCUCAUCCAAUGUCCAAAACUUGAUGACUUCAACAUUUUGAUGCCUUAAUUUGAGAAGACUAAGUUAGAGUACUAUAAAACUUUCUAAGAAUGCUGAUGAGGCAUAGAUCUAGUGAUAUAAUAUAAUUGCAAUUGAUAGUAUGGAGAAACCUAAGUUUUAGUACCAUCAAAUAAAAUUGCUAUUGCUAGUAUGUUUGUUUUAUGUAAUAUAAAGCCAUAGUAAGAGAGGAAGGCUAUGUUAUGCUAUUCCAUUCUCGGUUUAAAGCUGAACAUUUAAUGCCGUGCUCUAUAUGAAGAAAGGUUGAUGGGUGUUAGUUCUUUUGAUGUUUUGUCUUUGAUGGAUGUUUGAAAAAUGAUUCAGUUGAUAUUCAUAAUGUCUAUCCCUACAGUUUCCCCCUUAUGUAUAAUGACUGCUAGUUUGUCGGUCUUCGUAUAUUAUAUUCCUUUUGUGUGAAAUUCCAAACUGCGUAAACAUCUUAAUUGUGUUCUUUAUUUUCCUUGUUGCAUAAUAUGUACCAACUCAGGAAAACACACAUUUUUAAUGUUCCAAACAUCAAUGCUUGAGCUAAGGAAAUCAAAGUCUCCUAGGAGGAUUCUAGCCCAUCAAUUCCCUCUAUAUAUCAACAAUGAACCUGCAAACUGUAAAUAUCAAUAUACAGUAUGAUAAAAUUGAUCUCGUAUAGACCGAGCAGUGUCCAAAUGUAGAAGAAGCACUUACUGUUACUAAAAACAUAACUCCAUAUUUUGUGCACAAAUGGUGGCCAAACACAUAUCCGUUGUCUAUGCUUUUUGAUUCCAAGUUUAAGAAAGGGCCAAACAUUGGGCGUCCUCAUCCUCAUCUGUAAUAGUAACAAAUUCACAUUCCCAUUCCAAGUUUAAGGAAAUGCCAUGGUAACAAAUUCACAUAACUGUUGUGUCGUCCUCGUUGGAAUCAUCAUCGAUUGGCUUUGUCGUCCUCCACCAACUCUUCAUAUUUGGGCAAUCCCGUAGGCAAAGAUGCUUAAGUGAUGGGAAGAAUGAUUGUGGUUCUCCUUGACUUCCUUUUGGGCUAUUAUCAUCCAUGUACUCCAGCUUAGUACAAUCAUAUAUCUCCAGCCCUUUAAGACAAGGAAAUUGCGCAAAGGACGGGAUUUGUUUGAAAUUACUACCACUUAUGUCAAUUGUGACGAGAUUUUUGAGCAAAGGAAGCCAACUUGGAAACUUGCCAUCACCCCUCCAUCCUGCAAUACAGAGCUCCUUGAGAUUAGGAUGGGGCUGGAGGUCUUCAAGUGACUUCUCAUCGUCAUCAUCAAAACGAAGGCUCCAUUCUAAAAGCAACGAUCUCAAAUGUUGCUUCUCUUUCAAAUUAGCAGCCUUAAACUUCUCUUUUGCAUUUUUUACGAAUCCCAAAUUUGUUAUUUGUAGACGUCCCCUUAAGUUGUUAAGCAGUCUCAAUUCACUUAGAUCUGCACCGCCAUGGGACCCAUCUUUAUCCACUACAAACAUGCUUAACGUCUCAAGUGAAGUCAGCUUCCCUAUUCCACGUGGCAUAUGAGUUAAACUAAAACACUACGACACCCAAUAUGGGUAAGAUUCACCAAUUCUUCAAUCUUCUUUGGCAAUUCUUUAAGCCCAAAACAGCAGUCAAGUUUCAGCGCUAGCAAAUUCUGAAUCUUGCAAGUACUCUUUGGGAGAAUCUUAAUAUUGUAAUUGGAAGAAAGGUCAAGGUACCUCAAAUGUUUCAACUUACAAAUGGAGGGUGAAAUCUUUUGAAUACCUAUAGAAUAUAAUUUCAAUACACGCAAGCAUCUACAAUUUGCAAUUAUCAAAUCCCAACUUUCUUCACUAAAAUCUUGAUAUAUGCUGUUUGGAAAGUGUAACAAGGUUCGCAACUUCUUUCCCUUAAACAAAGGAAUUAAUGAAGGAAUUAAUAAAGGAUUAAUUGAUAUGUGGCGACAUUUUUCACCAACAUCACCUGCAAUUUUAUUUGAAUCUACAAUACUACUCUCCAUCCCUGCUACUGAUUCAGCUAGAUCUUGCAUUAAAUCAUGCAUUUUACAUCUCAUAUCCCCAAUUCCAUAUUCUUCUACCUCUUGAAAGAAACUCCUGUCAACUAAAUCUUUAAAAUACCCAAACCCGAUCUCCUCCAGAGAUUGACUUUGAUUCAAUUGCUUUAUGAAACCCUGUGCAAUCCAAAAUUGAACAAGCGCUUGCACUUGAAUUGUGUAAUCUGUUGGAUACAGUCGGCAAUAAGCAAAGCAAUGCUUCAAAUGAGACGGGAGAUGAUCAUAACUCAAUUUCAGUAUAGGUAGAAUUUCUCCUUCAAUUUGUGAAAUUUUAGCAAGUUCAUUUUCUUUGAAAGAAUGCCACUCAUUUGCAGUUUUCUUCUAAGAUAAUGUACCAGCUAUCGUCCUUAUGGCUAAGAGAACCCCACCACACCUUUCCGAAAUCUGUCUCCCUACUUCCACAAAGGCUGAAUUUGUUGAGUCUGCAUAUCCUUGCUCAAAUGCUAUCUUUUUGAACAAAGACCAAGCAUCAUCAUCAGACAAGCCUUUCAAUUUCAAAACAUGGGAUUGACAUUUAUUAGUUAUCUCCGCUACCCUUAGAGAUCGAGUAGUUACUAUUAUCCUACUCCCUUUAGCCCCACCCAUCAAUAACUUCUUUAGCCUAGAUGUUGAAGUCAGCUCCCAUAUAGCAGCAAAGGUGGCCAUGCAAGGAACGUGCUUCAGCAGCAAAUUGAUGCAGCAAGCUGAAGCUAUUCAUUUGGUUUCCUUAAUUGAAUGUUUUGUAUUUAGUUAGGAUCAAACUUAGUUGGUAGCUGCAUUUUGAUGUAAUUAGGUGCUGAAUGACAAGCUUAGGUAGAAGCUUUUUUGUUUUUCAAUCAAGUUUACCAAGUUACUAGGCAUUUUAGUGGUGUUAGGUAUGUUAGUAGGUGAUUACUUGUUUGUUUUACUUAUUGACUGAUAUAUGUAAUGGCUUAAUGCCUUGUUCAUGUGUUAAUGAAAAAUAUCAGCUCAUUUUCAUUCAAUCUCUUUCUCUCUUUUCUGUUUUCACUUGCUAGCUUCAUCUUUCUAUUUUUUCUGCUUCCGAGUUUGCUUCUUCACCAAGCCUCGAGCCUUACUACUCAAGCAAGACUAGAAACAGCUUGCUGCUGCCUCUUGCACCAACAAUUGGUAUCGAGAGCUCUUGUCUUAGUGGACCUGUUGCUUCAAAACAAAGAACUUGAUGGCUUCUUCAGGAUUUUCACCAGCAGCCCCACCAGUCUUCAAUGGAGAAGGCUUUCACAUAUGGCUGGUCAAGAUGAAGACUUACCUACAGGCUUUUGAUCUGUGGGAAGUUGUCAACACAGAUACUGAGCCAGCACCACUGAGGGCUAAUCCCACAGUAGCUCAGAUUAGGCAACAUGCUGAUGAGAGGACCAAAAGGCACAAAGCCAUGUCCUGCAUCCAGAACUGUGUGUCAGAUGUCAUCUUCACCAGAAUCAUGGCCUGUGAGACUCCAAAACAGGCCUGGGAUAAGCUUAAGGAGGAGUUUCAAGGCACUGAGAGAACAAGGCAACAGCAGCUGCUAAACUUGAGAAGGGAUUUCGAGAAUUUGAAGAUGAAGGAAGAAGAAACAGUGAAGCAGUACUCAGAUAGAAUUAUGGCAGUGGUUAACAGCAUAAGGCUCCUAGGUGAGCACUUUGAUGAGGCAAGAAUUGUGGAGAAAGUCCUCUCCACUUUGCCUGAGAGAUAUGAGGCCAAGAUAUCCUCUCUAGAGGACUCAAGAGAUCUUGCUAGCAUCUCUUUGACUGAGCUAAUCAACACCUUUUAUGCUCAGGAACAAAGAAGAGCUAGCAGAGCUGAAGAUCACCAAGAAGGUGCAUUUCAAGCCAAGGCCAGAGAAACCUCGAGCACUAAUGCUCAAAGAGGCAAAAGGCCUUGGAAAAACAGGCCUAAGCCUGAUGCUGCAAGGAGCAAUGACCAGCCCUGCAAAUAUUGCAAGAAGCCUGGCCAUCCAGAAGACAGAUGCUGGUUUAGGCCAGAUGCAGUAUGCCAACACUGCAAGAAGAAGGGCCAUGUUGAAAGGGUCUGCAAAAACAGAAGUAAGCCAAGGCAGAAUCAAUUUCAGCAGUCAAAGGUUGAAGCUCGAGUAGCUGAGGACAGUAGUGACCAAGAAGAACAGGUCUUUGCUGUUUCCUGUGUAGCUUCUGAGAAGAAAUGCUCUAAAGGCUGGCUGCUGGACAGUGGUUGCACUAACCACAUGUCACCAGAUGCCUCCUUGUUUAAAACCUUGGACAGAAGUUAUAAAACCAAGGUCAAGGUUGGACAUGGUCAGUUUAUAAGGGCUGAAGGAAGAGGAGAAGUGCUGAUAUCUACUCCCACAGGCAACAAGAUCAUUCCAAAUGUGCUGUUGGUACCACAGAUUGACAGAAACCUUCUCAGCAUAGCUCAACUGCUCGAGAAAGGUUAUUCUGUUGUGUUCAAGGAUAAACAAUGCCAUAUUACUGAUCCAAGUGGAUCAAGCCUUAUGACAGUCACAAUGACUGAUAAAUGCUUUGAGGUUCACUGGGCAAAUGACUCAAACUCAGCAUACACAGCCUCUGUUGAAGACUCCAAGCUUUGGCAUCAAAGGCUUGGACAUGCCAACUUCAGAUCAAUGGCUCGAUUGGCCAAAGAGGGCAUGGCAGAGAACUUCACCAGCUCAGUGGAGCAUGAUGAUGUGUGUGAAGUCUGCCAAAUGGGGAAACAGGCAAGACUGCCAUUUCCUACAAAUUCAGCUUGGAGAGCUACUGAAAGACUACAGCUGGUGCACUCUGAUGUAUGUGGCCCGAUGAGGACUGAAUCACUCAGCAAAAACAGGUAUCUCAUCCUCUUUAUUGAUGAUCUUACAAGGUUUUGCUGGAUUUUCUUUUUAAAACACAAGUCUGAGGUAGCUCAAGUGUUUGUGAAGUUUAAAAAUGCUGUAGAAACAGAAACAGGUUGCAAGCUGAAAUCGAUAAGGACAGACAAUGGCACUGAGUACACUUCAGCUCAGUUUCAAGCCAUUUGCAAUGAUGCUGGUAUCAAACAUCAGCUUACAAAUGUCUACACACCUCAGCAGAAUGGGGUAGCUGAAAGAAAGAAUAGAAGUCUGAUGGAUAUGGCCAGAUGUCUGCUGUUUGAGAAGAAACUGCCCAAGACCAUGUGGGCUGAGGCAGUAAACACUGCUGUUUACCUUCAGAACAGGCUUCCCACUAAAGCUCUUGCAUCCGAGACACCUUUUGAGGCUUGGUUUGGUUUCAAGCCUUCCUUGGCACACCUGAAGGUGUUUGGUUGCCUGUGUUAUGCACAAAUACCAGCAGCAAAGAGAGACAAGCUCUCUAAAAGGGCUCAACCAGGUGUUCUAGUAGGCUACAGCUCAGUCAAAAAGGGCUACAGGGUUCUGGAUCCCUUGACAAACAAAGUCCAAGUGAGCAGAGAUGUCAUCUUUGAUGAAAAAGCCUGCUGGAAUUGGGAGAAAAAUGAGCCAGAAGCAAUUUCAGAAGACCUAGUGACUAAUCAAGCUGAACUUGAGCAGCUAGAACCUGAAAUGGAUGUUGAUGAUGUGCCUGUGAGAGGCACAAGGCCCCUAGAAGAUAUUUAUGAAAGGGCACAGGUUGCAUUAGCAGAACCUAGCAGUUUUGAAGAGGCUGAGGCAGAUGAAGGUUGGAAACAAGCUAUGGUUGAUGAAAUCAACAUGAUUGUAAAGAAUCAGACAUGGGAGUUGGUUGAAAAGCCUGCCAACAGAAAGACUAUCAGUGUAAAAUGGGUCUAUCGAGUGAAGCACAAUGCAGAUGGAAGCUUAAACAAGCUAAAGGCCAGGCUAGUUGUAAAGGGCUUCAGUCAAAGGUAUGGUCUGGACUACAUGGAAACAUUUGCUCCAGUAGCCAGACUCGAUACAAUCAGAUUGCUGAUUGCAGUUGCUGCUCAGAACCAGUGGACAAUCCACCAAAUGGAUGUCAAGUCUGCAUUCCUCAAUGGAUUUCUAGAAGAAGAGAUAUACAUCGAGCAACCCCCAGGUUUUAUAAUGCCUGGUAAGGAACAAUUGGUGUAUAGGCUAAGAAAGGCCUUGUAUGGCCUAAAACAGGCCCCUCGAGCCUGGUAUGCUCGAAUUGACUCAUAUUUGGUCAGUUUGGGAUUUGAAAGGAGUGCUAGUGAGCCAACACUCUAUGUUAAGAAGAAUGGAGCUGAAACACAGCUUAUUGUGUCACUAUAUGUUGAUGAUCUUCUCGUGACUGGAGGAGACAAGCUUAUGAUGGUUGAUUUCAAAGCAAGAAUGAAGAAAAUGUUUGAGAUGUCAGACCUGGGAUUGAUGACAUAUUUCCUAGGAAUGGAAGUCAAUCAAAUAGAAGGAGGAAUCUUCUUGAAACAAAAGACAUUUGCCUUGAAAGUGCUGGCUAAAUUCUCAAUGGAGAAUUGUAAACCAGUGAGCACACCAAUGGCUAUUGGCAUAAAGCUAUCGAGCCAGGAGGAACAUGAAUCUGUCUGUGAAACAGAUUACAGAAGCCUUGUUGGGUGUUUAUUGUAUUUGACAGCAACAAGACCCGACAUUUUGUUUGCUGUAAGCAUGCUAUCAAGGUUCAUGCACUGCUGUAACCAGCAACAUUACAAGGCUGGGAAAAGGGUGCUAAGAUACAUUAAAGGUACCUUAAACCAUGGAAUACAGUUUAGAAAGGCUGAAGAGUUGAAACUGAUUGGCUACACUGAUAGCGAUUGGGCUGGUUCAAAGGAUGACAUGAAGAGCACUUCUGGCUAUGCUUUUACACUUGGCUCAGCUAUGAUUUGUUGGAGCUCAAGAAAACAAACAAUGGUGGCUCAAUCGACAGCAGAAGCAGAGUAUGUAGCAGCUGCCAAUGCUGUUAAUCAAGCCAUGUGGCUGAGAAAAAUUUUGAGUGACUUGAAUCUACAGCAGAAUGAAGCAACUGUGAUACAUUGUGACAACAAGUCAGCAGUUGCUAUUGCUAAAAAUCCUGUCUUUCAUGGCAGGACAAAACAUUUCAACAUCAAACUCCAUGUGAUAAGAGAAAUGGAACAAGCUCGAGAAAUUGAGCUAAUCCAUUGCAGUUCUGAAAAUCAGAUUGCCGAUAUCUUCACAAAGCCUAUUGGUGUAUCAAGAUAUCUAAGCCUGAAGAGGAAGCUAGGAGUCUGCUGCAUAGAAGCUGAGGAGGAGUGUUGAAGUCAGCUCCCAUAUAGCAGCAAAGGUGGCCAUGCAAGGAACGUGCUUCAGCAGCAAAUUGAUGCAGCAAGCUGAAGCUAUUCAUUUGGUUUCCUUAAUUGAAUGUUUUGUAUUUAGUUAGGAUCAAACUUAGUUGGUAGCUGCAUUUUGAUGUAAUUAGGUGCUGAAUGACAAGCUUAGGUAGAAGCUUUUUUGUUUUUCAAUCAAGUUUACCAAGUUACUAGGCAUUUUAGUGGUGUUAGGUAUGUUAGUAGGUGAUUACUUGUUUGUUUUACUUAUUGACUGAUAUAUGUAAUGGCUUAAUGCCUUGUUCAUGUGUUAAUGAAAAAUAUCAGCUCAUUUUCAUUCAAUCUCUUUCUCUCUUUUCUGUUUUCACUUGCUAGCUUCAUCUUUCUGUUUUUUCUGCUUCCGAGUUUGCUUCUUCACCAAGCCUCGAGCCUUACUACUCAAGCAAGACUAGAAACAGCUUGCUGCUGCCUCUUGCACCAACACUAGACCACCUUUCUGGGUCCUCAUUCCAAAUGUCAUCCAAAACAAGCAAAUAUUUUUUCCCAUCAAUUUUAUCUCGAAGUUGUUUUUGCAGUUGAUCCAUUUCAAGAUUUUGAUCAGGUGCUUGAUGAGUCACAGAUUUGAUAAUGUUUGCUACAAUAACUUUCACAUCAAAAUCAUCUGAAACACACGCAAACAUCGUUAAGUCAAUUGAAGCUAAUCUCGCCAUAAUGGCCUUCAUUUUCCGACCCAUUUUGAGACCAUAAGCAAAUUGGUUUGAGCUCGAGAAGAAAAGGCGUACCUCUUUCGUCAGCUUGUUCCCACCCAUUAGAUCUUUCCGCAAAGCUUCGGUAGAGAAAUCAUCGAGCAAGUCGUCAGCAUCGUAAAGUACAUCUUUCAGCUUUUCAAGCCAAUCUUUGACGAGAUGGCUGGUCACGGAUCGCUCUUCUGCGUCAAGAAGCACAGCUUUGAUUGUAGAGACGGUGCUUUUGAGGUCGUCAAGGUCAUGUUUUAGAUUCCACCACAGCCCAACUUGAGAGAGAGCACGAGAGCUCAACUUAAUAAUGAGCUCUGCGGCAAUGUCGAAAGCAAUUGCUUCGGCCAUUGUUGGUUCGAACUGAAAUCAAGGCAAAAAGUGUUUGAUUCGUGAGAGAGGACUAAAAUGAGAAUGAUCCCAGCAAGAUGAAACACAGAUGUGGAUCCAUCCACCCAGCAAGUAGUAUAAUUAAAUAAAAAGUAAUGUUGAUUGGUGGGAAAUGGUCCGUCCAUGUUUACUGUUUGACACAAAUUUCUGAAUGGAGACAAAGUUGAGAUGAUGGCACUAGGGGUGCUCUGCACAACGUACAAAUAAUUGAAAUUAAUGAAAAAGGUAUGAAAGAAAAGAGAAAAAGGAGACAAGUCCCAUGGAAUCCAAGGUGUUUUGAUUGAAGUCUUUCUAAACCUUCUUCCCACUUACUUUGUGUAAUUGAGUGAGUCUCAAUACUCGGUUAAAUUCAAUAUUUUAUUUUUGAGUUUAACUUUGGUUGAAUAUAUAAAAUAAAAAUUCAAUAAAACUCAUUCGCCAUUAGAAUCAAAUAUUAUUAAAUUCGAAUCCGAUUAAAUCAAUAAUUUAAACAUAACUUAAUGACUACUAAAUCAAAUUUAAAUCUUUUUUUAAUCGAAUUUAAUUAACUUACAAAUGAUUAUCAUGUCCACCUUUCUCACCCACCUACUUAGCUUUGAUUUUGUCUUUUAAAGUAACUUGGUGUCUAUAAUUAUAUAUUACGACAAUAGUUACUGUUAUAAUUGUUUGUCUAUGCAAUAUAUCAAAGUAAAAUAUAAGAGUUUAACAUUUGUUAACCCUGUUAUAAAAAUUUAAUUUAACUCUUUAAAAAUUAUAAAGAUAUAUUACUAUAAAAAUAUAUAAUUUAAUUCCAACUAAAAUUUUUUUUAGCUUGGCUACUAUUGAAAAAUUAAUUUAGUUUUUGAACACAACAUGUGGAAAGAUAUUGGGUUUAUGUCAGCUCCAUGGGAAUGUAUUUAAUUGGUAUUGAAGGAAAAAUCAUUACUUAUACCAUCAUGAAGAUUGCUUCCACUGCUCAUAUCUAUUUUAUUAUUUUAUUACACAUAAAAUUGUUUUAUUGUGAGUUGGAUGAUUUUGGUUUUUUUUUAAGAUAUUUUAUUUUUAAAUAUAUUUUUAAAUAUUUAUUUUACAUAUACAUGUAUUUUAACUUAAUACAUUUAAUAGUAUUUUUUUAUAAUAAAAAAACCCAAAGGUCGCUACCUCAUUUUAAGUUGCAUCAUAAAUUACAAUGUUAUGAUUAUCGAUCACUAAGAUAAUUCAUCUCAAAAGACAAAUUACUACACUUAGAAAGAGCCCAAUUACAAAGAGAAUCAGCUAAUUUGUUAUAACCACGUUUCACCCAUUUAACCUCGAAAGAAACAAAAGAAUCAAGCAUCUUGUGAGCUCCUUAAUGCAGUGAUCAAGGAUCGUUAUGUCCUCUUUGUGAAAACUAAAGCGGUUGACAAUGCUAGCACAAUCUGUUUCAAAAAUGACAUUAUGUUUAAAGUGUUUAUUAAUUAUUUUGAAAAAUGAAAGUAUAAUAACUUUUUUGGCAUUCCAACUUUAUAAAAGAAUUAUUUUAGCUCUCUAUUUACUUUCAUUUUCUUUUAGUCUUUAAACUUAUAUUUUUUUUUGUCAAACCAUCCAAAAUGGGUGAAAAAGUUAACAUUUGUUAACUUUGUUGACAUGACAUAUAGGUAGAUUACCACGUGUAUGUCACGUUAACAAUUAAUUAUUUUAAAAAAAUAUUUAAAAAUAUUUUUUUGAAUUUUUUUAAAAAAUAAUUAAUUGCUUAUGUGGCAUAUACGUGGCAAUCCGCGUGUAUGUUACAUUAGCAAAAUCAACAUACGUUAAUUUUUCACUCAUUUUGAGGUGAUUUGACAAAAAUUACAAGUUUAAGAACUAAAAGAAACGAAAAGUUAAAUGGAGAGUUGAAAUAACUUUUUCUAUAAAGUUAGAGACCAAAAGAAUCAUUAUUGCAAAAAAAAUAGUUGUUUUUCUUCUCCUUUUUUUUGUAUUUUUAGUGCUAAAAUUCAAGAUGGUGCGGAAUAGUUUUUAAUCUUAUUAUUGUUAUAUAUGUUUUCGACCUCAUUGGAGCUAAUCUCACUGUCUAUAUAAAGAGAGCCUAAAUAUAAUUUGUUCAGCUUCUUUUAAACAAGUUAGUGCUCCUUUGUAUGAUCAUUUACCUCCCAUGAGUAAGGUUGAGUAAAUAAAAUAAAAAAAUACUUGAAAAUUGAUCCAAAUCAAGGUGUUUAGACGGUUUAUGGAAUACAAAUUAAAAAAUCACAAUUAUUCGAAACCGAACCAAAUUCUAUUCUUUAUUUUAAUUUAUAAAUAAAUUUAUUUUUAUAAUAUAAAAAUAAAUAUUUUAUAUUUAAAAAUAGUGAAAAUAAAUAAAUAUAUUUUAAAAAUAUUAUAUAAAAGUAUUUAAUUAUUUUUAUCUACUUAAAAUAAUUUUAAAAAAUAUCUAUGAAAAAAACUUUGAAAAUUUGUCAAAUGAUAUUUAAAAGCCGUAAAAUAAAGUUUAUUUUAUUAAAAUAAUUAUAAAAAUUUAUAAUAACAAAAUCGAACUAAACUAAAUUAUAAUGGACGGAUAAAAAAAUAGAAUUGAAUUAAACUAAUAUCACUUGAUUUUAUUGCACCAAACUGGACAUAAAGGAUCUUCUUAAAAAAUUUAACCUGCAAUGAGAUUGUUUUCCUCACUAUAACCUUCUAGAGGUGUUAUAUAAGUACAUAUCAUAUGAUAAUUAUAAAUUUAAUUAUUUAAUUCUUAUAAAAAUUAAAUAUAUUACAAAUUAAUAUUUAUAUAAUGAUAUAUUAAAUACAUGUAAAUUUAUUAUCAUAAAUAUAUUUUUAAUUAUUAUUUGAUAUAAAUAAUUUUAUUAUAUUUUAUUAUUUUCAUUUAUAUAAAAUAUAGUCCUUGAAUGUUGAAGUCUAAACCCAACCCUUAAACAAAGGAAUUAAAUUUAAAGUUGAGAAAGAUAUGGAUGGUAGUAAUGGGAGCAUAAGCAUGUAGAAGCAAUGCUGGCAUUUCAUCUUAUUAGCAGCUUUGGAAUAGAUUCUUAAGGAUGAGUAGGAAUCUGUAUGCUUUUUUUUUAAUUUUUAUAUUUAAAACAUUAGUUAAUUGCUAAUGUGGCAUCCAUGUGUAUGCCAUGUAAGUUUAAGGACUAAAUUGAUUUUUUCAUAAAGUUAGAAGGUUAAAUAAAUCAUUUGCCAAAAUAUAAUAGAGAACUUAAAAAAAUGAAAAUAUUUAUAUUUUAUUUUAUAUUUGUUUAAGUUUGGCCUGGUCCAAAAUAUAUACUUAAAGUUUGUUCAAAUUUGUAAACCGUUAACUCAAACUCAUUUUAAAUCCACUCAUACUAUUUUUAAAAAAAAAUUAAAUGAAUUUAUAUUAUUUUUAACUUAAUAUUUAAUAAUUUUACAUUUUUAUUAAAAAUUUAUAUAUAGUCAUCUUAAGAUUAUAAUAGUAUUAUAAUUUUUAUUUUUAUUUGUUACAAAUUACAUAACAUAUAAAAUUAACAUAAUAUAAAAUAUUGCUAACUUAAAAAUUGGGUCGGGCCCAACUUAGGCUUUGAAUAUUCAAAUUCAAGCUCGACUCAUAUUUUAAAUGGGCCUAUUUUUUAAAUUUAAUAGUUUUAUCCAAAUCUUCCAAAAUUUCAAAUGAGCCUUUGAGCUUGACAAAGAACAGUAAGUCUCUUUCCCUUUUCUUUCCCUAUUAUUUUGGCUAAACAAUACAGUAAGAUCAGCUGAUGAAGAAUGCAUACAGAUCGACUCUUCAACAAAGAAAAAGAAAGAACAAAUGUGCAUAGAGAGGAGGAUUUCAUGGGAGCACAAUUCCAUGGACAGAUCAGCUGAUGAAGAAUGCAUGUCCUGCUUUUUGGCUCUUCCAUUGAACUCAUGCUGAAAAAGAAGUUGCUUAGUUACGAGGUUACAUUAGAUCAUUUGAAAUUAUGAGAUUAUUAUGAUUUUAAAAAUGUAAAGCAAUUAAGUAAUUACCACCUAUUUGCCUGCAUCUAAAUUCUUAAACAAAUGAGGGUAGAAAGUACGAUCUCUGCUUUUUGUAUUGCAUGCUAUGCUCUGCCGAAGAAUAGAGCCACAAGCUAACAAAAAUGAAGGGUAAAAAGAUUAAUGGAAACCUUGUAGUUUUCAAAGGUGAAUAAAUAAGGACAAUUAAGAUCGGUGUUAACAGUUUUUACUAAUAUUUUGAAAACAUUUGAAAACAUUUUAAAUAAGUUAAUAUAUAUAAUAUAAAAAAUCUAUAAAAAAUUUCAAAAUUCAAUUAUUGUAAUAUAAAACUUUCAUAUCUAAAAACCCUAAAUUAAAUUAAACUAUUUCAAUUGAAUCCAACAAACAAAUUAGACCGAAAACCAAUUAAUAUGAUUGGUUCGGCCACCUAUCUAGUUUUAAAAACCUUAACCAGCACAACAUCAGUAUGUGAAUUUAAUUUCGUAUUUAUUUAAUUUGGUUAGCACAUAUUAAUAGUUUUCAUAUUCUCUUUAGUUUUUGUAUAUUGGGAUUGUGUAAAUUUUAAAAUUUUAGAUAUUUUUAUGUCCAUAUUUUGUUUUAUAAAUAUAUAGGGGUAAGCUCUCACUAAUUUUCUCAAGCUUUUAGGAGUUCCUUCUAUUGAAGCAAUAUCAUGAGCGAAUCUAUAAUCAAUAUAUAUGAGAAAGAAAAAAAAUAUAAAAAAGUAAAAUAAAAAAUGAAAAUAGAUUUGGACACUUAUGGAUGUUAUCAAACUAUUGUCUAACUCGUGUUAUGAAAAAAAAAUCACAAUUAAAAGAAUAUUGUAUGCUUCAAUGAAAGUCACAAUUUAUCUUUGAUCAUGCUUGUUUGCAACUAAGUAGCUAUAAUGUAACUACAUGUUCCUACAAACCUCGCACUAGUCGACUUUGCCCUAUGAUCCAUUAGUCGAAUUUGUGAUGUCUAUAUUUUAAUAUGCGAGGUAUUUAAAGAAAUAGAUACAUCAAUUUAUUUUUGUAGUGGAUAAAUAUAAUUAUUUAUUUACACAAUAUAUAAACAUAAAAUGAUGCCCUAUUAAUAAUUUAUGAAAAUUAGAUCAAAUUAAAAUUUCAUGUAUAAAAUUAUAUGUUAUGCCAAAGUUUAUAUGUAGUUUUGAGAUUUAUCCCAUUUUCCUAUUAACUUAGCCAUUAGCCUGAGCAUUAAAUGUUCGCUCAAAUAUGAUAGGGGACAUACUUAAAACACAUGUGUCCAUGCUAUAUAGGCAACUUUAAUCUAAUUUGUUAAAAGAAGAAGAAGAAGUAAUCCUCUUAAAUUUUAUAAUCUCAGCGUGUUUUUAAUAUGUUAGAAUCAAGUUAUCAAUAUGAUGAGUACACAAGUAUUUACAAUUUAAUCCAUGUCAAAUGAGAACAGAAAUUUAAAAUCUAAAUUGAUAGCUACGAAAAUGAAAUGAUUUUAUUGUUAUAAUAUUAAUACUUUCAAAACUUAAUUAAAAUAUUUUAUAAUUUAUAAAUUAAUUUUAAAAAAAUUAAUUAAUAAAUUGAGAAUAUUUAAUACAAAUAACUUCUUAUAUGAAUAUAAAUAAUUAUAACACAUUUAUUAUUAAAUGAAAAUAAUGUUGUUUGGUUGGAAAUGGUCCCACCAUAUUUUACGUUUGGGGAACAAAGCGACGGUGUUUUGGUUGGAGAAGAAGGAAGUAACGUCGUUAAGUACAUCGUUUUGUUUAUCUUUAUUUUAAAUUUGUUUUCUCGUUUUCUAUUUGACGCCGCUAAUAUUCUUUUUUGAGUAAACUAUAUUAAAAGUCAUUCAACUAGUUAAAAAGUUACAAAAUGAUCACCAAAUUAUUAAUAAUUUCUUUUACCUAAUUAUGAAAAGUUAUAAAAUAAUAAAUUUUUAUUAUUAUUUAGCGCAUACGAGUAUUUGUUAUUUUUUUCUUUGAAUUUUUCAUUUAUUCAUUAAAUGAAUUAAUAAAUUUCUCUUUAAAAAAUUUACUCGGGGCAGAACAUAACAAGAGUCAAAGCUUCAGCUUGUAAUAUUGGCUUGUGCCAUGAUAGGCCUUUAUAAGGUGUUGUUCAACUUAUAAUUUGAUGUGUGCCAACAUAAGCAUCAACACACAAGUCAUGUAUAUACAGCCAAGACAUCGACAUCUUUUGGAAGAGUCCUAGUCCAAGCAUCAUAAUUGAACAUAGCCUUGGAAUACCGUCAAAAACAAUUAUUGUCUCAUAAUCAAUUGUGCAUCCCUGCAUUUGAAUACUAUUUGGAANNNNNNNNNNNNNNNNNNNNNNNNNNNNNNNNNNNNNNNNNNNNNNNNNNNNNNNNNNNNNNNNNNNNNNNNNNNNNNNNNNNNNNNNNNNNNNNNNNNNNNNNNNNNNNNNNNNNNNNNNNNNNNNNNNNNNNNNNNNNNNNNNNNNNNNNNNNNNNNNNNNNNNNNNNNNNNNNNNNNNNNNNNNNNNNNNNNNNNNNNNNNNNNNNNNNNNNNNNNNNNNNNNNNNNNNNNNNNNNNNNNNNNNNNNNNNNNNNNNNNNNNNNNNNNNNNNNNNNNNNNNNNNNNNNNNNNNNNNNNNNNNNNNNNNNNNNNNNNNNNNNNNNNNNNNNNNNNNNNNNNNNNNNNNNNNNNNNNNNNNNNNNNNNNNNNNNNNNNNNNNNNNNNNNNNNNNNNNNNNNNNNNNNNNNNNNNNNNNNNNNNNNNNNNNNNNNNNNNNNNNNNNNNNNNNNNNNNNNNNNNNNNNNNNNNNNNNNNNNNNNNNNNNNNNNNNNNNNNNNGCAGGCCCAUAUUUCUAAUUUUUUAUUUUUUAACUUUUUUGUACUAUUUUGAUAAAUAAAAAAAGUAAACUAUUUUGAUAUUUUUUUAAUUUUUUUGUAUUAUUUUAGUAAAAAUCCCGUGUUAUUCAGCUUGUAAUUUGAUUGUGCCAACAUAAGCAUCAACACACAAGUCAUGUAUAUACAGCCAGGACAUCGACAUCUUUUGGAAGAGUCCUAAUCCAAGCAUCAUAAUUGAACAUAGCCUUGGAAUACAGUCAAAAACAAUUAUUGUCUCAUAAUCGAUUGUGCAUCCCUGCAUUUGAACACUGUUUGGAACAUUAAAAUUGCGUUUUUUCCUGAGUUGGUACAUAUUAUGCAACAAGGAAAAUAAAGAACACAAUUAAGAUGUUUACGCAGUUUGAAACUCAUCCUACGUCUGCGGGGCUUUGCCCAAAUAUGACUCCACUAUGAACUUCAUAGUACAGAGAAAUGAUUCAAGCUUAACCUCUCAAACACUUGAUGCAAUCUCACUUUUGCACAAUUAAGUAAAUUAUUUCUCAACUCAUUUUAGCUAUGCAAGUGAAAAUUCACAUUCAACACUCAGAUGGUUUUCUUACUAUGAAUCAAGCACUUAAUAAGCUCCAUGUAAAGUGAAAUAAAUCAAGCACUUAAUAAGCUCCAUGUAAAGUGAAAUAAUAAAUUUUCAAAUGCAGUAUGUCUGGCAAUUGUCAUGCUUGAACAACGACUCUUCCAAAAGCAUCAAUGAACCUGAAAAUUAUAAAUGCCAACAUAGAAUAUGUUACAAAUCCCAUUAUUAUCAGCCUUAUAAUUGCACAUAUGUGUGUUUAGUAUAAUGUUGUUGAUAUAUAAAUAAUGAAACAUUUUAUCAACUUCAACCUCACCACCAAAUAUUCUGAAGCAUCUUCCUUUUUUUUCCUGUUUGGACCUUCAAUAGUAAAUUUGGCUGGAAUUCUAAAAAGAUAAAAGAGUGCCCUGCAUCAAUGAAUAUUAUGAAUUUGAAUACCUCCAAAAGCCUGUCAGUAUCACAGGUACCAUCUAAAAUAGUAAUCAGUUGGCAUAUAUUAAGAGAAAACAUAAAUAUAUAUAAAGAUAUGAUGGGUAAGUGCUUAAAUGAAGAAAGCAGAGCAUAUAGUACAACCAUUUUGAAGGCUUCAUAGGCCUCUCUCUCCACAUCAAUGAUUUUUUAGAAUUAAAUUAUUAGAAGCAAUUGUCAAGUUAUUAUUAUGAUUUAAAAGUAAAAAGCAAAUAGAUAAAUUAGCACUCUUUUUAUGCAUAUAAAAUGAUUGAAGUUGACUAAUGCCUUUCUCCAAUGCCUUACUGCACAAAUCAGCAAAAAUAUUAUGAAAGAUGAUAAGUAAAAAGUAGGAUGAAAACAAAGGGAUUUUAACAAGGAAAUUAACAGUAUCCAACUUCAAUGAAAAAUGGCAUCAGACCCCUCACUUGGAGAUUCAAUAUACCACUCAUAUUUUUCUUCAAAAAAAGAUAAGGUCAUCAAAAUAAAUAAAUAACAAGGACGGACCAACCUGAAUCAACUCAAUGUCGGGGAUGUGAGCAAUCUUAUGCCAAUCAGCGCCACUGUCCUUCCGACAUCUUUCCUCCAACUGAGGAAUUCUUUCCAUAAAUAACAUUUGCAAAUUGGUUAGGCAACGCAUCUCGUCUGGAAGAGAUGUUAAAUUGGGCAAAUUAACGAGAAAAAGCCGUUGCAGAUUUGUUAGAUGUUGAAGCCACUCCGGAAGAUGCCGACACUUUGGAAUAUUUUGCAGCUGUAGAAAGCGUAGGCUUGUAUGAUCUUGGAAUAUUUGGAUGCCAGCCCCAGAUAACUCCAGCUCCUUGCAGUCCAUUACUAAAAAGUCUUCAAGGGAAGUGAGAUGUUGGAACACAGGAAGCAGUGACCUCAAUCCAUUGCAGUUAUGAAUUUUUAAUGUUUUCAAUUGAACAAGAUGUUGAAGCCCAAUGGGGAGAGACACCAGCUUUGGAAUAUUAUCAAUCUCCAAAUGAGAGAGAUUCUUAAGGGGUUCCCAUUGCAUGCCCUCUAAAUCAACCUCCUUGCAAUCUUCUAUUGUUAAUCUUUUGAGGCUGGUGAGAUGUUGCAGGCAUUCAUCUAGCGUGUGAGUGUCCAACCCCUCAAUCUUGUGUACAUCGAAAGAUUUCAAUUUGGAGAGUGGAAGAGAAGAGGUUGAAGUUAAUGGGGCCUUAGCAUUGAUGUUCAUCUUGAUAGUCUGCUUUAACGGCCUUGAACUGGUAUUCGACAACAUUAGAUCUUCAUCGAGUGAUGGAUACAGCGGCAUUGAUGUCAAAGGGCAAUUUUCAAUUGUUAAAGAGGAAAGACAAGGAAAUCCCAUGGUUGAUGUUCCCAUAACUGUUGUGUCGUCCUCGUUGGAAUCAUCAUCGAUUGGUUUUGUCGUCCUCCACCAACUCAUCAUAUUCGGACAGUACCGGAGCGAAAGAUGCUUAAGUGAUGGGAAGAAUGAUUGUGGUUCUCCUUGACUUCCUUUUGGGCUAUUAUCAUCCAUGUACUCCAGCUCAGUUAAAUUAGAAAUCACCAGCCCUUUAAGACAAGGAAAUUGCACAAAGGACGGGAUUUGUUUGAAAUUACCCUGAUGUAUUGUCAUAUAAACGAGAUUUGUUAGAAAAGAAAGCCAACUUGGAAACUUGGCAUCACUCCUCCAUCCUCGAAUACAGAGCUCCUUGAGAUUAGGAUGGGGUUGGAGGUCUUCAAGUGAUUUAUCAUCAUCAUAUUCAUCAUCGUUAAAAUCAAAAUAAAAUUUCCAUUCUAAAAGCAACGAUCUCAAAUGUUGCUUCUCUUUCAAAUUAGCAGCCUUAAACUUCUCUUUUGCAUUUUUUACGAAUCCCAAAUUUCUUAUUUCUAGCUCUCCCCUUAAAUUGUUAAGCAGUCUCAAUUCACUUAGAUCUGCACCGCCAUGGGACCCAUCUUUAUCCACUACAAACAUGCUUAACGUCUCAAGUGAAGUCAGCUUCCCUAUUCCACGUGGCAUAUGAGUUAAACUCAAACAGCCUUCACACCCAAUAUGGGUAAGAUUCACCAAUUUUUCAAUCUUCUUUGGCAAUUCUUGAAGCCCAUCACACCAGUCAAGUUUCAGCGCUAGCAAAUUCUGAAUCUUGCAAAUACUCUUUGGGAGAAUCUUAAUAUUGAAAUUCCAAGAAAGAUCAAGGUACCUCAAAUGUUUCAACUUACAAAUGGAGGGUGAAAUCUUUCGAAUACCCAUAGAAUCCAAUUUCAAUACACGCAAGCAUCCACAAUUUGCAAUUAUCAAAUCCCAAGUUUCAUCACUCAAUUUUUGAUCGUUGUUGUCUUGAAAAUGUAACAAGGUUCGCAACUUCUUGCCCUUAAACAAAGGAAUUAAUGAAGGAAUUAAUAAAGGAUUAAUUGAUAUGUGGCGACAUUUUUCACCAACAUCACUUGCAAUUUUAUUUGAAUCUACAAUACUACUCUCCAUCCCUGCUACUGAUUCAGCUAGAUCAUGCAUUAAAUCAUGCAUUUUAUAUGUUAGCCCUUCCCAUGGAUAUCUUUCUCCUACUUCUUGGAAGAAACUUCUUUCAACUAAAUCUUUAAAAUACCCAAACCCGAUCUCCUCGAGAGAUUGACUUUGAUUCAAUUGCUUUAUGAAACCCUGUGCAAUCCAUAAUUGAACAAGCGCUUGUACUCUAAUUCUGUAAUCUUUUGGAUACAAUCGGCAAUAAGCAAAGCAAUGCUUCAAAUGAAACGGGAGAUGAUCAUAACUCAAUUUCAGUGUAGGUAGAAUUUCUCCUUCAAUUUGUGAUAUUUUAGCAAGUUCAUUUUCUUUGAAAGAAUGCCACUCAUUUGCAGUUUUCUUCAAAGAUAAUGUACCAGCUAUCGUCCUUAUGGCUAAGGGAACCCCACCACACCUGCCCGAAAUCUGUCUCCCUACUUCCACAAAGGCUGAAUUUGUUGAGUCUGCAUAUCCUUGCUCAAAUGCUAUCCUUUUGAACAAAGACCAAGCAUCAUCAUCAGACAGGCCUUUCAAUUUCAAAACAUGGGAUUGACAUUUAUUAGUUAUCUCCGCUACCCUUAGAGAUCGAGUAGUUACUAUUAUCCUACUCCCUUUAGCCCCACCCAUCAAUAACUUCUUUAGCCUAGACCACCUUUCUGGGUCCUCAUUCCAAAUGUCAUCCAAAACAAGCAAAUAUUUUUUCCCAUCAAUUUUAUCUCGAAGUUGUGUUUGCAAUUGAUCCAUUUCAAGAUUUUGAUCAGGUGCUUGAUUAGUCACAGAUUUGAUAAUGUUUGCUACAAUAACUUUCACAUCAAAAUCAUCUGAAACACACGCAAACAUCGUCAAGUCAAAAUGAUUUUUGACCAUUUCAUGGUUAUAGACAAGUUGGGCCAAAGCAGUCUUCCCUAACCCUCCAAACCCCACAAUUGGAAUGAUAUAAACAUUCUCUUCACUUUGAAACUCCAACACGAGUUUUAGAAGAGCUGCUUUAUCAUCAUCCCUCCCUAUUAUGUCAUCGUCACGCUCAAAAGAGUGCGUUUGCUGCCUCCUUUUAGUCAUGAAAGAGGUUUCCGCGGGGCGAUCACGCGGAAUGAAGCCAAAAGUGUUGGCCUCCCUUUCAAUUGAAGCUAAUCUCGCCUUAAUGGCCUUCAUUUUCCGACCCAUUUUGAGACCAUAAGCAAAUUGGUUUGAGGUUGAGAAGAAAAGGCGUACCUCUUUCGUCAGCUUGUUCCCACCCGAUAGAUCUUUCCGCAAAGCUUCAGUAGAGAAAUCAUCGAGCAAGUCGUCGGCAUCAUAAAGUACAUCUUUCAGCUCUUCAAGCCAAACUUUGACGAGAUUGUCGGUCACCGAUUUCUCUUCUGCGUCAAGAAGCACAGCUUUGACUUGACAGACAGUGCGUUUGAGGUCCUGGAUGUCAUGUUUUAGAUUCCACCACAGCCCAACUUGAGAGAGAGCACGAGAGCUCAACUUAAUAAUGAGCUCUGCGGCAAUAUCGAAAGCAAUUGCUUCGGCCAUUGUUGGUUCAAACUGAAAUCAAGGCAAGAAAUGUUUGAUUAGUGAAAGAGGAGGACUAAAAUGAGAAUGAUUCCAACAAGAUGAAACACAGAUGUGGAUCCAUCCACCCAGCAAGUAGUAUAAUAAAAUAAAAAGUAAUGUUGAUUGGUGGGAAAUGCUCCCUCCAUGUUAAAGUCAUGUUGAUUGGUGGGAAAUUGUCAAACUUCUCAAUGGAGACAAAGUUGGGAUGAUGACACUUGGGGCGGUCUGCACAAUGUGGAGCCUUACAAAUAAUUGAAAUUAAUGAAAAAGCUAUGAAAGAAAAGAGAAAAAGAUUGAGGCCCAAAAGUCACUACCUCAUUUUAAGUUGCAUCAUAAAUUAUAAUGUUAUAAAUAUCGCUAGAAUAAUCUAUCUCAAAAGACAAAUUAUAACAUUUAGAUAGAACCCAAUUAUAAAGAGAAUCGGCUAAUUUAUUACAACCACGUUUCACCCAUUUGACCUCAGCAGAAACAAAAGAAUCAAGCAUCUUGUGAGCUCUUUGAUGCAAUGAUCAAAGAUUAUAGUGUCCUCCUUGUGAAACUAAAGCAGUUGACAAAGCUAGCACAAUCUGUUUCAAAAAUGACAUUUUCGGCUUUAAGAAAUUGAGCAAGCCAAAAACCAUCGAUGAGGGCAUCUAAUUCUGCUUUAAUAGUGAUUUUUUAUUCUCAUUUUAUCGAUAUAUUUACAUUUGAAUUCAAAUACAUAUUCUACAAUUAACUUUAAUCUCACUAUUACAAUACUUAACCUCACUAAAUUAUUUGUUUAACAUGAUUAUGGUGAAUUUAUAGAAAGAACAAUUACGAAACAAAUGCAGAUGCACUUAUGUUUAAAGUGUUAUUAAUGGAAAUUUUAUUAUUUUGAAAAAUAAAAGUAUAACAACUUUUUUAGCAUUCCAAUUUUAUAAAAGAAUAAUUUUAGCUCUCUUUUUAUUUUCCUUCUCUUUUAGUCUUUGAACUUACAUUUUUUUGUCAAACCAUCCAAAAUGAGUGAAAAAGUUAACAUUUGUUAACUUUGUUGACAUGACAUAUAGGUGGAUUACCACUUGUAUGUCACGUUAGUAAUUAAUUAUUUUAAAAAAUAUAUUUAAAAAAUAUUUUCUUAUAAUUUUUUAAUUUUUAAAAUAUUUUUUAAAAUUUUUUAAAAUUUUAAAAAAUAAUUAAUUGCUUAUGUGGCAUAUACAUGGUAAUCCACGUAUAUGUUACAUUAGCAAAAUCAACAAGCAUUAAAUUUUCACUCAUUCUAGGGUGAUUUGACAAAAAUUACAAGUUUAAGAACUAAAAGAAAGAAAAAAUUAAAUGAAGAGUUGAAAUAACUUUUUCUAUAAAGUUGGAGACCAAAAGAAUCAUUAUGGCAAAAAAUAGUUGUUUUUCUUCUUUCUUUCUUUUUUUUUGGCAAUUUUUAGUGCUAAAAUUCAAGAUGGUGUGGAAUAGUUUCUAAUCUUAUUAUUGUUAUAUAUAUUUUCGAUCUCAUUGGAGUUAAUUUCAUUGUCAAUAUAAAGAGAGCUUAAAUAUAAUUUAUUCCACUUCUAUUAAACAUGUUAGCGCUCCUUUGUAUGAUCAUUUACCUCCCGUGAGUAGGGUCGAGUAAAAAAAAUAAAAUAAAAUAAUUGAAAAUCAAUCCAAAUCAAUGAAUUUAGACGGUUUAUGGAUACAAAUUAAAAAUUUACAAUUAUUCGAAACCGAACCAAAUUCAUUAUUAUCACAUUACUACGGUAUUCAAUCUCGCUAUAUCAACAACUAAUCUCACCACCAACGUUAUUUUUAAUUUCACUAGAAUUCAUCCAAUUAUACAUCCAAAGAAAACCAUAAACUUAUCUAAAUACAAAUAAAACUAUAAAAAACUUAUUUAGACAUAAACUUUAUUAUUUGACACAAUAAAAAUAUAAUUACUUGCUUGAUUUAUACAUUUGUCCAAUAGUAAUGUAACCCAUUCAAUUUGGUCAGAUUGAAGGUUAUUCUUUGAUAAAUUAUUAUUAUUAUUAUUAUUUGCUUUGGGCAAACUUAAUACAACUUGAUUUACUCUUUAUUAAUUAAAAGCAUUUUAUUUAUAUUUAAUUAUAAAAAUGUGUAAAUAUUAUUAAAAUAUUAUUUUUUAAUAUUAAAUGAAUAGUGAAAUAGGGUCAACUUAUAAGGGUUAAAGUGUUUAGGAAGUCCCUAUAUUAUAGACUGUAUCAAAUUAGUCUCUCGAUUAUUAAACAAAUCAAAUUUAUUCUUGUAUUAUUAAAAAAGAAUCAAAUUAUGUCAAAUUGUAACAAAAUUAGCAUUUACUGUAAUAAUUUUAACAUUAACAAAGUUAACAAUUUGCAAUAUAAUUUUUAUGCAAUAAAUGUUAACUUUGUUGUAAUUUGGUUUUAUUUGAUCCUUUUUUAAAAGUACAGAGACUAAAUUGACCAUUUAAUAAUAGAGAGACUAAUUUGAUGUAGUUCCUAGAAUAGAGGUACUUUCACCCUUAUAUAUGUAUUUGAAUCUUAUUUUGGAUGAAAUUGAACAAUUGAAAAAGAUAAGAGUUCAAAAAGGUAAAAAUAAAUUGUAAUUAUAUACAAAAUACUUCCCUCCACAUUUAUCCGAACAAAAGAUUCCCUCCCUUUUCCCUCGUUUUCUACUCUCUCUCUAACGUCUAAACUAAAACCCUCACUUUCUUUCUCUUCCUAUUCCCCCAAUUCCAAUUAUACCCCCACCUCCUUCCCCUAGAAAUCAUAAACCUCCAUGUCCGGAGGGGCUGGAGCCUCCGAUGGUCCCACGCUGCCGUAUCAACCUCCUCCCACGGCUUCAACUGCACCAGCUUCGACGGUUCCUUCGGUUGUUCCGCCGAUACGUCGUCACCUGGCCUUCGCUUCGACGAAGCCGCCGUUUGUUCAUCCCGAUGAUUAUCACAGAUUUUCAUCUAGUAAUAGUCGUGGAAUCGUCGCCGAUCAAGAAGUUGAAGCAAUUGUUGUGAGAUUUCUAGUGAGUUCAAAAAUUUAAUGUAAGAAAAGGCGUACCUCUUUCGUCAGCUUGUUCCCACCCGAUAGAUCUUUUCGCAAAGCUUCACUGGAGAAAUCAUCGAGCAAGUCAUCGGCAUCAUAAAGUACAUCUUUCAGCACUUCAAGCCAAACUUUGACGAGAUUGUCGGUCGUCGAGGUCAUGUUGGAGAUUCCACCACAGUCCAACUUGAGAGAGCGCACGAGAGCUCAACUUAGUAAUAAGCUCUAGGGCGAGGUCGAAAGCAAUUGCUUCGGCCAUUGCUGGUUCAAACAGAAAUCAGGCAAAGAAGCGUUUCGUUAU
RNAcentral lists this long non-coding RNA (96797 nucleotides) under Gossypium barbadense (sea-island cotton). Its description in RNAcentral is "long non-coding RNA (GBAR_LNC021360)". The record is from RNAcentral. Lineage: Eukaryota; Viridiplantae; Streptophyta; Magnoliopsida; Malvales; Malvaceae.